This 98818-nucleotide long non-coding RNA is filed under the name Populus tremula. Its description in RNAcentral is "long non-coding RNA (PTRE_LNC001894)". Lineage: Eukaryota; Viridiplantae; Streptophyta; Magnoliopsida; Malpighiales; Salicaceae. The record is from RNAcentral.
ACAGCAAAACUAGAAACUUUUUUUUUUCCAUUAAUUACUUUGUCGUUAUAAUGUACAAUUUAAUGAAUUUCCUUAAUCCCACAUAUAUGCUUUUUUUAUUAAAUAAGUUAAUUGAAUUAAAAAUAUAAAUUCAAUAUUGACCUUGAUUUAACAAAUUACUCGAGGAUACCACCAUAAAAAUAUACGAUAGAUAUAUUUUCUUGCUAAGAUUUAGCGUGUUUUGGAUUGAGUUUAUAGUUGUUUUUUAAAAUGUUUUUUAUUUGGAAAUGUAUUAAAAUAAUAUUUUUUUUAUUUUUAAAAAAUUAUUUUUGACAUUAUCAUAUUAAAAUAAUUUGAAAAUACCAAAAAAACUAUUAAUUUGAAGCAAAUAAAAAAUUAAAAAAAAUUUAAUUUUUUUCAAAAUCACUUUUAAAACGCAAAAACAAACAGUUUAUUAAUAAUAUUUCAAAACCAUGCUUUUGAACCUAAAAGCUCUUCGCUAUCAAUUUAUUUCAUGAUGUAAGUAGUUAGGUUCAUUUAUGAUUAAUCCAAACUCUCUACCAAAAGAAAUUAUUAUUUUAAAAAAGUGAUGUAAGUAGCUAGGUUCAUUAAAUAAUAAGUUAAAGGGUGUGGGCAAUUCACCAUUUACCCACACCCAAUUCACUGUGGAUUACAAUAGUAAUCCAUAGUACAUUUUUUUUUUUUAUUAAUUUUUUUUAUAAAUUAUUUUUGUCAAUUUUAUUUUUUUAAUAUUGAACUAGUUAAAAGUUUUGCUUUGUAAUUUUUUUCUUUCAAAUACUAUGGAUUGUUACGGUGUUUUUCCACAUGAUUUUUCUAUUUUAUUUUAUUUUUAUUUUCUAAAAUUAUAUUUGUUGAUUUUAUUUUUUUAAUAUUGAGCUGAUUGAGAAUUUAAUUUUGUAAUUUUUUUUAAACAUUGUUGAUUGCUAUAGUUUUUCUCCACAUGGAUUUUUUUUUUUGUUUUCUUAUGAUUUUCUCCAAAAGUAUCUUUUUCGAUUUUAUUUUUUAAUAUUGAAUUGAUUAAAAAUUACAAUUACAACAUGUAAGGGAAGCAUUAUAGCUCUUCUCACAAAUUACUGUGGAUUGCUACAAUGUUUUUCCCUACUUUGCUUUUUCUAAAAUUUUCUUUGUUAAUUUUAUUUUUUUAAUAUUAAGCUGGUUAAGAAUUACAAUUACAAGUAGAUAAAAGUAAGGCUACAUCAUGUGGGGAAAAACACUAUAACUUUAUUUACAAAACAACAUGGAUUGAUAUAGUUUUUCCUCGCAUGGUUUUUUUCAAGUUUCUUUUGUGUUUUUUUUUGUAAUAUUUUUUUAAAAAAUUAUCUUUGUCGGUUAUAAUUUAACUUUGUAAUCAAGUUUAAUCAUGCCGGGAAAGCACUGUAGCUUUCCUCACAAAACACUGUGGAUUGUUAUAGUGUCUCUUUACAUAGUUUUUUUUUCUUAUGAUUUUUUUUAAAUUAUCUCUGUCAAUUUUAUUUUUUUUAUAUUGAGCUGGUUGAGAAUUACAAUUAUAAGUCAUUACAAAUACGGCUAAAUCAUGUGGGGAAGCCCUGUAGCUUUCAUCACAAAACACUGUGAAUUGCUACAGUGUUUCCAACAUGGUUUUUUUGUGUUUGUUUUUUCAAAAAUUGUCUCUAUCGAUUUUAUUUUUUUUAAUAUUGAUCUGAUUGAGAAUUUGGUUUUGUAAUUUUUUUCUUUAAAACACUGUGAAUUGCUGUAGUGUUUUCCCACGUGAUCUUUUUUUAUGAUUUUUUCCAAAAUUAUCUUUAUUGAUUUUUUUUUUUGAAUAUUGAGUUGGUUAAAAAUUAUAAUUACAAUAAAACUAAAUCAUAUGGGGAAAGCGUUGUUGUUUUCCUCUCAAAAUACUAUAGAUUGCUGCAAUAUUCUCUAUAUGAUUUUUUUUAUGAUUCUUUCUAAAAUUAUCUUUGUCGAUUGUAUUGGGGAAAACACAGUAGUUUUCCUCACAAAACAUUGUCAAUUGCUACAACAUUUUUCCUCGUGGUUUUUUUCCUUUCAAAAUUAUCUUUGUCGAUUUUUUUUAAUAUUAAGUUGGUAGAGAAUUUAGCUUUGUAAUUUUUUUUUGCUUUUUAUUAACAAAAAAGCUAAAUCAUAUGACGAAAUCACUGUUUUUUCCUAAAAAAAACAUUGUGGAUUGCUACAAAUUAUUUUGUAUAGUUUCUAAGUUUUAUAUCACCAACACAAUUUUUUUUUUCCAUCAUGAAAUAUUGGCUCCAUCAUAUUUUUAGUUUUUAUUACUUAUCUAGCGUUAAUUCACAAUUAUAACACUAUCAAAUAUAUUUGUUUUAUAAACCCGUAGCAAUGCACAUACAUGCCAUCUCAUUAUAAUUAUUUCAGGAUGUACCUACCACAUAGACUUCAUCUUGCAUUUCCAAGUACAAUGACAACAUAAAAAUAACAAUAAAAACAAUAAAAGAUUUAAUGAGAUUGUUUUCGGAUAUUAAUUUUAUUUUUUAAAAAAUAAAGUUUAUAGUGAUUAUCUUCUUAAAAUAUUUAAAUAUGUAGGAAAACAACUAGAGACCAAAUAAUAUAGAGGGAAUAAAUAAAAAUUCCAAAUUAGAAUAAAUAAUUAAAAAAAUAAAAAUAAAAUCUACAAUAACAAGAAAGGCUCAAAACAAGAUCCAAUAGUAUUGAGGCCACAUCGCUAUCCUGAGUACAUGCUAGAAAUGAAAAGGAGCACAAUGAUUCAGCGAAUUACAGCUGUCUCUCUUUGUACAGUGUUUCUCCCCAUUCUUGAUUUGCCCGACACAGACAGGAGGUACGGUAAAGACUAGCAAAUUCGCUGACUAUUCUUUUUCUAAAUUUAAAAUAUAUAUAUAUUUUCUUAUGAUUAUUAAAUCCUAUCAAACCAUUGAAUAUUGAAAUCUGUUAACCUAAUUUUAAAUAUUAUAUAUAACUCGAGUUAUUUAAAAUAAAUUAUUCAAUUCAAUAAAUUUAAAGAUAAUUAGGAUGAUUAGUAAAAACAUGUCAUGACAUUUAAAAACAAAAAUAACAUAAAACUAAGAAAAAAACAUAUCAAAUUUAAUGGAUAAACAUGCUAAAACCUAUGAAUCGAUUAACAUGAGUCAAACACGUCAAACUUGCAAAUCAGGUAAUGGAUUCUAUUGAAAUUAAUAAUUUGUUUUUUCCAUAAAUUAUUGUGUUAUUUAAUUAUAUGAUAAUAAAAAUAGACGCUUACAAAAUCGAGUAUCAAACCAAUACAUAUUGAGAUUAAAAAAAAAAAACUAUGAUAAUCUUGAAGAAAGCAAAACGAAACAAAUUAUGAAACUCAAUUCUUAAUUAGUCCGAUAUUAAAUGAUGAAAUUAGAAGAAAAAAAAUACAUCACUAAACCCACUAGCCAAGAUUAUCUUGUCAAACUUGCAGACUAGAGUAUUGUCUCCACAAAGUUUAGGAACCUAAUUUUUUCAACUCAAAGUAAGAGUAAUGUACGCAAAUUAACAAAAAAAAAUUGAUUUUAGUUUUGAGUAAUAUGAAUUUUGUAUUUAUUUGGAAUUGACUCAUGUUUUUAACAUAAAAAAGGUAUUAUUCUAUAAAUAAGUAAAAUAAUUUGAAGAGUUAUGCAAUAUUAAAUUUCUUAAUAUUUAUCUUUAUAUCAAUUUUAUGACUUGAUUUUUUAUUUAAAUUAAUGUGUUUAUUUUUAUUUAUUGAGACAAAUUAUUUUUAAUUAAUUAUAUUGAAGAUUCAUAUGAAGAUUUUAUUUUGAAAUAAAGAAUUUUCUUAAUGAAACAACAAUUUUAAGAUUGAUCACAUUUUUAGGUUUGAUGAUAAUAUAUAAUUUUUUUUUACAUUCAAUUAUUUUUUCAAUCCCCUCUUAUUAAGGGUUUGCAUUUAAGGCGAGAGAAAUGGUGACGGCAUUAAGUAUACGUCAUGCAUAUUUCAUGAUCAUGAUCACGACCAUGCAUGCGGACCCUCCCCCUUCCCAUUCCUUUCUUCUCAUUCACCCAUUUCCCUUCAUCAUCUUGUUUCAUCAAGAUAAAUUAAUUGAUGACAUGCAUGUCUCCCAGUAAUAAAUCCAUCUCAAUUCUGAUCGUGACACGUGUACCGAUUACUGCCAUGAUCAUAAACCAGUCUAUAUAUAUAUAUAUAUACAUAUACACACUUACUCCUAGGUUUGAUUGGCUCACCUCGCUUGCAAGAAAUUACUUAAGUACCAAACGGAUCCCAAGGGUUUAUUUUAUAAUGUUGUUGAAAUUAUAUUUUAAAAACAUUUAGUUAAUUAAUAUUCACUAUAAUUAUAUUUAAAAUUCUAUAUUAAGAUGUUACUUAUAAAAAAUUAUAAUUUGUAGCUUAUUUUUAGAACAUGUUUGAUACUGUAAUAUAUAAUAUCUUUUAAAAGUACUUUUCAUUUGAAAAUACAUCAAAAUAAUUUUUUUUUUAACAUGAACAUAUCAAAAUCAUUAAAAAACACUAAAAAAAACAAGCGUGCCCAAUUUUAAAACAUAGUCAAACACAAUACCAAACAGACACUUAAACCUAUUUUUCCAUAUCAUGACUACAAAAAUUACUGCAAUACCAAACAUAAAUUUUAUUUAUUUUUUUAUUUUUUUAUCAUUUCAAAAACAACCAUAAAAAUAUCAUAAUAUAUCGCAUAUAAAUAUUAUUGAUUUUUGAUCUUUCCAUUAUAUUUCUCUAUCUCGUUUUUGGAUUUUAAAAUUCUUCCAUAUAUAUAUAGCCAUCAUCCAUGGAAUAAACUAAUCCUUGAAAAGUCUUCCCACGAGUUUUAAUUUUUUAUUAUUAUCCGAUUGAAAAGUCUACCGUUCACAUAGCAAUAUGAAAUACAAAUUAUUUAUAAUUUGUAAAACAAAAUAUAAAAUAAAUUAGAAAGUAAAAAAGGUAGACCAAUAAAAAAGAUUGUUUUUUUAACUGUCUUGUUGGUGCAAUUAUUUUUAUCUUUAAUUCGUAAAACUUUAUAUUUUUGUAGAGCUAUGUUUUGAGGGUGUAUUUUUCAGUAUUAUUGGAUAUUAUAUAUUGUUAUGAAACCCGGCCGUGUUAAAGUAGAGAUGAUCAUCAACACGAGGCCGGGCCUUACUGGUCUGAAUAUUUGAUCUCCGAUCAGGUUCUACAGCCAUGCAUGUACGCUGUAUAUAUAGAUCUUGUUGCCAAAGAUAAAGUGCUAGCUAUAUAUAAUAUUAUUGUUUUUCUAUGUUGCCAAAUUAAUUAAACCCAUCCAUGUAAAAGCUUAGGGAUUUAUAGUAUUAUAAUAAUUAAUCUUGCAGUCCUUCCUUUGUCUCUCACAUAUAUUUUCCACAAGAAGGUUGAACACAGACUCCUGCAGCUCCCUUAAUUCUCUUUAAUUUGGUGUGGAUAUAGGAUCAACAGUGUACUGACCAUGAGCGAAGCUUCUUCAACCAGAGAAACCUCCAUGUAUGUUCUCUUACUAAGCUUUCCGUUCCCUUAUAUCCCCUUAAUUCUCUCUUCUCUUCCAUGGAAAAAUGCUCAGGAAAGGAGCACCUUCUUGAUUUGCAACUUUUGGAUUGGAUGAAGCUAGCUAGGUUUUAAGUUCUCUAUAUAUAUAUGUACCCCUGCCGCCCUUUAGAUUCUCCAUCAAAGCCACUACAUACGAGAUUCAUCCAAUGUAUGUGUUUCUCUUGAAAUCCAUAACAAAACUUCUUCUUCUUCUUCUUCUUCUUUAUUUACCCUUUUCUAGUUAUUCUUGAAGUGGUAAUAGCACCAGCAUGAUUUCAACUUGAAACCCAUUUUCUCUGAUCCCUGCUUGUAACAUCGAGUGAUGCCCUCAUUUUAUGUAUAUAUGUAUGGGAUAUUACAUGUAUAGAUUCACCUCGCUGCAGGUUUUGUUCAAGAAAUCAAAUGGUGUGAGUGUGAUAUUAAGUUAAUUAGUACAUAUAAUCUUGGAUCCGUGUAUAGAUCUGCAUCUUUAAAACCUAAAAACACCAUCUAGCUAGUUUCCCCCUCCCAAGAUCAGUUGAUUUGCUGGCGCGUGGAUCCAGUUUAUACAGGCAAAGACUCCAUAUGCUUCCUCUCUCUCUCUCUCUCUCUCUCUCUCGCUGAAGGAAAAGAGGUUCUUAAAUAUUGUAUACACCUCAAGUUAGCACGCCAGCCGCCUCAUGCUCGUCCAUAUCAACGCCCCCACCAUGAUUGCUGCAUGCUAUAAUACUGCAUGCGCGCACUUCCAUUUUUAUCAAUGAUUUCUCCUGUACUGUUAAUUUGUUUCCAUUUGGCUUUCAGUACCUGAUACUUAAGGGUUUAGUACAGAUAAUGCAAAGUAACAGUAUCUGUAAACAGUACUAUAUAUGCAGCAUGUGUGUAUAGAUCAACUCAUGAUUAUUUCAUUUCGUGUUUUGUAUGCGUAUAAUUAAGGGAAACUCAUGAGGAGGAUAGAGAAGAGCAGGAUACAGAUCAUCGACGAGGGCAGAGAUUGGUGCUGCCAGAAGAUGGGCAUGAAUGGAAGAAAUAUGGCCAGAAGUUCAUAAAAAAAAUUGGAAAAUUCCGGUAUAUUUAUUAAAUAUUACAUUCAAUUUUCUACGUGUAUAUGAAUUGAAGCACAUAUAUUAAGGGGUUCUUUUCGUAUCAAUUUUGAACCCCAAUUAUCCUUGCUGCUUACAGAACUUUACAUCUAUGGAUAUGGAUGGGCCGGGGGUUGAAGGAAACCUCUGUAUCUGUUACCGGAUUCUCAAUUUCAUCUCAAAUUAAAAGAUUUCAUCAAUCAGGCUCCUAAUAAUUCAUGCAUCUCUCAAUUAAAUUAUCUGCCUGUAGAUAUGCCUUCACAUGCUAAUAUUUCUUUCUUUCUUUUGUGUCAAGAAUGAAUAUUAAUUUUGAGCAAUUAAACGAUACUACUAUUUCGAGGAAAUAUAUUUGUCUGAAAAAAUCAAUAGACAUGAAAAGAAGAACCUGAUUGAAGAUGCCUCAAACAUCAGGAAUAUUGCAAUCGGUGACUCUUUUUUAGAUUACUAAGUAAUACUAAAGGUUAGGUGAUAGCUAGAUCGGAGGUUAGUUAAUUUCUAAAUUAAAAUGAAAUGGGGCCAAUAGAGAUUAUGUUAAUUGUUUAUGUGUGUGUGUAUAUAUAUAGAUCCUGGUAAUUAACUAAUGAAUAUUAAACUUACUACAUACAUACAUACAUACAUACAUACAUACAUAUAUAUAUAUAUAUAUGCGUGUGUGAUAUAUUAUAUGUAUACUAAUUAAUGUUGGUGCAUUUAAUUAAUUAAUUAAUCAAUCUCAGGAGCUAUUUUAAAUGCCGGAAGCAAGAAUGUGUGGCAAAGAAGAGGGUAGAGUGGUCCAGCCCGGAUAAUCUUCGAAUAUUGUACGAGGGAUCUCACAGCCAUGCCUCAUCUUCAAUACAAGGGACGCCUUCUUCCUCCGCUGCAAAUCAGUACAGCUUGUACGCUCAAGUUUUUGGAUCAGAUCAACCACCUUCACGCCCGCAUCAUCAACACCCUUAAUUCUUAUUUGAUUGUUUAUCCUAUCGUUACUUUCCUUUUCCUUUUUAUUUUUGUAUAAAAAAAUAAUAUAAAUUAUCUUUUUAAAUAUUAUUUAAUAAUUUAAGUUAUAUGAUUAAAUUCUUUAUAUUAUAGUUUUGAUAAUCCAGUGAAUACGAAUUCAAAUCUUAUUAUUUUUAUUUAUUUAAUAAAAAUUAAAUAUAAAAUAAUAUAAGCAGGUUUCGAGUUCAGUAAACUUUAAUUUUAAAAAAAUAUAUUAAAAAAUAAUAUAAAUUAUAUUUUAAAAUUUUAUAUAAUAACUUAAGUUAUUUAAUUAAAUUGAUUGUUAGAUAUCAUUAAUUAUUUUUACUGCUCAUUAAUCAUGUAAUUAAUUAAUUGACGAGACAUUCACCAGCAAAAACUAAAAAAAAGUAAUUGAAGAUACUAUAAAAAAAAGAGUAACUCUAUCUAUCCAGUCGUUUUGGACACAUUAUUUUAUGUGUUUUCGAGUUCGAGUGAGCUACAUACACAUGAUUGUCCUUUAUCAAUAACGCCUAUGACAUAGCAAUCAUGUCAUGACACAUCAACCGACAAAGUAGCAGAUCAAUCCAUGAUGAUAUCCCCUCUAGUAAAUAUGGACGUUAAUUCUGAAUUGUUUGAUGUGCCCUUAAUUAGAUAGCUUCAAAGCAACUCUAAUUAAGAGGUUAAUUUAAUGAUUGAUGCUUGAUUAAAGAGGCACAGCACACUCUCUCUCUAAUUUAAUGUUAAUUUAAUGCUUGAUGCAUGAUUAAAGAGGCACAGUACACUCUUUCUCAAACCUUAACACUAGUUCUAGAACUUGGAACCUUGCAUGGCCUCCAGAUGACUCUCUCUCCUUCACCUGAGGGUAAUGGUACGUAGCCAGAUUAAUGAGAAAUUAGUUCAGUGCGUGUCAUGGUGUGUAGGAGCUUAAUCUGCAUUAACUACAUAGUUCUGUUGUUAACUGACUUACGAUUUAAUCAUGAGCGAUUUCUCUCUCGAUUAGGAUUAAGGAGGUAUAAUUAGUUACUUCCUCUUCUUCUUUUAAAAACUCUUGGAGCUCAGGAAAUGGUAUCCAUAAGCAAAACAAGGAGAGGCUUCCGGCUAAUCCUAAUAAAAUAUUCCGCUUGGGGGAAGACAUGGGCCUGACUCCUUUACUACCACUGUCUCGAGGCCCAAUGUUGAUCUCAUGUUAGCUUUGAUUCCAAGCCCAGCGUGGACUUUUAUGUUCAUUCAAAUUGAUGGAUUUGAUUAAGUUAAUGAUAAAACAUCAUAAUCAAAAUCCUCUCGUGUUUUGUUAUCUUAUAAAAUUUCUAGUUAAAUGAACAUGGUUUGUUGCAUGAUAGAUAGCUUGACUACUCGACUUUUUUUCUUUUCUUUUUAUCUCCUCUCGUUUCCAUUUAUGUAUUCAAGAAUUAGUUUUGUUCUUUCAAGUUGAGUUAAAUUUUAUGAUUUAAUUUUCUUUUAUUAUAUUAUCUUGAUAUCAUGACAUAAAAAUAAUGCUUGAUAAAUUAAUUCGUGUUAACUUAGGUUAUCUUUUAUGCUUUUUAUUUAAUUAAUUUUUAAAAUUUUAUUAUUCAAUAUCGAAUCGAUUGAAAAUUAAAUUUCAUGAUUUAUAUUAAUUUGCUUUUUAUAAAAAUAACUUUAUCUAUCUUGUUUUCCUCCAAUACCCUCUUUCUUUUCAACUACUAGCCAAGUUUGUCUUGGCCAGUCUUUAGCUUACCUACUCGCCUUUCCCUUGCAUUAUGUUGAUCAUGUGGAUAACUUGGAUGGAGAAUGAGACUAGAGUCUGAUCCAAACCUUCACUUUCACUCGAAUCUUUGAUGUUUGGUGAGGAAAAACCAACAUGUGAAUACGAGUUUAAAUGUUUUUAUUUUUUUGGCUUGUGAUCCAUCUAGUGAGCUCUUUCAAGCGAGCUUUAGGUUCAUAUUGAAAUCUUUGCUUUUUGAGGUGUUAAGAUCAAGAUUAUAAGUUUUUGCAUUUUAACUAUGUCUAAAUAAGCCAUCAUAGGAAUGAGUGUGUAUAAUAAUGUUGUGCUCGAGAUUAUAACAGCAGUUAUGAUGCAAAAUAUUUUUUGUUUAUAAAUAUAUUAAAUUUUUAUUUUUAUAUUUAAAAAUUAUUUUUAAUAUUAAUACAUCAAAAUAAUUUAAAAUUUUUAAAAAAUAUAAUUCACAAGCGUUAGCUAAGUAGGGCACUAGUCGUUGUAGUGGUUGUACCCAAAACUACCAGCGCAAAAUCAACAUGACAACACCAAAGGUUCUAGAGUGUUCUGAUAUAAGACAAAUCAAGCGGCAAUAAGUCUAAUCAACGGUCUAGAUUCGCUAGAACCUUCAAGACCAAACCCCAAGUAACACUCAUUAAAGUAAAAACCUACUCUUUCCAUAUCUUUGCAAGGACUCAGAGAGUGUCAACAAGAUAAACCUGCACCCCCCUCCCCAGCCACCCACCAUCGCCUCUCAUCCAUAAACCUCAUUUCUAAAACCCCAUUCCCCCACCACCGGCCGUUUCAUUUCCCUGUAAGCUCUCAAACCCCCUUCAUCUUUCUUAUUUGUUUUGCCUUUACUGUGAUAAAGUUUCAAUCUUUACACUGUUUCUUAUCCUUUUUGUGGCAUGCUAAUCAUACUAACUUGUGAAAAAUUCCCUAAAGUUUGCUGCUUUAUAUAGUUUCUGUUAUUCUGGUUUUUGUAUGGAAAUGAAUUCUUUCAUUUGUGCUGUUUCAUGCUUGCAGUAAUGCAAUUUCGUUAGGAAUACAUUUGCUCCUGUAGGCCGUAUUAGUUGGUGAUUGAAGCGAGUUGGACUAAGAAGCUUUUCUUUUUCCUGGUUUUUGAUUCGUGUUUCUUGUGAAUUAUUUAGUUUCGCAUUCUAUUGCUUCGAGGGAACUGUGUUACUGUAAAAUAUUGAAUUGUGCUUGGAAGAGAAUUUUGUGAUUGGAUUCUCUUUUAUUGGGAAUUUUAGCUAGAAACUAUAAACAUGAAGUUCUCAGUGAGCUUAAAAUAAAUCAAAACAUACGGAGACUCAAACUUUUUUUUUUUUAAUGUUACCAGGUACUAAAGAAUAAAAAUGACUUCGACUUUUACGGCCAUGUCCUCGGUUGGAACCUUGGCUGCUCCCAAUGGCCGUGUUAUGGAUAAGAAGUUUGUAUUUUCUUCAAACAAGUUGUCAUCUUUCGCUUCCAUUUCUGCAAGUCGAUUUGGUAGGCCACAGAAUGUAGUUCUACCAAGAUCACGUUCUCUCAAGGUUAAUGCUGCCAAGGAGCUGCACUUCAACAAGGACGGUUCUGCAAUUAAGAAAUUGCAAGUGAGUUUUUAGUUGCUGGUUAUGUUGAGUACUUGCAUCCUGCUGCAGUGUGUUUGUUUGGUCUUUUUUGCCUUUUGCUUACCGGAUAUGUUCCUUUAUUGCAGACUGGUGUGAACAAGCUUGCAGAUUUAGUCGGGGUUACCCUUGGACCUAAAGGCCGGAAUGUUGUUCUUGAGAGCAAAUACGGUUCGCCUAAAAUUGUUAAUGAUGGUGUGACUGUUGCUAAAGAGGUAUGCUUUCUCUGGAUUGCUUGUGUUGUUGGUAACUUGAGGGAUGGCAUCUCUAUUCUCCUCGCCUUUUUUAGAUGCAUGCUAGAAAUCGUAGUAGUGGCUUCCCACUUUGGAUGAGGCAAACUAAAUAUUCCACUUUAUGUUAAUUCGUUAUGCUAUCCAUAUACAUAUUUAUGAGCUUAGGAAAUUCUUGUGGCAUGAUGAUCCUCCUUCUGGUUCUCGCAUGUGUUGGACAAGGACUAUGGCCAUUUCUGUUCACCAUGACAUUUUCUCCUCUUGUUGUACAUCAUUUUGUGUGAUUAUUUACAGAGUUCUUUACCUUAAAUUAGGUUGAAUUGGAGGAUCCGGUUGAGAAUAUUGGUGCUAAGUUAGUGAGACAAGCUGCUGCCAAGACAAAUGACUUGGCUGGUGAUGGGACUACAACAUCUGUUGUUCUUGCGCAAGGCCUUAUUGCAGAAGGUGUCAAGGUUGGUAUUAUGGUGCACACCGUUUAUUCUUUUAAGAAUGUUGAGCGUGGCAACCUUAUCCAUUUGUUUGUUUGCAGGUUGUGGCUGCUGGUGCAAACCCUGUUUUAAUCACUAGAGGCAUUGAGAAGACCACAAGAGCUCUUGUAAAUGAACUUAAGUUGAUGUCGAAAGAGGUAUGUAGAGUGAGGUAGAUCAUGCCUGUGGGUAAUUUUCAUGAUGCCACUGUGACCUUUGCAUGCGUGUAUUAAAGUUGAAAGGAUUGAAUGAAUAUAAUCUGGGAUUGCAGGUUGAAGACAGUGAACUUGCAGAUGUGGCAGCUGUUAGUGCUGGGAACAACUAUGAAGUUGGGAAUAUGAUAGCUGAAGCUAUGAGCAAAGUCGGUCGGAAGGGAGUGGUCACCCUUGAAGAGGGAAAGAGUGCUGAUAACAGCCUCUAUGUUGUUGAGGGAAUGCAGUUUGACCGUGGUUAUAUCUCACCUUACUUUGUCACUGAUAGUGAAAAAAUGUCAGUUGAAUAUGAGAACUGCAAGGUAUGUCAUUCACAGUUAGGCAUGCAGGCUUUUGUAGUUGAUAUUUUCUCCUGAUGUUGACAAUUCUGUAUGUUUUGGUAUAGUUGCUUCUUGUUGACAAGAAAAUAACAAAUGCAAGAGAUCUAAUCUCCAUUUUGGAAGAUGCAAUUAGAGCUGGAUAUCCAGUUUUGAUAAUUGCUGAAGACAUUGAACAAGAAGCUUUAGCAACUCUUGUUGUCAAUAAGCUUAGGGGUGCUUUGAAGAUUGCUGCCCUCAAAGCUCCUGGUUUUGGGGAACGGAAAAGUCAGUACCUUGAUGACAUUGCUAUUCUGACUGGAGGUCAGUGUUUUACCUUUGGAUUCUUCCCUCUCUAUAUGAUUUUAUUUUUGUUUAUGGUGUUCGGCUAUUACUGUGGAUAUGAAUGCCCUCGUUACAUGUUUGCUUGGGAGUGGAUACAAAUGUUCACCACUGACAUUAUUAUUUUUAUUUUGCUGAUGUUAGAAAUUUCUUUCAUUCGGUUUCAGGAACUGUUAUCAGAGAAGAGGUGGGGCUUUCCUUGGACAAAGUAGGCAAAGAGGUCUUGGGACAUGCUUCUAAAGUGGUUCUUACCAAGGACACAACGACCAUUGUUGGUGACGGAAGCACCCAAGAAGCAGUAAAUAAGAGAGUUGCUCAAAUUAGAAAUCUUAUCGAGGUGCCAAUUCUGUCUUCUCACCUUUCCUUACAAAAAUGUAUGUGUUUUUUUCUUCCUCCAGUGUGGUUUGUUGAUGCUAAAUGUAAGAUAAUAAUAAUGCAGGCUGCUGAACAAGACUAUGAAAGGGAGAAACUCAAUGAAAGAAUUGCCAAGCUGUCUGGCGGUGUUGCAGUGAUACAGGUAAUUUUCCUAUCACUCAUGAAAUAGAGACACAAAACUGUGUAAAUUGUAUUUUAACUUAAAUGGACAUGCUUUUAAAUGCUAAAGGUUGGAGCACAAACCGAGACAGAGCUUAAAGAAAAGAAACUGAGAGUUGAAGAUGCUCUUAAUGCAACCAAGGUAAUUUAUCUCACACCACCUUUGCCUGUAUUGUUCUUAGUUAAAUUAUUUGGACACCAUCCAGUCAUUAUCAUCUCAAUGGUUUUCAGGCAGCCGUUGAGGAAGGUAUUGUGGUUGGGGGUGGAUGCACCCUGCUGAGACUAGCAUCAAAGGUUGAUGCUAUCAAGGACAGUCUUGAGAACGAUGAAGAAAAGGUAAUGUGCUAAAUCAUCAUUUUAAGAACUUAUAGAAUGUUCUGUUAAGGAACUCAUAGGAUGAGAUAUAAAGGAACUUAUACAUGAUCUGUAUUUGUUCUGUGUAGAUUUUGUUUCCGAGCUGCUUAAAAAAUUGCUUUUGCUUGAUUGCAGGUGGGAGCAGACAUUGUAAAGAGAGCUCUGAGCUACCCCCUGAAGUUAAUUGCCAAAAAUGCUGGUGUUAAUGGAAGUGUGGUCAGCGAGAAGGUAUCUAAAUUUUCUGAUGUCAAAUUCUGGUACUGUGUCUCGUCUAGAACUACCUGCAGCUAAGAUCAUUUCCUUUUCUUUUAGGUGCUCUCAACUGACAAUCCUAAAUUUGGAUACAAUGCUGCAACUGGAAAUUAUGAAGAUCUGAUGGCUGCUGGAAUCAUUGAUCCAACAAAGGUGAGCUAGCAUGCUGAUCUAUAUUUUGAGGGCCAGCUCAUGAUUUGUCUGUUGGUAUUUGAGUUCAAAGUUAGAAGUCUCUUUUGGCUCUGAAGCUGUGUGUUGUUGGAUUUAAAUAUAUACUCAGUGUUAGCUGUCUUCUAUCAUUCAGGUGGUCAGAUGUUGCCUGGAGCAUGCAUCUUCGGUAGCGAAGACUUUCUUGAUGUCCGACUGUGUAGUUGUUGAGAUUAAGGAGCCUGAACCAGUUCCCGCUGGCAACCCUAUGGAUAACUCAGGUUUGUUCUUCUGAACUAUGAAACCUUGUGUGAUUGUGCUGCCAUUGUUAAGUGCUUUGUUUCUCUAGUGACUGCCUCACUGAGUUUUCUGUUCUUGCACUAUUGUUACAGGAUAUGGGUACUAGGAAGGCAGCUGUUCAACACAGAAGAGGAUCAAAUAAGAUCAGGGGCCCUCAUAGAAGCAAAUGAUCUUUUGUAAAUUUGAUUACCAAUGCUGGUAGAAAUUGCAGAUUCUGGUGAGGGUAGCUUGCUGGAAUACGGCGUGUAUUAUUCUGCAAUUAAUUGUACAAUUGCAAUGAUUUUGAACCCUUUUUUGAGUUACAAGUCUCAUCUUUGCUCAGGGUCUCGUUGCUCCACAAUUGCUAAAUCUGACGAUCUGUUGAUAUCACCAUUAAUGGUUAGUCUGAGUUAACUGUGGUGUCAAUAAAUACCUAGAGUUUAUAGCUUCAUCCCCAUAAAUUUGAAAAUAACUUGAUGGUGGCAAUCAUAAUAAUACAGUCAUCAAAGUAGAUUAUGGGCUAUAUAAAGAACCAUCUACCACUCAUAUGAUUAAGACCGGCAAUCAUAAUUGAAUGUUGAGAAUUAAAUUAUGAACAGGGAUUCAAAGAAAGGAGGUUGUUAUCUCUUUCUUGAAGGGAACUCAAUCUCCUCAAUCCAUUAUGAACAGGGAAAAAGAAUAAGUUGAACUUGUGAUUUUGUAAGAAGUACAUGCGCUGCUGCGUAAAGGGAAGGUCUCAGGUCUGGUGUGCUGAGCUUUAUCUUGCUUUCAGAGGAGACAUGGUGUCCCCUCCCAUGCUCCAACCCUCCAGUCCAGUCGAUACCUCUCGUUCCACAGCAAUCCUUCAAUAUUAUGGCAGAGGAGAUUCAUUUAAGCCUAUAAUCUAUUGGUGGGAUUGCUUUAGAAAUUUGAGAGGCACAGUGUGUUGUCCCUCCCAUACUCUCACUGGCAUGUACAAACACACACCAUGGAAGGGGUAAUGAUAAAAAUAUUUUGGAAAGGGAAAGGGAGAGGUACAGGGGAGAGAUAGAGAGCAGAAGUAAUAAAUUCUGUUAUAACAGUUAAUAAGGGACCCGAAUUCCCCGCCACCCCGCCUCCCCUACAGUCUCCCUUUCAUUAAUUAUUUUAUUUACAUUACCUAAACACUAAUAUUUUGCCUUCUAUUUUCACACUCUUCCUCUGUUGUCCAGCCAUUUAGUUACUAAUAUUAGGUGAUAGAGGUUACAUGUCUUCGUAUGCUCUCAUGAAUUUAACCCUUUGUCUUUCCAAUCAAAUCAUACUAUUUCUUUGUGAAUUAUUUUCCUAUUAAUUAUCCUGGAAAAGUAAACUUAGAUCUUAGAAAUUAGAACAGGAUGGGGUUUAACAAAAUGUUAAACACCUUGGUUUUUUUCACUGAGGAAGAACUGCUACUGGUCAUGAUGAUAAAGAAAGAGGAAGAAAGAAGCGUUGGAAUAUCCUUCAUGGAGGGCAACUUCUCAUCUAUGAUUAGGGUUUGAGAACGUAUAAAUGAGUAAUGGGGAGUGCCAUAUUGGGUUCAAAAUGACUCCAUAUGCUCAACAUUGCCCCAUUUUCCUUUCAUGUAGAGAGGAUAUUUCGAGUACAAUUAGGGUUUUCAUCACAUGGUCUUGAAUUGGAUGACCGUUCAAAGCUCAAUCUUUUACCCAAACGAAGUAUAUAGCUAAUGCCAAUGCAAGACGUGCAUGUUCAUCAAUACCCAAUGUGUUUUAGCUUCCAUGGGAAAGCAAAUUACAAACAGAGAAGAAAAAAAAAAAAAAGAAGCUUGCCAAGGCUAUUCUUUUGGCAGAGUCUUUGUCAACAUAAACAAAUAAAGUAAGAAUCAUGAUGCACAUAUAUCCAUCCAUUAAAUGAUCAUAAAAAUUAUAGUAAUGCAAUACACCAUCCAUCUAAAGUUUUGAUCUUUUUGCCCCUUUUCUUCUCUUGAUAUUAGUUGUUAAAAUCUGAUUUUUUUGUUUGUUCGAUUUCUCUUGUCCAUUACCGAAGUUCCCAAUACAAUAAUGUGGUCUCUGAUACCAAACAGCAUCAAGCUUUGCUCGGAUACGACAUGAAGAACGACUGCAAUUGGGUAGAUUGUCUGGAAGGAAUUUAAGUGUAAUUCCUCCUCUUCAAGUGGAAAAAAAGAUGAGUGGAAAGUAAAAAAAAAAAAACAACCCUAAAAGCCAAAGAGAAUCCUUGGAGUGCUAAUCAUGCUUCUUCUAGAUACAUUUAUUAUUAGAAUGUUAACUAGAGUAAUCUCUCGUGAUAUUAUUAGCAAGCACGUUAAUUCUUCACAAACAUGUAUAUAUGUUGUGGUAUGAUUAUAUAUGCAUCAGAAAUUCAAAACUCGUUUAAAUUUGAUGUGAAAAACACCAAGUGUCUAUUGUCUAUUUUAAUAAUCUGGUCCAAGCUGUCCUUUUUAUUUAAAUAUAUAUUAAAAUAAUAUAUUUUUUUGUUUUUAACAUAAACACAUUAAUCAUGAAAAAUAUUUUAAAAAAUAUUAAUUUAAUAUCUUUUCAAGUGAAAAUAAAUUAAAAAGUAAAAAAUAAUACUAAAUAAACACUCAAUUCAUAAGAUUUAUUCAUGCCCGAACGUGAUCAAAUCUUAUAUAAUACUUGACUAAUUACUUGACCUUACUAGAUAAAAAAUUAUAGCUCAUGAAGAUUUAACUUGUUGCUUUCAUUUUUAAAAUCAUGCAAUCAACAUUAUAUAUAUAGUAAUACACAAAUAUAAUAUCAUAAUAACUUCACAUGGAUUUUUAAAUAUUUCUCACAUUAAAAAAAGCUAAUUGGCCUUUGAAAAGUAUUGUAGCUCCAGAUCUAUUAAUAUUGUUCACUAAAACAAUGUAAUAAUGUUUUUAUCCUCACUUCCAAAAAACUUAGAGCGUGUUUGAUAGUGUGGUAGCGGUUGUUUUUCAAAUAGCUUUUCGUGCCGAAAUACAUGCCAAUGAUGCUUUUUUAUUUUUUAAAAAUCAUUUUUAACAUCAGCACAUCAAAACGAUCCAAAAAGUACAAACUGAACUCAAUAUUAGCAAAAAAAUAAUAAUUAAAUUUAGGCAAAACAUCGUUUGGAACGCAAUGCCAAACAAUGUCUUAGUACUAGUUAUCAAUGACAUUAAAAUAUUUUACGGGAUUCAUUUAUCAUUAUAAAAUUCACUAGGGACAAAUGAGUCAUUUUCCAUCUCAAUUACAUAAUGAAAUGACUAAAAUACUAUUGAAAGCAAAUAAAUAAAUUAGACUAGGAUCAAGGGGCACUUUAGUAUUUUCACAAUGAUUUUUUCAUUAUUAUAAUGUCAGCUGAGAGAUAAUUUAGUAUUUGACUAAAUAUAAAAAAUAAAAAAUAAUUAAAAUGUACAGUUAAACAACAAAAAUAAUCUUAAAAAAAUAAAAUUGUUAAACAUGGAUUCAAGGGGCUUCUUAGUUUUUUCACAAUGAUUUUUUUUUUUUUAGUAAUCAUAAAAUCAGUUCGAAAGCAUUUUGAUGUUUGGCUAAACAAAUAAAAAAACAAAAAAGAAAUCGUGUGUGGCAGAGGUACAUGGGAGGCACCCAUGCCAUUUGGGCAGCGUUUCUUAAUGUUCAAAAAUGCCUUUUCAUUAUGUCGCUGGAAAUACAAUCGUGUUCUCUUUUUUUUAAUGUGGUAUGUGUUUUCAGUGGUGAUCCAGUUUGUCAACGGUGAAUCUUUCUUUUUUUUUUUUUCUUUUUUUUUCCUCUCGUAUUUGAAAAUUAUAAUUUGACCCUUUUAGAUUUGGGUAGUCCAACUUCAAUCUUUUUUUUUUAUUUCUAAUUUUUGGUGUUAAAUUUUUUGUAAAAGUUUUAUCUGUUUUUAAUUUCAUCAUUCUAUUUCAAUUUAUCAAAUAUUAUAUUUUUCAAUUUGAUACUCAUUCUUUUAAUUUUUAAUUUUUUGCCUUGGUUAUUUUAUAAAAGUUUUAUUGGUUUUCAAUUUCAUCAUUCAAUUCAAAUUGAUAGUAUUAUGUUUUCCAAUUUGUUCCUUAUUAUUUUCAUUUUUAAUUUUUUUCGUGGUUUUUUUUUUGUAAAAAUUAUUAUUCUUUUUAUUUUUAUCUUUCAAUCAAAAUAUUUUUUUAUGUUAAUUCUGACCCUUAUUUUUUUGAAUUAUGUUGUCUUUUUAAUAAAUUGAUUUUUUUAAAAAUUUUAUCUUUUAAUCAAAUAUAAAAUUUAUUUUUUAUUUUAACUUUGAUCCCUAUUAUUUUAAUUAUUGUUUUUUAAUCAUAAUUAUAAUUAUUUGUUUUAAUAUUUAAUUUAUUGAGAAUUAAACUUCAUGGUUUGUCUAUAUUAAAUAUUUCAAGUCUUAUAAUCUUAGUUUCAAGUUUAAAAAUGUAAUAUGUUUUUUUCUUUUUAAAUUUUUAUUUUAUUUUAUUAGAAUAAUAUAAUUUAAACCGUGGAUUUAAUAAAAUAUUUUGAAUUUACUCAACCUAUUUAUCAUGAGUACAAGUUUGUUAUUACCGGUUAAAAGAAAGAAAAAAAAAGAGUGAGGAGCAGUGAUCCAAACAAACCUAAAAGAAAUAAAAGAAAGAAAGCAUACAAAAAAAUAAUAAAUAUAUAUAAGCAAGCAGCAUUGCAUUCCAUGCAUGGAUGAUUCAUAGAUAGAUGGAGGGUGGUGUGUGUUAUGGUUAUGGUUUAUGGUAAUGGUAGAAAUAUAUGUUUGUAAUAUCGUUGUAAUGUAAUUCUAUUUUAUGCUUAAAUUUGGCAAUGCCAUAACCGUUCCAUCUCUUUUAUAUCUCUCACACUUGAAAAAAUCUCCUUCUUCUUCACGCCGCCUCUCUCCCUCACCUUACCAACAAAUACUUACACUCUCUUUGCAUUCUUUCUAAAUAAUUCACUCUAAUUAACAAAAACAACCGAUCAUCUCUUAUAAAGUUUGUUGCUUUGGCCCCCUCCAAUGCCUUCUUCUUCAUUUACUUUCAUCCUCUGUCACUGGUAUGUAUGUAUGUAUGUUAUGCCUUUUUUUAUCACUCAUUCACUCCUGCUUUUCUUCUGCAUUGUUGUUAAAUCGUUUGAGCUGAAUUGGGAUUCUUUUGAUUUGUCUGUUUUAUUGAUUUUUGUUGUCAAGAUUGAAACUUUUUAUGGUUUGUGAUGAUGAUCAUGGUUUUAAUCAUCUGGGUUUUGGCUCUUUUGAUGAACUUGACUGAAUUAUGGUUAUUGGAAUUGUGUAAAGCAUAGAUUUCUGUGCUUUUUUGUUUUUUUCCUGUUUGGACGUUGAAAUCGAGGAAAAGUAGUGGUCUUUUUAAUGGUUUGAUCAUGUUGAUGAUGAUGAUCAUGGUUUUAGAGUCAUUUUUGGGGUCUCUUUUUUGAACUGGGGUUUUGUUCUUCGUUGAUUUUCUAGUAUAGAAUCUUUUGGUCGUGACUUAUGUGACUGUCCUUUUCUUCUUGUUAUUUGAUUUUUCUUCUCAUUAUCAUUAUGCUUCUUUGAAAUCCAUUUCUGAUGUCUGAGACUCUGGUGGCGAUAGCUUCUAGUGAGAAGUGAAGUGAUGUGAUGAUUAUUUUUGGAAAAUUUAGUUUUUUUCACUUUCUAUUACCAUUAUUGUGAUCCUAAUGGGUGGUGUUUUGUCGUUCAGAAUUUUGCUGCAUUGAAGUGCUAGUUUGUGGAUCUACAUUGUCUCAUAUACAUUGUUAGGAAGGAGUUUUUGAGCACAUUGCCGUUUACAGAAUGGAAGAUCAAAGAACUGAAAUAGAGUAUGAUGAAUUUGAGAAGCUUCUUGGAGAGAUACCAAAUGCUACUGCGGCAAAUCAGCAUUCUGCUGAUGCUGGACCUAAGAUUGCACCUCUAAAUGGUAGCUUGGCACCCAUUUCUGUGAAUUCUUGCAAGGGGGCUUUUGCUGUGAAACUUGAAAGCAAUGGGAGUUUGAAUGACAGACAAUUUUUUGCAAAUAAUACUCAACAAUAUCCUAUCAAGAAUCUCCAAUCAGAUGAAGCAAAUUUGCCAGAUGACCAAUCCUUGACAUCUGCAUUUGCAGAAUUGAGUUUUAAUAGUGGGAGUCCUUUGGUGAAUUGUAAAUCCCCACCUAGUCCUGCUGUAUAUACAAACACCAUGAACGGUUCACUCUCAAAUAUGGACCCAACAGUGAUGGUUUCCCCUCUGUUCCGAUCACCAAAUAAUUUACCUUCUGGUUUUGACAAGUUUAAUGUUGCGAAAGUUGGUCAAGAACAGUCAAAUUUCUUAAAAUUUGAUGCCCGACUACUGAAGGUGCCAGCUGAUUUUUGUCAGCCUCAGCCAAUUGAAAAUUUCUCUACGGCCUUGUCACCAACUCAUGGCAUGCAAGGUUUUCAAUUGCUUUCCAAUGUGGCUGUCCCAGGCAUGGAUUUUCCUUUAAUGUCUGAUCAUCAACAAUACUUCACUGAUGUUCAGUCUCCACUUCCUUACUUACAUUCACAACAAUUAAACCAGUCUCACAUUAGCUGGAGGAAUAUUGGAGAAGAACAAUAUUACAGGAUGCAUCAGCAAUACCUAUAUAUGCAGCAACUCCAUAAUCAAAGAUUGGAAGCUCAGAAUCCUAUUCAAGAUGGAAAUGUUGCAACCAAGCUGAUGAGUCGGAACGUGAGGCAACCAUAUUUGGAGGUGCCAUUCUCUCACCAAGUUCAACAGUCUAAUCAAGAACCAUUUUGUAGCAACUAUGCUGUCUCAAGGGGUUUGAAUCAAUCACAGAAUGGUAUACGUGUUUUGGAAAAAGUAGGAAAACAGAGUUUUCCUGAAAAGAUUCUGACAAGGUCACAAGGACUGAACACACUGAAAGCUUUGAAGUUUGGCUCAGCUGGAGGCAAUGAAACACUUGCCCAUCUCAACCAGCAUGGCAAAUUUCUAUCAAAUGGUCACCUUCUCCAUAGUUUACCUACUCCUACUGCUGGGUGCUUUCAGUUGGAUCAUUUGACCUCAUGGGAUAUAUCUCCUGAUUUUACAGCCCUAAAAAGCUCUAAUUUCAGUUCUCAGUCUUUGAAGUAUAACUCAGUAGAUGAAGUAACUGGUAGAAUAUAUCUCAUGGCAAAGGACCAGCAUGGUUGCCGUUUCUUGCAAAGAAAAUUUUCCGAGGGGAGCCCGCAAGAUGUUGAAAAGAUUUUUCUUGAGAUUAUUGAUCACAUUGUUGAGCUAAUGAUAGACCCUUUUGGGAACUACCUGGUUCAGAAGUUGCUUGAAGUAUGCGAUGAGGAUCAGAGAAUGCAAAUACUUCGUGCUAUCACUAGAAAAGCUGGGGAGCUUGUUCGGAUUUCAUGUGAUAUGCAUGGGUUUGUUCUCUCUCUUUGCGCGCGCGUGUGCAUGCACACUUAUUUUCUUGUGCAUUCAAAACUCAUGGUGUUCCCCUUUCAUGCUUUAAUUAUUUUCUGAACUGCACUUUUAAACACAGGACUCGAGCUGUUCAAAAGGUUAUCGAAACCCUUAAGACCUCAGAGCAGUUUUCCAUGGUUGUCUCUGCAUUGAAGCCUGGUAUAGUGACCUUGAUAAAAAAUAUGAAUGGUAACCAUGUAGCCCAGCGUUGCUUGCAGUGUUUGAUGCCUGAAUACAUUGAUGUAAGGCCACGUAUCUUUUCUACCUGAAUAUCUUUGGCAAUUGGAACUUUUGUUAUAUUUUUCAGAUUAUUUAUCCUCAUAGCCUUAUUGUCUGUAACCCUCAAAACUAUUAAUGUGAAGAAGCAAAUUGAUUUUUUAAAUCUUGUUUACCAAAGCAUUUGAAAUGAAAGAACAAGAGGUAAAACUAUUGUUGGUACAUGUUCUUUCAAUUGAACAACUUGAGUUGGAUCACAUCCCCGUUAGAUUAAUGGACAUCCAUCAUCUCUUCACCCUUAUAGUUGAUCUUUUCAUCUUUUCAUAACCCUGUUUUCUUACUUUUGUUCUUUGAGAUUCAGUUGUUUCUAAUUUUCCCACAGAAGUACUCUUUAGCAUGUUGUUCUCUACUUCUGUACUGCAGCAACUACCCUUAACAAUAUAGAAAGAACUGUCCUCUACUUUUACUAACAUAUUGCAUAUAUUUAAUUAUCUUCGUUUUCAUGUUAUAUAUCAUGUUAAUAAAAUUCUGAAAUUUGUGUAACUAGGUUAUGGUGACUUAAAUAGCUAUUCUUGGGUAAGUUUUUGUCAUAAAAAUUAUUACUCUGAUUAUUACUAGGCAUCAAGAAUGCAAACACCAGCUUCCUCUGAAAGAAAAAAAAAAGGAAUGGGACAUCGAUUAAGAUCCAUCCAUCAGUGUUUUUUUUUUUUUUUUUUUUUUUGAGGCAUACCAUCUAUCAAUUCAAGAAGAAUGAUUUCAAUUUUAGGAGCCUUGGCAUUCCUUGGAAAAAAUUGUUGCCUUCCAACAAUUGUUUAACUCUUCCAUGCAGAUGCAGCAAAUGAUGCUUCUUUUAGUUAUAAAUCCUACAUGCCUUACAGAUAAACCAGAAUUUAGCACUAUGUGAAACAGUGAUGAUGAUUUCUUUUGCAGUUCCUUUUUGAAGCUACAACUGCUAAUUGUAUUGAACUUGCAACGGAUCGCCAUGGCUGUUGCGUGCUUCAAAAAUGCCUAAGCCAUUCCGAGGGAGAGCAAAGGUGUCGUUUAGUCUCUGAGAUCACGUCAAAUGCUCUGAUCCUUUCACAAGAUCCUUUUGGGUACUAUAUUUUUCUCUUUUCUUUGAGCUUUAUUUCCCGUGUCUUUUCUUAAGCCUGUCUAUCACAAAGGUGUGUUGAAUUUUUCAUUCUUGCACAAUUCCAUGGAAGAAAGUGGUUUCACAUUCUAAACAUGAUAUAAGUAGUUAUUAAUAAAGGGUGACAUGUAUUAAUGAACUUCUGUUUUAUCCCGAUCCACUUUGUUUUCUUCUGUUAUGCAUUUUAUUUUCGAGGCUUAGAAUCAAAAGUGAAUAAUGUGGGACUAUUACUGAAGUAUUAGCUUUGCUUGAUAGAGGAAUUUUUGAUUCUGUGAAAUUUAUUGGUCAAAAUAACAAGUUUUUUCACAAUCUCAUCAUCAAAAUAAUUACUCAAACCCUGCUCUAACAAUUCCAAAUUUUUUUUCGUUCUUUUCCAUGCUUUACAUAUUCCACAUGCGUGGUGGUUGUUCUUAAGAUUUGGUGUUCCGAUCUCUGCUUGUGAGAUGCAGACUUGUUAUUUCUGUUUAUGGUCUGAAAUCAUCAAGUACUUUGGGUAAUUAAGAAAGGCAAGACCAAAAAGCAUUUGUGGCACUACAUCUUGAUGACUGCUUGAAUGGCCCUCUUAUGAGGAAUUUAAAAGCCAUCUUUUUAAUGCAUGCUUGGAUUUACAACACUUGAGAUUUGAAGUGUUUCAAUGUUGCAGGAACUAUGUUGUGCAAUUUGUCUUUGAGCUUCGACUUCCCUGGGCAACAACUGAUAUUCUUGGUCAGUUGGAAGGUAAUUAUAGGGACUUGUCUGUUCAGAAAUAUAGCAGCAAUGUGGUAGAGAAAUGCCUAAAAUAUGCAGGAGAGGAGCGCCGGACACGUAUUAUCCGGGAGCUGAUAAAUAAUGCUCACCUGGAUCAAGUCAUGCAAGAUCCUUUUGGUAAUUAUGUUAUCCAGGCAGCUUUGCAACAAUCAAAGGUUUGUAUUUUGAUUUUCAAUCAACAUUUUUUUCCAAUAAAAUCAUGUGCCUGGCAGUUCUCCCCUGGAAGAAAGAUUUGCAAUUAUUAUAUGCUUUUGGAUUGUUCUUUUCGUUGUCUUUCCUGGAGUCCCCUGUGGAGACUGUAGUCUUAUUUUCUGAUCUCUGUUGUUGUUUUUUUUUUUUUUUUUUUUUGGGGGGGGGGGGUGACGGUUGGUUAAAUUAAACUGAUUCAAUUUCAUUAUUUGAUUGGAUCCUUGUUUAACUUGUGGAGUAGGGAGCUCUUCAUACUGCUCUGGUGGAGGCUAUACGACCCCAUGUUCCUACACUUCGAACCAGUCCUUAUGGGAAGAAAGUCCUAUCUAGUAAUGGUUUGAAGAAGUAAUCUGCGAGUAAGAUCAUACAACUACUCUCUUCUGCAUUGUCUACAUUCUGCUUGCCCUUUCUGAUUUUUUUUGUGUGGUCGUGCAGGCUUUGCAUUCACUUGCAGAAGAAGUUCCUGUAGAUUUGGUUGCAAGAUUUUGAUGCCUUGACAUGAGAGAAAAUUGUCAAAGAUGCAUCCACAGCUCAUAUGAACAGAUGAAAGGUGAAUUUUUUUAAGGUUUAUUAAUCAUCAAAACAGAGAAUUUCGCAUGACGCAGGAUCCGAACAUCUGUAGAUCAGAUUUUUUUUCCCUCCUUUGCCUGCGAAUAAAAGAAAUGUGAAGGUGUAAAGUUCUUUGAGCUUGUGGGUUACUUGCAAUAUCUGUUUUUUUUUGGACGGGAGCUCAAGAGUCAAGGCUUGGCGGGGUGAUUGCAGGUUGGAGGAGCUUUGUAAGCUACGUGAUUUCCAUGCCGACUUUCAUCUCUGUGAUGUACAUUUCGUGUCCAUAGAUUUGCCAAGGUUAGGGCUUUGGAUUUGUCAUAUAAAAUAUUUAAGGUCCUAAUAUUGCCAUUCCCGUAAUCAUCUUUCUGACAAUAUAAUCUUUGUUGUCUCUCUCCAUAUAUAUAUAUAUAUAUAUGAACUAAUAAUUUCGUUCCUUGUGAAAUUGACUUCAUAUUCUCACUCAAAUCCUAGCACCGAAGUGCUUUAAUAUCCAUGUUCAAUAGAUAAAUAUAACUGUGAUCAUUUGUAUGAAUUUCUACCUUCCUACCAAGAACCAAGAGAGUUAUCUUUUUCGUAAUAUAAAAAUAACAAUUUAUUUUGUAUAAAUAAUUUGAUAUUAAUGGGUUUUUUCUUUUCAAAAAAGUUUUUAACUACAUUAGUAUGAAGAAAACUUGUGAUUUUUAAGAAAAUUUCAUUAGCCAACAAGAUCCACCAUGGGAUCCAUCGUACCAUUGGUAGGGUAUAUUUAUAUAUAUUGGGAUUUUUAAGAAGGAAUAUCCUCCUCCUCCUAUACUUGGCUAAAAAUUAAAAUUAAAAUUAAAAUGAAAAGAAAAUCCCAUAUUUGGUAAUCUCAAAUGCAAAUCAAGAAUGAGGGUGGGCCACGUGUCAUCAAAAGAUCCAGUCAUACCUUUCCCACAGAUGACACGUGGCACAACAUUAUUGAACAAGAGCACAAAGAGCUCAUUAGAGCCACUUCUUCUUUGAGGCCAAUCUCUCCUUCUGCCUCUCAGCAUCUCUCUCCCCCACCUCCAAAUGGAAAGCAGCAGUACUUCUCAUUCCGAGCAGAAGCAAUUGAGCUGCUGAAGCAAAGCAAAACAGUAAUUGAACAAACCAACCAUGUCUUUAUCUCCAAGUAGAUAUCCUUCUCUCUACUCUUCAUCACCAUUACCAACAAGUAGUGUCCCAGCCAAGCAAAUCCCACUCCUUUUCUCUCAAAACACUCACUUUUUAUCCAAGAACUACUCAUUUCUCAGCACUUCAACGGCUUUCAGCAAUACCCUUUUGCUAAAACCAUCAAAUUCAAUCCUUAAAGCUUCAGAAACUGAGUCACAGACAUCAAAAUCUGCAGAGACUGGAAGUGGAGGUGAAGGUGAAGGUGAAGGAGAAGAAAAGUAUGAAGAAUAUGAGGUGGAAAUAGAGCAGCCUUAUGGGAUAAAGUUUGCAAAGGGCAGAGAUGGCUCUACUUAUAUCGAUGCUAUUGCUCCUGGUGGAUCAGCUGAUAAGACUGGCAAAUUCAGUGUUGGUGAUAAAGUUAUUGCAACCAGGUUUAAUUUAUCCUUCUUCUUCUUCUUCUUGUCCAAAUUAAAUAUCAAGUCCAAUUCAACUCAAUUCAUCAUAAUGUGAGCUGCAAUUGGUAGAUGCAAGUGUUUGAAGAACUCUGCAACUCCUUUUCUAAUCAUAAAAAUGUUUUACCACAAUUUUGGAACAAUUGACAAGAAUCUUAUUUGAGAAUGUAACUUAUGGAGUUCUAAAUCUUAUGCAGUGCUGUGUUUGGGACAGAGAUUUGGCCAGCAGCUGAAUAUGGGAGGACAAUGUACACCAUCCGCCAAAGAAUUGGCCCAUUACUCAUGAAAAUGCAAAAGAGAUAUGGUUAGUUCAUCACUGCCUGAUGAACAUAUUUGUGCAAUCUUAAACUCCCACCCAUGAAAACUUGCACAUAGAACUAGACUUGGAAGUUCAUUCUUUAUUGACUACUCUGUUCAGGGAGCAUGGAUUAUGCCGGUGAACUGACAGAAAAGGAAAUUAUCAGAGCUGAGAGGAACUCUGGUGUCAUUAGUAACAGAGUGAGAGAAAUCCAAGUGAGUAACUAGAAAAAGAUACAAAGCUGGAUACCAUAUGUGUUCUCUUUCACUUUGUUUCCUUGUAUAGGAAAAGUUCUUACUGCAAGUAACUUGGCAUUUCUGACUUGUGAUUGGUUUGUCAGAUGCAAAAUUACAUAAGAAAAAAGGAGCAGAAAGAACAAAGAGAAAAGGAUCUUCGCGAAGGGUUGCAAUUAUACAAGUAACUUCUGGAUAUUCAACUUGUUCUUUCUACUUCCUUUUGAGUUCAAGUUGAAUUUCAUAUUUGCUAAGGCUAGGUCUCUAGGAUGGACUGAUUCAUUUGCUGCAUACAAAUUUAUUACAUCAAAUUAGGUGUCCCUUUAAGCGCUAGUAACAUGCUUUACUGUCUGCAAGUCAUUACAAGUUCUUCACAGUGAUACUUUUAAAAUUUUGUUUUUCCUUGGUUAAUUGAUGAAGAAAUGCCAAAUAUGAGGAAGCACUGGAGAGGUUCGAGUCUAUGCUGGGAUCGAAACCAGACCCAGCUGAAGCUGCAGUGGCAAGUUACAAUGUCGCUUGUUGUUAUUCUAAGCUUAAUCAGGUAAUGUCUUCGUUAUCUUGAAAACAGUAGCCCUUUCUCUUCCUUUUUAUCCCUUUAUGGGAUUGCUGCAUCAUUUACUUCCUCGAACUUUUAACAGUUACAAGCUGGGCUAUCUGCACUUGAAGAUGCGAUGAAAGCAGGAUUUGAAGACUUUAAGGUAAUGGACUAAAAUUGCACGUGAACAGCAUAUAGUUUAUGAAGUGCUGACUUUCUGAGGUUUUGGAAAUGUUAACAGCGAAUCCGGACAGAUCCUGACCUAUCCAAUUUAAGGACAGCUGAGGGAUUUGAACCUUUAUGAAAAGGUUUGAUGAAUCAUUUAUCAACGAGAAUGCCAUCAACGCCAUUAAAUCUCUAUUCGGAUUCAACAAGAAAUAGAGUCAUGAAUUUGCUCCAAGGAUGAAAGAAUCAAAGAGGCAACUGCUCCUGAAGUUACAAGAAGCCAGGACUGGCCAAACCACCAACUGCUUCAGAUAAAACUCCUUUGUAAUAAGAUUUUGUUCUUUCAUAGCUUUAGUUUAGGACGAGUUCAGAAAAGUUUAAUAUGAUUCGCCAUGAUUGGCUUGUUAUCCUGAUUCUUCUUUGGAUACAGUCUAUGAUAUGUAAUCUUCUUGACAAGAAAAUUGAAGAGGAUAAACAAGAAAAGUAAACUGUUUCUUUUAUUAUUGGAUAUAACAGAAUGAAUUUACUGCCAUCCUGUCGAACUUCCGGGCAUGUAAAACUGCUGUACACUACACAGAAAGCCCUAAUUCUAUUAUGAACAACAAAUUUAAAAUGAAAUUACAGAAACUACAAGAGAAAUGAGGAACCACAAAGAGUACAUCUUGAUUAACUUACAUAAAUUUGAAGAGUUAUAAUCCGAUUCAUACACAAUACUUGACUCUUGAAUAGCCAAUGUUAUCAAACAAUCUCACGGAUUAAGCCUCGUAUCGAGUCCCCCGUAUUAAGCCAUAACUCAAGCUUACACAAUCCCAUAAGUCGAGUUUACGCAAUCACAUGCAUGAUAGUCCGACACAUUCAAACGAAAAAGUUAUGAGAACAAGACAAACCCGUUUCUUUGAACAUCAGAAUUAGGAUUCUCAGUUCUGGAUUGUGGACUUGUUGAAUAUGAGAACAAAUAGUACUAUUUAACAGCCAAACUAAUUGGAAAUAUUGUACUUUCAACACGAGUAUGGUCAUGAAAGUGACCAUGAUCUUAGGCUGAGGAUUGGUGUCGGUGAAGACGAAUUGGAAGACCUUGGGAUGGUGCAGGCAUGGGAUGACAUGUAAGUCUCUCAUCAGGAAUCAGCAAAUCCCAUUUUUCAAUCUCUUCACAAUAUUAUGCAGGAACACGAGUAUUUGUGGUCUAGCGUAUUCAUUCCCCAUGCAAAUCCUUGCCCCACCAAAUGGAACACGCGAAUAUGGGGCAGGUGUCCUGCUCCUUCAUACCUGGAAUGAUCAAAGUCUUCUGCAUUUGAGAAGAGAACUGGGUCUUUAGUUGUUGAGUCAGGACUCCAGUGUAGCUGAUGCACGCAGAUCAAAGCGUAAGUUUUAUGAUCUAGACAAUCUGACAAACUUCGACAACUUGUUCAAUUGCUUGCAUAAAAUUCAUUCUAGAAUACAGGAGAGUGAUUGUACAUACCUUCCAUCGUUUUGGGAUUGUAUAACCUGCAUAGGUGAAAUCAUCUAAAGCCUCUCUAAAAGUACCACGCAUAGGCAGCAUCAGCUCAGAACUUCAGAGAUCACAUUCCAUGAGCAUCUCAUUUUCUGAAAGUCCUCCCAUUUCAACAACUCUCCUGGUUCUUUAGACUUGGCAAUAUCAACCUGCUCUGUUAACCACACGGAAUCAAACUGGAGUAAGAAAUACGGAAAACCCAACUCAAGAAUGGGGAGGCUAUAUCAUGUGGAAACAUGAGCCCUGUAAGUUGUCUGCAAUCUUGUUGUAGAAUUUGCUCGAAAAAAUCAUAUGCUUUAAUUAAGAUGACCUGCUGACCUUUCUAAAACAUUGUGUACACUUACGGAAAUUCUACAAGAUACUUCAUGAUACAUGUUAUGGCUGAUGUAUCAGUGUCAUGACUACCAAAGAGAAACAGCAGCAUGUUGUCGAGAAUCUCAUGACUACAAGAUGCAUUUGCAGUCACAAGCAAAUGUUAAAGAGUAUCCUAAUAUACCUUCCCGGUGUGUCCUAAUAUGGUUUCGUGUGGCCAAAUCCAUCCUGUCUAUGAACCGCUUUGAGUGCAUCUCGAUCAGUGAGUGUCAAGAGUAUCAUCUGUAAGGUUUUGUAAACCAAUAAUUAUCAACCACACCUUUGCACAUGGCGUUGGAAUAUUAUUAUAUAGAAAAAUGUUACAACAGAAGGUGAGAGUAAUAAGGAAAUAGCUGUUACAAGAUAUACACUAUACUAUAAUUAGGAUUAAUCAGUUCUUAGACAGACGCAUACAAUUAAUUGUAAUACAAUCAAAUGGCAUGAUCUUCUUCUUAAUGCUUGGAAAGAUUCUCUCUAGAAGAUGGGAUUGUGUUAGCGUCAAUAUCAUCCUCAUCCUUAUCCUCUUAGCGUCAUCACCAACUACAUUAACCAAGCUUGACCUCAACAGCAAAUGUUAAGAGUAUCCUAAUAUACCUUCCCGGUGUGUCCUAAUAUGGUUUCGUGUGGCCAAAUCCAUCCUGUCUAUGAACCGCUUUGAGUGCAUCUCGAUCAGUGAGUGUCAAGAGUAUCAUCUGUAAGGUUUUGUAAACCAAUAAUUAUCAACCACACCUUUGCACAUGGCGUUGGAAUAUUAUUAUAUAGAAAAAUGUUACAACAGAAGGUGAGAGUAAUAAGGAAAUAGCUGUUACAGGAUAUACACUAUACUAUAAUUAGGAUUAAUCAGUUCUUAGCCAGACGCAUACAAUUAAUUGUAAUACAAUCAAAUGGCAUGAUCUUCUUCUUAAUGCUUGGAAAGAUUCUCUCUAGAAGAUGGGAUUGUGUUAGCGUCAAUAUCAUCCUCAUCCUUAUCCUCUUAGCGUCAUCACCAACUACAUUAACCAAGCUUGACCUCAACAGCAAAUGUUAAGAGUAUCCUAAUAUACCUUCCCGGUGUGUCCUAAUAUGGUUUCAUGUGGCCAAAUCCAUCCUGUCUAUGAACCGCUUUGAGUGCAUCUCGAUCAGUGAGUGUCAAGAGUAUCAUCUGUAAGGUUUUGUAAACCAAUAAUUAUCAACCACACCUUUGCACAUGGCGUUGGAAUAUUAUUAUAUAGAAAAAUGUUACAACAGAAGGUGAGAGUAAUAAGGAAAUAGCUGUUACAAUAUACACUAUACUAUAAUUAGGAUUAAUCAGUUCUUAGACAGACGCAUACAAUUAAUUGUAAUACAAUCAAAUGGCAUGAUCUUCUUCUUAAUGCUUGGAAAGAUUCUCUCUAGAAGAUGGGAUUGUGUAGCGUCAAUAUCAUCCUCAUCCUUAUCCUCUUAGCGUCAUCACCAACUACAUUAACCAAGCUUGACCUCAACAGCAAAUGUUAAGAGUAUCCUAAUAUACCUUCCCGGUGUGUCCUAAUAUGGUUUCGUGUGGCCAAAUCCAUCCUGUCUAUGAACCGCUUUGAGUGCAUCUCGAUCAGUGAGUGUCAAGAGUAUCAUCUGUAAGGUUUUGUAAACCAAUAAUUAUCAACCACACCUUUGCACAUGGCGUUGGAAUAUUAUUAUAUAGAAAAAUGUUACAACAGAAGGUGAGAGUAAUAAGGAAAUAGCUGUUACAAGAUAUACACUAUACUAUAAUUAGGAUUAAUCAGUUCUUAGACAGACGCAUACAAUUAAUUGUAAUACAAUCAAAUGGCAUGAUCUUCUUCUUAAUGCUUGGAAAGAUUGUCUCUAGAAGAUGGGAUUGUGUUAGCGUCAAUAUCAUCCUCAUCCUUAUCCUCUUAGCGUCAUCACCAACUACAUUAACCAAGCUUGACCUCAACAGCAAAUGUUAAGAGUAUCCUAAUAUACCUUCCCGGUGUGUCCUAAUAUGGUUUCGUGUGGCCAAAUCCAUCCUGUCUAUGAACCGCUUUGAGUGCAUCUCGAUCAGUGAGUGUCAAGAGUAUCAUCUGUAAGGUUUUGUAAACCAAUAAUUAUCAACCACACCUUUGGACAUGGCGUUGGAAUAUUAUUAUAUAGAAAAAUGUUACAACAGAAGGUGAGAGUAAUAAGGAAAUAGCUGUUACAGGAUAUACACUAUACUAUAAUUAGGAUUAAUCAGUUCUUAGACAGACGCAUACAAUUAAUCGUAAUACAAUCAAAUGGCAUGAUCUUCUUCUUAAUGCUUGGAAAGAUUCUCUCUAGAAGAUGGGAUUGUGUUAGCGUCAAUAUCAUCCUCAUCCUUAUCCUCUUAGCGUCAUCACCAACUACAUUAACCAAGCUUGACCUCAACAGCAAAUGUUAAGAGUAUCCUAAUAUACCUUCCCGGUGUGUCCUAAUAUGGUUUCGUGUGGCCAAAUCCAUCCUGUCUAUGAACCGCUUUGAGUGCAUCUCGAUCAGUGAGUGUCAAGAGUAUCAUCUGUAAGGUUUUGUAAACCAAUAAUUAUCAACCACACCUUUGCACAUGGCGUUGGAAUAUUAUUAUAUAGAAAAAUGUUACAACAGAAGGUGAGAGUAAUAAGGAAAUAGCUGUUACAGGAUAUACACUAUACUAUAAUUAGGAUUAAUCAGUUCUUAGACAGACGCAUACAAUUAAUCGUAAUACAAUCAAAUGGCAUGAUCUUCUUCUUAAUGCUUGGAAAGAUUCUCUCUAAAAGAUGGGAUUGUGUUAGCGUCAAUAUCAUCCUCAUCCUUAUCCUCUUAGCGUCAUCACCAACUACAUUAACCAAGCUUGACCUCAACAGCAAAUGUUAAGAGUAUCCUAAUAUACCUUCCCGGUGUGUCCUAAUAUGGUUUCGUGUGGCCAAAUCCAUCCUGUCUAUGAACCGCUUUGAGUGCAUCUCGAUCAGUGAGUGUCAAGAGUAUCAUCUGUAAGGUUUUGUAAACCAAUAAUUAUCAACCACACCUUUGCACAUGGCGUUGGAAUAUUAUUAUAUAGAAAAAUGUUACAACAGAAGGUGAGAGUAAUAAGGAAAUAGCUGUUACAGGAUAUACACUAUACUAUAAUUAGGAUUAAUCAGUUCUUAGACAGACGCAUACAAUUAAUCGUAAUACAAUCAAAUGACAUGAUCUUCUUCUUAAUGCUUGGAAAGAUUCUCUCUAGAAGAUGGGAUUGUGUUAGCGUCAAUAUCAUCCUCAUCCUUAUCCUCUUAGCGUCAUCACCAACUACAUUAACCAAGCUUGACCUCAACAACAAAUGUUAAGAGUAUCCUAAUAUACCUUCCCGGUGUGUCCUAAUAUGGUUUCGUGUGGCCAAAUCCAUCCUGUCUAUGAACCGCUUUGAGUGAAUCUCGAUCAGUGAGUGUCAAGAGUAUCAUCCUCAUCCUCUUAGCGUCAUCACCAACUACAUUAACGAAGCUUGAUUUCAACAGCUUCUUCAGCGAACUUGGCUACCAUCUCGUUCUCAUUGCUAAACAAGAACUUGUUCCCAGCGAACACGGCCAUUGACUCUCCGGUAUACGUGUUUAUAGAUAAUCGGUUGGUUACACGUGAUAUUGAUUUUGUUUAUGUAAAUAUAUUUAAUUUAUUAAUAAAAACUUAUUUAUCUUUAAUAUCCAUCAAAUAUUUUAUUAAUAAACAUAAUAUUUGAUUAAUGAAUCUAAGUAAAGAUAAAUAGUCAUUGGAAAAAAAUAUUAUGCAAAGAAAAUUAUGAAGUUGUUAUAAUUAUGGAAAUUUCAUUGCAUCAAAGUAUUGUUUCUCAAUUUUUUUUGUUAAUAUUAUAUUAAGACUGUACAUUAAUUAGAGUUAAUGAGACUGAUACAUAUUAUAUUUUUUCUUUUAAGAAAGUAAACAUUUGUUCUCAUAAGUUGCGGUAUGAAAGAUACCUAAAACUAAUAUGUAUGUGCUUGUCAGAUGACAUGUAUACUGAAUUUACUCACAUGAGAAUUCCAUAUAGAUAGAUCAUUUGUAUCUAUGAAAAGGUUCACGUGACAGAUGUUUACGUGAUCAUUAGACUUGGGAUCACUAAGUUAUCCUAUAUAAAGAGUGUUAUGUUUUAAUAUUGCUAUAUGUUGUCCUAAUCAUAGGUAACAAAUGAGCAGAUAUUGAGUAUAACAUGAACUAUAUAAAGGUAUUUAAGUAAUUAAGGGAUGAUUCAUUACUCUAAAUGGAUUAAAGAAAAUGUUUUAUAUGUUCUCAAAUAAUAUUGAUUGUAAAUCCUUGUGUUAGGUGGAAUGAAAUUUAAAAAGAGUUUCAAAUCUUAUUCAAAAAAUCAAUGAUUAUAGUGUUAAGAACAAAUAUUAUUUGACAAAGUAGACAUACUCUAUGUAUAAUGUCUAAAUUGAAACAUUGUUGAUGAAGAGAUGAUAAUUACACUGAGAUACUGGUCACUGAAAGAUUAAGUUAAAUCAUUUAUGACUUUUCUAAUAUUUAAAGAAUCAUGACAUAUUACUAAACAAUGCACUUGAUCUUUAAAUACAAAUUAAUCAACUAUUGAUGGGCAACCUAACCUAAGAAGUAGGGUUACCAUUUGUCAAUGGUAGUUGCACCCACCAUUGACAAAUGCAUCAACCCAUGUGUAGCUGUUGUUGUUGAAGAAAAGGAGUCACCAUUCUUGCCUAUAAAUAGGCAGCAAGAAAGCAGAUCAAAGAGUGAGCGAGAGAGAGAAUGAAGUGAAGUGAAGAGAAGAAAAGAGAAAGAGGAGUUGCUGCCAUAUGCAGCAGUAUGUGUGAGCUGAGAGUUGAGUUAGAGUGGAUGUGAUCCUCCUCCUCCAUGUAUUUGUUUUAUAUUCUUUUUCUAUCUCUAAUAAUAUUGACUCUCCCGUGGAUGUAAGUGAUUUGCCGAACCACGUUAAAUAUUGUGUCAGUGUGCUUACCCUCCUAUGAGCAAAUUAUUAGUACAUCACCGGUUUAGGUUUCCCUACACGGGCCCCCUCUGAAUGGAACAUAUGAAUAUGGGGCAGGUCCUGCUCCUUCAAACAUAGAAACAUCAAAGUCUUCUGCCUUUGGAAACAGAAUUGGAUCCACAUGUGUUGAACCGCUAUUCCAAAACAACUAGUGAACAGAGAAAAUGUUAGUCUCAUAUUUUUAACAAUCUGAGUUAAACAGAGAAAACUGCAAGAGACGUGAGUACCUUUGAUCCUUUUUGGACAGUGCAGGCGGCAACAGCCUCGGAACUUUGGAGACCACAUUCCAUGAGUACCUCAUUUUCUGUAUAUCCUCCCAUUUCAACAACUCUCCUGGUUCUUUAGACUUGGCAAUAUCAAUCUGUUCUGCUAACCACAAGCAAUCAAACGGUUGUUUGUGAGAAAAGUUUACUUUCGUGAUUGAAGAUUCGCGGAACAUGGUCAAAAGUACUGCUAGAAUCAUGUAGUAAAUGCAACAGUACGCUAUAAGACUAACCUUUCAGGACCAUUCUGUAAACUUGAGGCAAUUCUGCAAGAUACUUCAAGGCACAUGUUAUGGCUGAUGUAGUGGUGUCAUGACUGGCAAAAAGCAACAGUAAUAUGUUAGCAGCAAUUUCCAUCUCUGAUAGGAACUUUCCACUUGCAUCUGAGGUCACAAGCAAGUGCGACAGAAGAUCUUGUGUUGGUGACACCAUUUUCUUGUCCAAAGCUUCUCUUCUUUGUCUAGCAACCAAUCGAAGCUCUUCACUUAUUGCAUCAACAGCUUUCACAGCACAAUAAAAUCUUGUGCCCGGUAUAAUGAUUGCAAAACUAAAGACAUCUGCAAGCUUCAAAAUGUGUCCAGGGUCUUCGAUUGCUUGUAAACAUACGACAGGAACAUUCUUUUGGACUUAGUUCUAUGAUUCUAUCCACUAAUCCAGACUAUCUGCAUGAUCCGUUGAUGGCAGAUCUCCAUUUCACUGCUCAUAACCUUUCAUUUUCUUUCGGUACGGCUACAUCACAAAUAUCAUACGAGACAGGACCUAAUUUUUAUUCAUCCUUUCUUGUUUCCAGGAACAUUUGAAUACAAGCUGUUGAUGCCGAGUGAUUAAUUAAUAAUUCCACUCCAGGAACACUAUCCUUGUAAAUCUACAAGUUGACUUGCUAUAUAAUUAACAAUUCUGGUGUUUUUCUUUGUUUCUUAUCCUUUUCUUUCUUGAUGGAAUAGUGCAUCAACGAAUGAGAUUUGAAUAGUGCAUCAACAAUGAAAUCGACGGGGAAAAAAAGGAGGAGAGGUCAUUGAUGAAAGUGGCCAUCUUAGACUGAGGAUUGGCGUGGCUGAAGAUAAAUAUACAGGAAGACCUUGCGAUAGCGCAGCUGUCCGAACACAUUCUCGUCAGGAAUCAGUAAAUCCCAUUUGAAUCCUUUCAUGAUGUUAUGCAGGAAGAAAAGUAUCCGUGGCAGAGCAUACUCAUUCCCGAGGCACAUCCUCGCUUCCCCUCUCAAAAUCUUCAAACCUAGAAGCAUGAACAUGGGCAGGUCCUGCUCCGCCAAACCUACGAGCAUCAAAAUCUUCAAACCUUUCAAUUUAUAUUUAUGUAAUCUUUGACUUCCCUCUUCCCUCUCAAUAAUUGUACUGAAACCUGCAUAAGGUUUUGCUUGGAGGACUCUUCUUGUCGUUCUCAUUAAUUGCACUGAAAGCUACAUAAAUCUAAUUUAGGCCUGAUGUUCCAGUACUCCCAUCGGUAUUGCAGCAUUUGAAGUUGUGGGGGCGUUCGCUAGGUUUGAAAUUGCAACCACAAAUGUGACGCAAGAUAAAAGCACCAACAAGAAAACAACAAGCGAAGACAAUAAGCAAGAACAACAGACUUAUUGGCCGAAAAGGGUUUAGGGUUUCUGAAAAUAACAAACAUCGUCUUCAUGAUCUAAUUUGUAAAUCUUUCUUAUCUCCGUCUAAUCAGAUCCUUCAAAUUUCUACUCACCUGGCUACAUCAAAAUGGAACAGCCACUAAUAAUUCAACGGGAAGUUUUAGAUAUUUCUUCAAAGAAAAAUGAACACAUAUUAUAGCAGAAGUCACAUUGAGUUUGGAGGGUUGGCAAAUGAACAAGACCUCUACACACAGCAGGGGCUUGGGAAAUGCAUGCAGGAUUUUUUAUGCAUGUGAUUUAUCAAUGCCUCAAGAGGUUCCUGAUGAUUCCAAUACAUCUAGGCAGAGCUCACAUCACUUUCGUUACAUUCCAUCCAUUUUCUGAUGAGCUGCACCAUAUGUUUUCUUCGAAAAAAAUCAAAUGAUCAUCGAGAAUUGGUAAAACAAAUUAAAGGAUAUAAAUAUAAGAAAAGAUGGAUCAAUUAAAUUCAACUAUAUGUGUCAAUUAAUGGCUAGUCAAUAAUGUCCCAAGUAGGGUAGUUUCUUGGAAGAUUUGAGCUCAUGCCGUCUUGCAGGAAGAAUCCCAUGCUGGAUUUCUACACAGAAGGCUCUUGUUUUCUUGGAUUUAAGCGAGAACAAGCUAGAAGGACCAUUCCCGCAAUGGCUUGCAGAAAAGGACGUAGGCAACAUGUUUCUUUCAGACAAUAAUCUCACUGCUUCUCGCCUCUUGUAGUCUUAAAGUUUAUCAGUUCUAGCCUUGAUUUACUUCUAUUUAAAUUUAAAAUUAUUUAAAAUUUGAACUUGUUUUUCGUUUCUAUUUAAUUAGAAUUCUAAAGUAUGGGAAAAAAUAAUGGGAAAAACUUAUGGGGACCAUCUAUUAUGUCAUGGGAGAAUUGAACAACCUUGGAUAUAUUCUUAUGGAGGUCUGAGCAACCUUCAGACACUAUCUUUUAUCUUUUUACAAUAAAAUCUUUGUAGUUAAUUGUUUUUAAUUCAAUAAAAUUGUUAUUGUUAUUGACACUUAUCAAGAAUGAGUAACAACAAACUCGAGUGUCAGAUUCCAGUGGGUGGCCAAAUGGACACAAUGAAUGAUUCAAACUCGUAUGCCAACAACAGUGGAUUAUGUGGAAUGCCAACAGAGCAGCCACCGGUAAAGCUACCAGAAACAGAUGAGAAGGAGGUCAAGUAAAUUCAUGCAGAAACAUGCUAUAAUAACAGCUUUAUAAAAUUCAUUGAGGGAAUCAUGAAUCUAACAUGAUGAUAAGUACCCAAUGUCAUAAAAGAAGUGACUUAACAGGAGUUAGAUUGUGAACUUGUACGUAAUGUCAUAAUUGCUAAAUGAAUGGGCCAUUACAUUGUAAAAGAAUUGGAAGAGACAAUAUUUUUCCCAUUUCAUAUCAACUAUUUUGACUUCUCUCCUGGAUAUAUUUUGAUUUGAGAGUAGAUUCAGCAGAGCAGAAGUGAAUGGGAACCUGAUCUAACUCCACUUCAGUUUCUUAGAGUAUUCCCUAGGGGAUGAAUAGACUGAGUAGUCACAAAUUAUUUUCAUCUUUCUCUUAUAAUUGCUGUAGUCGCUUCGGAAACUUGCACAAGAAGGAUGCUAUAUAAUAGAUGUCAAAGAAUCGUACAAACACAGCCCCUAUUGCUCUGAUCUUCACUGUCACUAUCUUCUGUUUCACUGUUUAAAAGGGAAAAACAGAUUAAACGAAAUAUUAUUAGGUUGCGAACAAUAUCCAGAUAUGAAAUAUAUUGGUUAUGAACAAUACAUAAAAAUAGAAUUAAAAAAAUAAAAAUAGAAGAGGUGCUGAAAUGCUAGAAAAGCAGCAUUGUAGUGUGUUGUUUAGAGACAAAAGCAAGUUGCAACAUGCAUCAUAAAAAUGCAGAUUUUCUAUAUGAUUAGAGCUGCUAAUGCGAUGAGCAAUUGCACUCCUCUAGGGGUUGCACAAGAUUCAGGGGAUUAGGACCUUAAUUGCCCCAUAAAAAGUGAUAAUAAUUACAUAUAUCUCAAGCAAAUGGAUUGUCAACGUUUUCAAGAUAUGUUCUUGACAAUGUUUGCAGUCAUGUGAUGCAAGCUGGAUGGCUUGAAAUCACUUGAUCAAGCCAAUUUUCUAUACAGUUAAUGCACAAGCAGUAACAGAUUAAAUUGAGGAUUUGAAUCCUUUACAGACAGAAAUUACAUGGCAGAAUCCUUUAGACGAGUCAAAAUACCAUCUCUAAAACUCAACAAAUAGCUUAUACCAUCAUAUGUGUGCAAAACCAAACACUAUCCUUGCAUUCCUGCUCAGGAAGAGAGUUGACCAAGACAGAGUCGGGAACCUAAAAGAGAGACAAAAUUGAAUGGAACACAAAAUGCUGCUAAAUAUUCUUUUCUGUUAAGUCAAUCUCUUAACUAUAUCAUAGAAUCAGCAAAGGAUUUUCCAUUCUCAAGAUAUCACAAAGAAGGAGAUUAAUAUGGCCAUCUAGUCUAUUCAUAUGUUCCCUGGAAAUCAUUAGCCCAUCCCAAGCAAAAACUUUUUAUCUGAUCACAUUGAGUUCCGAACUUAGGAUGCCAUUGUCCUCGUUUAUAAACAGAUCAAUGUAAGAGUAUUGUUUUCUAGGACCAAUUAAAGCUUACUGCUUUCUAACAAUUCUAACAAUAAGAACUUAUCCACCACAGAAAAUGCAGCCUUAAGAAGGAACUUCCCUUCCUUGCCCUAGAAGAAGCUUCUUUGCACAACAUCCAACACCAGUACAACAACAACAACAACAAAUGCUAUAGCUGAAGGGACUAGAAGUGCUACAGGCAGUUAAUUAAUGAGAACAUUAACAGAAUUUGAUCAAACCAUUCUUACUUGUUCAUCCCAUCUCCAACAAGUGUUCAUAAUCCCUACAUAUAGGACUUUAUCUUUUCAAUAAAAAUUUCGGCCUAUCAGUAUAUUAUAUGGCUUUAACUAACAUUUCCUAGCACCAAAUUUAUCUAUAGCCUCAUUUUUUUUUUUUCAAUAAUUAGCACACGGAUGGAAAAUUUGGAACAUUUUGGGCUGCAUAUCAAUCAUCCCAUCCCAAAUUUCAUCAACUUCAGCAAGUGGACUUUAUACAGAACCAAACAUUGCAUUGUACAAGAAAAAUGUAGAUAGAGAUAACAGAGACCACAAAAAAAAAUACAAACCUGGACUCAAAUUCUCUGAUCUCAACAAGUUCUUUCCCUAAGAAAUCUAUCCACUGCACUUUCUUCUUAUCACCCUCUGUGGAAUCAAAAGCUGCCCUUUUUAGACUACUUUUGAGGCUAUUCUGACACUCUGGUUGCUUCCCAUCAACACCUACACUCCCUCCCUUCACCUCAAUGGAAUCACUAAGCACGUGAUUAUCAUUAGAGGAGGCAUCGGCAACUGAUAUAAUUGCAGUUGAAGGCACAUGGGGACUGUUUUCCAAUUUCAAUGGUCCUGGUGUGUAUAUACUAGGAGAGGGUUUGCAAAAGCAAAUGAAGGAAGGACAGUGGAUCUUGCUGAACAAAACCCUCAUGAACAAAAUAUUUUCUUUAUCAUCAAUCAAACUACAAAACAAUUAGCCCAUUUCAUAACUCCAAUUCAAAAGCAUGGAUCUAAAUCUUGAAACUUUUCCUCAUUGAAUUUCUAUAAUUUGAAUGAAAAACAAGCAAACCCAACAAGGCGAGGUAUAAAAGAUAAUAUCUUUCAACAGACAAAACUGUUGUCAACCUAGCAAAAAAAAUAGUCAAAAAUCGAAGAACAUAAGAGUAAGAUAACUUGUAUUGGCAACACAGAACUAAAUUAAACUCAAGCGGGGCACUUGUUUGAGUUUACAGAUCAAAAGGAGGAAUCAAGUCAAAAACUUUCAGGGAAACAAGUUUGAGUCUUUAAGGUAUUUGGUGAUAAAAUAAGAGACUCAAUGGACUACAAAACUGUCCUUCCAGAGUUACAAGACCUCUGUUUCCACUAUUUCAAUGAAAGAAAAAGACAGCAGUUCUAAUCUUAAGUUCUUAACAAGACAGAACAAAAUGAUGUAAGAUUAAUAUUGCAAGAAAUGACAAUGCUACCCCUUUCAUUUCACCUCUGCACUGUCAAUCAAUGAUGAAAGAAGGAGCAAGAAAUCUAGUCAGAUAUGUCAGAACAAAAGGAACGUGAAAGCUUAGAGAGAUAGAAAGAGAGAGAUCCUAUGAUUUGGAAGAUAAAAACCAACUGUCCAAAUAUUCUGUAUAUUGCAAUGUAACUGUUAGUCCCUCCAAAAGGGGGAUUUGAUUUAUCAGUAGCUGGCUAAAUAUUUUAUUAUAAAAAUACAGUCUAUAUUAAUAAAGUAUAAAACAUGGCGCAAUUGCCUUGCCUUUUCACCACCCAACGUGGCAUUUUGCAAGAAGGAGAAGAAAUUAUUUUAUUGUGAAAAAUAUUAUUCCCCCUUGUUAUAUGAGCUGGUUUGACAAAUUGUUUAUGCAAACGCAAAGUAAAAACAAGAUUAUAAAAGAUUGUGGUCAAUGGAAUGGGAUAUGGGAAGAACAAAUGUAGGAAGAUAUCCUCCAUCAUGGAUUAAAUAACAUUUAAUAUGAAAAAAUCACAUUUAAUUGAUUAGCAUAUCUCAAGUAGCAAUAUUCAAAGAACAUAAUGCUUCAAGAUUGUUUAUCUUUCAUAUUAAUCUUCUCUUGUACAAGCACCUUUGGCCAAUAUAAUUCUCCUAUGGUUUGCCUAACAAGCAAUUAAGCAUCCUUAUCUUCUUAUCCAAUGAUUAGGCAUUAAAGUUUCCAAAGCAGAUGAGGUCCCCAGUUACUAAUCACGAUCAAGUAGACUACUCAUUAGAGUUUUGUAGCUUUAUAUAGGUUUUUUGAGUCCAUGAACUAUUGAAAUAUCACUAGUUACUUGUACUAAUGUAAGAUAAUGUGUUUGAUGAAAGUGUUGUGAUUCACAUGAGUUUGGAUUUAUUCCUAAUUAUCUGGAUUAAGUUUUCUAGGGAAUUAGAAGAUUUAAGCGAAAGCAAAGCUACUGCUCUAUUGAGGAGUCAAAGGCUUAUGCUAGCCCCUCAAUUUGCUUUCCGCUUUAUUCUUUCUUUAGUUGCCUCCUCAACCCAAUGGAAAAUCUAUCUAGAAAGCUUUUCUAGCCGACACAAAAACAACUUUUGAGAAAAAUAUAAUUUAGACCCUUUUUAAUGAUUUUAAAAAUUAGCCCUUUUGAUUCUGAAUAACAUAAGUUAAAGUCUUUUAAUCCAUGUUGAUAGUUAAUUUAUUUUGAGAUUUCUAAUUAUCCUUUUUACAAGCAUUUUUAAUUUUGUUUCAGUGGAUGAGAUUGGAAAUUUUGAUUAAAAUUAAAAGGCAUUUUAGAAAGAAGAAAAAAAAAAACUCAAGUUAUGAAAAACAACAGCAAAGAAACUAUUUAGAGAGUAUUUGAAAAUGUUGUUGUAUUCAUGUAUUUAAAAAAAUUUAAAUUUUUUUUGUUAAAAAUUAAUUUUUUAUAUGUUUUGGAUCAUUUUGAUAUGUUGAUCUUAAAAAUAAUUUUUUUUUUAAAAAAAAAAAUAUCAUUUUGAUGUAUUUUAGUAUAAAUAACACUUUAAAAAAUAAUCACAACCAUAUUUUUAAUAAGAGACUUAAUUAAUCAUAAACAAAUAUAAAAUUAUGACAUGGUACAAUAAAUUAUUUUAUUGAAAAACAAGGAUCAAAUAAAAUAAUUUACCCAACUUUUUCAUUGUUUCAACUUUUGAUGAGUAACAUGGAUGACAUGAUACACCUUUUGACAACAUUGCUCUACCACCAUCAAUCAAAUUGGUUGCAGUACUUCGUUUCUCUAGCACCAUCCCAUGGAAACCACGUUUAACAAAUAUAAAAAAGAUAUAAAUCAUAGUUAUUUUUUGCAAUUAAGUUUUAAAGAAAGGAUUUUCAAUUAAAUUCAUAUAAAACUAUACUAUAUAUCGAUUAACCAAACAGUUUAGUCGAGGUAAAAGGAGCCUAAGUGUGAGCUAGAGGUUUGCUUUUGUUUGGUAAUCAAAAUGUAACAGAAAGCAGAGUCGCAAUCUCAACCCAGCUGCUAAACCAAAGUCCCCUCCAGUCACAUAAUAAUCUCUCCACUCCUCCAUGUUUCCAUAGCAUCAAAACACCAAUUUUCUUGUAGGGAAUUCCCCAUCUCACUGUUAUUUGUUUCAAGAUCCUUAAGAUGAAGACAUCAAUUUAGAAGUCUCUGGUGGGGUUUUGAGAAGAUUUAGAUCAAGCAUCUUAAAAUAGCUAAUGAUGAUAGAAUUAGGUACAGGCACUCAUUAUGAAGAUGUGCAACACGUUAACACGUCAAAAAAGUGGAGCGUAGAUCGAAAUUCGAAUGCUAGACAUUUGGAAACCACAUUAUUACAGAAGCCAAUCAAAGGUAGUGAUGAUGCAAAGCAAAAACACACAGCCUUGGUAAAGUUUGUGACAUGAACAUGGGUGUCAAUUUUGACACCUUUUCUGUGUUUUUUUGGGACAAACGCAUGCCCAUGUGUUUGAUUGUGGGAGCACUGGCCCCUCUCCUUGUCUUGGAUGAUAUCAUAACCACAUGUAUUUCCUUUUACAAUAAUAGAUACUGAGACUUGCUAGGUUUACGAAGCUGUUAAGGUUUUCUGCUCAAAGUGCUCCAUUGUUACCUCAGAGGACCUCUCCCAUCAAUUAGUGGGCAUGUAGGACAAAGUGUUUUGGAAUGUGUUGCUCGGGUGAUCCUUCAAAACUGUACAUCAUUGUAAAACAAGUGGCAGCCAUCAUGCCUGCUCAGCAACCAUCCAUCCAUUCAACAUAUUCUGCCACCAAAGGACAUCUCCAGUCGCCUUUGUCGUCGCCAACAAUCUUCAUGGCAAAUAUCUAAUGCAUUAAGAGCCAUUAGAACUGUUUCUCAAGGUAGAUAAAAUAUAAUACUUGCCUCGUCAUCUCACAAAUUAUCUUGUCUUUGAAGCCCUAACAAAGUUGGAAUCACGGAGUUGAGAAGCGAUGUAGCCUAUUAUAUAACCAAACUUUACCACCAAAGCGUGACAGACAUAGAGAAAGAUAAGAGAAAUAGGACCAGCAUGAAGUGAUCUCUCCAUGUGGGAUAGAGAUAAAAAUAACAGAGUUGAAUUUUCCAAGAUUAGGAAGUGGAGUGGACAGAUCAAUGGAGAGUUGUCAUCACAUGAAGCAAUUUAUCAAUCUAUACAAAUUCUCAUAAAGAUUGAGAUAAAUUAGUGAGCAGAUCCUUCAGGAGUUGUAUCCAUUUCUGAAUCGACAGCAAAACACAGGUUUUUGUUUUUAUCUUGACUCUGUCUGACAGGAGUUGUGAAAGAUGAGUUCAUCUUUACUGGCCACCAUGGACUCAUAACUAGCAUUGGAGUUAUUGUUCAGCUCGUUCUUCAAAAGAAAUCAAAACAAAAUAAAUAAGAUGAAUCACAAUCAGAUUUUGGAUGACUAGACGGGAAAAUAGCAUGCUGUUCACAGAAAAUGUUUGCAGCUUCAACAAAAGGCCAUGCCUUCCCAGCAUUUAGCCAGUACUUGGAGCAUAUGAUCAGCUUGUCAGCAGCAACCCAAGUUCACUCUCAGAAGGUUUUAACAGCAUUCACAAUUCCCACACCUUGGUAAUCUUAAACAGAAAACCUACCUUUAUGAUGCCAUAAAAACCGAGAGACGAAUGGUCAAUGAAGAGUUACUUCCAUGUUCAGCAAUCAAAAUUCCAAAGGUCAGAAGAAUGCUUCAAAUGAAAACCAAGUGCUUUUCCUGAAGUGUAACAGAAAGGACUGCAAGUAAAAACUCAUAGCGAAACCCGCAGAUAGGCAGAGAUAUCAUCUGUUGUCACCUUGCUGCUUCACUGCCAUCCAGUACUCAGUUUCUCCUGAAGAAAACAAAUGGUAAUGUCUGAGUGGAUGAUUUAUAAGAACAUUGGAGGGAUGUUGUAGUUUCCAAUGGCUUGAAUAAGGCUAAUCAUGUAGAUGUCAACAAUCAUGCAGAUGAUAGUGCAGUACCACUCAUCUGCAGCCUAUCAUGAUAAUCCCAUGAUAAAUAGAGGAGACUUGUGAGAACUCCAGUUGAACAAUCUCAGCGUGAAAAGAUCAUCACCGCUAUUUUUCCAUGGUUUUACUGCUAUCAAUCUCAGAUUCAUCCAAUUUAAUGAAGUUGCUCGCUCCUCGGAUAAGAAAGAGAUCAAGAGAACCAAGAACUACCAUUCAAGUUUUAAUAUGAUUGUCAGCAUUCUGCAACCAUAAAAAUAACAACUUGGAAAGCUUUAUUUUCUUAUUUGAUCAUGAUAAUUAGGAGUUUUCUCAUUGUAACAAAAUACAAUCUUUAACUAUGAACAUUCAAAUACCAUUGCUAUUCCACACUUGCCCAUAGCUUUAAACUUCCAUGAUGACACCAAACAUUAAAUAAUGCACAAGGGGCCAAAAGAAAAGAAAAACAUCAUUCAUGUCAUUCAGUAAACACAGUGAUCAAUCAAUUCACUCUGGACAAAACAACAAAUUAGCAAACUUGAUAUGAGGUUUAAACCAAGAUCAUAUCACAUAUGUGCCCAAAAAGCAUAAUCAUCAUAACCAAUUAUAUAUACAUAGAGAUCAAGACUUUCAAGAACAAACACACCGUCUAUCCACAAAACUAGAAUCAAAACAAUCAAUCCUCAAAUGGGUUUUCCUCAAAUUCAAUAAAGAUGAAUCCCAACACAUCAAGAGAUAACAAAAUAUUGAACAAAAAAGAAAAGAACUUUUUAUGGUCUCACAAGAGCAUGUCUUUGUCCAGCUUCAAAUGAAAGCCUCUUUUGACUGAUAGCUUGAGAGUAUAAUUGAGAGAGUUCCUUAGCAAAAUUUCCAAACACUGAAUACAGAACUUCAUCACUCUCAUCUACCAUCGCUGCACUACUUUCCACCUUCCUCUUCCUUGCCAUUACUUUUAUUAUUCAUCCCUUCUUCAUGUGUGAUUUUUGCCACUUAUUAGUUAUUACAGUUACAAUAAAUGAUCGAUUCCUUUACUUUUAUGUCUCUUCGGCUUCUCCAGUGCCCCACAGAAUCCCCACUACGGUCUUCUAUUUGGCACGACAAAUGAACUGAACUAACUGAAGGUGGACUGUUUCCAACUUAGAACCUUCAAAACUUGUCAAAAGCCUUAGAGUGAGAUAGACUAAUGGAGUGUAUAAACACAAACAGUUGCACAAAGGAUCUUUCGUAAAGAACACACAUGAACUAUUGGAUUAAGAGAACCAAUCGUUAAAAACCUUGUGAUACAGCUGCUCACAGUUUCUUUGAAUUUUUUUUUAAUAUUUUGCUUUUUUAUUGAACUGCCAUUCGAAAUAGGAAUGCUUAAAUGCUCAUGGAACAAGAGAUGGUACUGAUAGACAUGCAUGCAUCUUUUGGAAGGUCCAUCUAUCUUUCAGUACUGCUGCCACUGAUAAUCCGAGGCCAUCAGUCUUGAUGCUUUUGAUACGUUUCUUGUUUUUUUAAAUGAGGUUUAAACACAGUUCAAUGCCUUGAGAAACAAUGUCAAUCUAAUGGUUGUGAUCAAUAUGUAAUGGUAAUGUCUUAAAAAAAUUAAAUAGUCAAAAUAUGGGUGAGGAUGACGAGGCAUGUGAACCUCGUAACCAGCCUUGCACCCAACACAGUUUGAACAAGGUCCGGUUUUGCCUGCUCCUGGUCUGACCACAGCUAAAGUGGGUCAAAGCCCGACUCAACCAUCGUGUUGAUGCCAGAUGCCCAGAAGGUGGGUGAAAUUGCCAUAGCCAAUCCACCAAGUCUUUGUAUUGAAUCUACUGCUGAAUCUUGAGGACGGGAAAAGCAAUAACAUCUCGGAUACUUGCAGAGUUUGUCAACAGCAUCACCAGUCUGUCUAUUCCGAGUCCCUGGGACAAAACCAUUUCCUUCCAUCAUGAUUGGCUUGUAAAAAUAGAUAUAAAGAAAAUUAUAGAACAAAAGAGAUGGCCAUACCAUUCCCGAAGCUGGAGGCAUUCCAUAUUCUAAAGCUGUUAAAAAGUCCUCAUCAAGGGUUACUUCAUACGAUUCAUCAUCGUCUUUCUUGCUUUUGCCAUCUGCAUCAUCUGCUUCUGAAGCAACUGAAGCUCUCUUCUCAUUAUGCUGUCUCACUUGCUCUUCCAAGCGUCCUCUCUGCCACCAUUUAAAAUUAACAGUCUUAUCUUGUCUUAUAAUGGAAAUGAAACUAUUUGUUUUUCUCUUCUUAAUGAAGCUUUAUGUCAUCUAUAUGCUAACCAAAUAGCAAGAAUGGAAUUAUAAGAGUCCAAGCAGACAUUUAUUAAAACACAAAAUGAAAUAAUUCAUACAGGAAAAAAAAAUUAAAUAUCCAAAAAUGACAAAAAAGAUUAAUAGUUAAAAAUGAAAGAGCAGCAGCAAUGAGAGAGAGCAAAAUAGUAAGCUGGCACUUAAGUUACCUGAUCCAUGGGAUCAGUCAAUUCGGAAAAUGCAUUCGCCAUUUCACGACCACAGAUGAAUAGUUCAAAUCUCUCGGUCAAGCCUACAUGCCUGUUGUGGAAAGGAAUAACAGAUUACCAAAAAGAAUUAAAAAAAAAAAACUGUAACAAUUGUCUUUUCAUUUAUGAUAACCAAUUUUAUUUUAAUUUUUCAUCUCAGCAUACAAAGCCACAUGCAUGCACAAAGAGUACAUAUUACAUAAAGGAGUGGUUGCACCAAUAUGCUUCUGCUCCACACCAAGUUCAUGCUGGAGUCUAAGUCAAUGAAGUAUAAUGACGAAUUAAAAGGAUAACUUCACAAGAAAACAUCCAGGAGUUCAAUUAUGAAUAGUUGAGUGACAAAUACUCGUAUGCUUUAUAACACUUGAAAAGGAAGACCUUCAACAGUUGCAUCGUUGGCUUGUAAAUUUUUGUACCUUCGGUGUGGCUUGGCUAGAGGAGAUAUCUCAAUAGGAUAGUCCAAAACAAAUGUGGGUUGCAUGAGCUUUGGCUCUACAAUGAUUUCAAAAAGCUGGCCAAAUAAAUUAAAUGAUAAUCUUCAGAAUGUGCAAAAGAUAUCAUGUAAAAUAAAAUAUAAUAAACCAUGUCAAAAGACACUAAACAUUUUGAGCAAUAAAGCAUUUUGAAGAGCCUGAAGACAGAACUCGCCAAAAAAAGUCUAAAGACAGAAGAAGCAUUCAACAGGAAAAUGGCUGAAAAAACAAAUUGCGAAUAUAAUUGAAAGAAGAAAGUAAAAGCAUAUGUACCUCAUUAACAAGGUGCCCAACAGAAGGACAUGCUGCAAUGGCAGAUUUGUCUUUACCUUCAAGUCCAGAUCCAAGAGUCCUCAAGGUGACAUCUUUAGCAACUUCAAGAUCAUCACCCAAAUCAUUGAAAUCAAUAGCAGUGGCUUCUUUUACAAGAUUGUGCAUGGUUUCCCUUCUCCAGGGCCGCUCUAAACAAAUCUCUACACCCUGCAUUGAAGCAGUACAAAAAUUUUGCAGAGUUAAAACCAGUCUCUCUGAGACGUUAUUAAGUGGUAAAUUGAUAAAACCUGCAUAAGUUUUUGAAGUAUCUUCAUGAAGACAUAUAAAAUAAACUCUGCAGCAGAACUCAUAUUGCAAGUGUCAUUGCCUGGUAUUCUAGGGUAAGCUUGCCGUGAACAGCAAGAGCACAUCGAGUGACAAUUUCCUCUGCCAUGAUCAUCAUGCUCUGGUAAUCCGAAUAUGCUUCAUACAUCUAUGAUCAAGCUAAUAUCAAUAUGAAUGAGAGCUUCACUCAACAAAAUAACAUCAAAAUGGAUUGCAUACAGUUCACAACAGAAAUAGAUUGGAUAUGAUAGUACCAAGAGAUUACCUCUAUGGUUGUAAAUUCAGGAUUAUGACGCGGUGAAAGACCCUCAUUUCUGAAAAUUCUGCCAAUCUCAUAUACCUUUUCAAAUCCCCCAACCUGCCAUUACAAGUUACAAGUUUUGUUAAGUAAAGCUGAAAAAAUUUUACCAAUUAAAGAAGAAUAUACAUGCACUUGAGGUUUUUCCUGUCCCUUAAAGGAGUACAGAUAAACAUGAGCAGGAAAUCGAUUCAGUGUUAAAGUCUCUGAAAAAAAGAGAAGCUAUAGGAGAUGAAUAGUAAAUGAUCCACUGUCUAAAUCAAUGGAUCCUGUUAUAGCCACCUCAUUGAUAACCCAUUUUCCCCUUUUUCUCUAAGUUUACCAAUAGAAUAUUUUUAUUAGAGAAGUUUGUAAUAAAGAUUUAAGAGUAUAACAUCACCAGCAUUCUCUUUAAGUGAAGCUCAGUUGCAAUUCUAAGGUAGAGAUCCCUUCCAAGUGAAUUGUGAUGUGUCACAAAUGGCCUAGCUUCGGCUCCACCAGCUGCUCCCUAGUAGAUCAAAUCAAUUAAAAACCAAGUUCCAAAACAUCAAAGUAGAAGAAAAACUAAUAAUAUAUUUCAGGCAAUAACAAAAGACUAUUGUAUAAAUAUGGAGAGUAUCAAUGACAAUAUGUAAAAGAAAAGGAAACAGAAUAUGAAGUGAAAUUUUCUAACAACUUUCCAAGCUCCUUUCUCACAACUUUCAUUAAGAUAAAGAUACAAAACAAUUUUUAACAAUAAAAACCAAGUACAUGAAUCUCAAGCAAAAACCUUCAGCUACUAGAUGCUUAACCUAUCUUUGUGCUAUCAAAAAACCCCAACAUGCUCUACACAAGACAUGCAUAUCUUUAGCAACAAACUAAAAGGAGCGGAACUCAUCCUUUUACCAGAUAACCUUUUUCUUUCCUAUACACAAUAGCUUACAACUUAACAGCACGUAAAGUGAAUCAAAUCCCACAUCAAAAAGAAAACCAGCAUAUACAUGUGAAGUCUAUUUCUAAGGAGAACCCUCCUCUCCCCAUAUGAAAACCACAACAAAGGCAAACACCACCAUGCAAUGUGCAAUUAGUGUCCCAAAAGUCCCAACAAGGUAAAACCAAAAAAGAUCGCAACUCUAUGCUAAUCAAAGACCGGCCCAAGCCUAAUGAUUUCUCAAGCCUUAGCUUUUCCACUGUUAGUUUUGUAAAGGUUCCAGGGGAAAUUCAUCAUUCUUAAAAGGGUUUUUGAAAUAUACAAGGGUUGCCCCAAAACCUCUGGUGGUGCCCUUUCACCCUUAAGGCAUUAGAACCUGAUUUUUUUCAGACUCCCCCGUCUCUGUCUAAUCAAGAUCACUUCAGCUUUGAAAGUGAAAGUCAAAGAUUUUAUCACACUUGGGAGGCCACCUAAUCAAAACUCUUCCAUGUAGUCCAGACUUAUCAAUUGAGCAUGCCAUUUCAGCAAUAAACAAAAUCAACUUUGAAUACAUGAAAUAAAAUACAUUGCGUCUUGCCCAUAAAACAACAGAUGAUCAGAUGAAAGAUGCCAAGACCAAAAAGCACUGUGGGGAUAGCAACGAACCUGGAGAACUGGAGUCUCAACUUCAACAAAACCUAACAAUUCCACAGUCUUGCGAAUCUCUGAAACAAUCUGCCAACAGAAAGUGGAAAAAAAAAAAGAGUAGCAUCAUUACAUCUUAAGCUAUUAUGCAUGGCAUCGACAAAAUCAGUGCAUGAGAUAGUCUCACUCCAGUGAUAAUUAAAUGGGAUGAUCGAGAAACGCAAAAGCAACCGGGUGUUGAAUCCAAAGAAGCAUCACAAAAUUUGCAAUUUUUCAGUUCCAAUUUCAACAAUAUAAUGCAUGAAGAGAAGAGAAGGAAAGGGAAAAUUUUACAAGGAGCGAUGAAAAGUAUCACCUUUGCUCUUUUACGGAACACAUCAGCAACUUCAGGAUUUGAGAUCAUAUCAACAUACCUAAACAUUGAUGAUAUGAGUGCAGGAAAUAACAAAAAAAUGAAUAACAAAUAUAAAAUGGAAAACUAGAUGUACACAGACUUGUAUCAUUUCAAUGUCUCAUUACCUUGUCAUGCAAUUAGGAGACCCUAUCAAUAAUAUUUUCACAUGGUAAUAAGAUCCUCUGCAAGACUUUUUUAUUAACUCUACUAUUAAACGACUUAUCAAGUGCUGUCCAUAGGAAAAUUUAUUCUUGAUCACAUUACCUUGUCACAAAAUUCAGGCAGUGUUUCCCAAACUAGAAAGAAAUUGAGCAUUCCUUACCUUUGACGGUAGCGCUUAUCUACAUCAGUUAGACCAUGAUAUUUGUCUGGCAGUGGAAGCAGAGAUUUCGUAAGAAUCGAGAAAGAACUCACGCAAACAGAGAGCUCACCUGAAGGAUUAACCAGGAAAACAAAUGAAGUUUAACUAAUGUAAACAAAUGAUCAUAGAAAGAUGUUGAUAAGGUAAGUUGAAUAUCAAGGUUCAAGAAUGAAUGCAGGAAGCAAAGCAUUCACCGAAGGUAGUCAUAUCUUUAAAAGGUUACCUUUCUCUGUGCGCUUCAUUGAGCCACUCACACCCAAUAUAUCACCAAUAUCAACAUGUGCUUUCAACUGCUCAAACUGAUCACUCAAAAGCCUAUCCUUCUCACAGUAAAGCUAUAACAAAAGGACUUAAUAAUUUUAGCUUGUGCUCAACUUGCAAGGUGAAAAACAAAAAUCUUACAAAAAAUUUCGAAUCAAACUGAAAUCAGCAAACCUGAAUUGCCCCAGAGUCAUCUCUAAGAGUAAGAAAUGCAAGCUUUCCAAAAGCUCUACGCGCAACAAUUCUCCCAGCAAUAGAUACUUGAUCACUCUCACCAUUCGACUCUUCACCGUUCGCUAAAUAUUUGUAUAUCUCUUGUAGGUGAUUGGCAGUAUGAGUCCUAUCCCAGUUAUAUGCAUAGGGUUCAAGUCCUUUGCUCCUCAAUUCUUCAACCUACAAAACAUUCAAAAUAAAAUCUUAAACAAGCUCAUUGUCCUUGAAUCCAAACUUCAGAAACUUAAAAUUCACCACUAAUCAUCAUUCAAUUACCACACAAAAACCAAAAAAGAGAUACCCAGCAUCCUUCUAUAAAUGAUUAAUUCAUAAGAGAAUGUCAACAUCCCAAUUAUUUUUUCUAUUGAAGAAAGCAUAAAAUCUGAAUCCUUACACUAAAUUUGAAAAAAAAGGAAAAAAAAAGAAGAAAAAACAACCACCCCAGUAACCAAAAUUGACUACAAAACUAAAACAACCAAGAAACACAAAAUGGGCACAUACAAAACCAAAAAAGAUGAAACCUUUUUCAAGCGAAGGGCACGAAUGGCAUCACGGUCAGAAGUGGAGGAGGAGGAGGAGGACUGGCGGCGGUUGCGGCCGGAAGUUCUGGUGGUGGUGGUGGAGCAGCAGCGAAGGACAUGAGUGGAAUAAGAGUGUUUGGUGGUGGUGACAGAAGCGCUGGAAGACGCAAAGUGAAGGAGAUGUCUGAGAGUGAAUGGUUUUGAAGACAGACUCCAUAUUUUCAGCGCCUCCAUUUGUUUCUGUCUUCGCCUAGCUUUUGCUGCUUUCUGUAUUUUUGCUACUUCUAUGAUAUUAUCCUCUGCGAGGAAGAGUAAAGCUUGAGAAUUUUUCAGAGCCCAAGAAUUUCCCUUUUGUCUUGAACCCAGCCCGCCCACUAAAGGUCUCCUUCCAUUUACAGUUCCUUUUUUAUUUUCUGGUUUUAAAAAUCUUCAAAAAAAAUUAGCCAAGUUUUCUGUAGUGGGAUCAUGUUUUUAGAACACAUUGUAAUGUGUUUUUCAAAUUAUUAGAGAAAAGAUUUAAUAUUGAUUAAUACAAAAACUGAUCGGAAAAUAUUUUUUAUUAUUGAACUGAGAAAUUUGAUUGGCGUUGAUUUGGUGUGAAAAAUAAGUUUAUACACGGUAAUGAAUAAUGUGUUUUUAUAUUAAUUAUAUUUAUGUUGAAACUAAUAUCUAAGGUACUUUUAAGAAUAAAACUAAUAUGAUAUAGAUAUAAUAUUUCUCGAGAAAAAAAAAACAAUGACAAGACAGAAAUUAUAUCUCAAGAUUCAAUCUUACAUAAGUUAUUUACACCUAAAUUGGUAUAUAAAAAAAUCAAUUUCUCUAGAUAUUUUUUAAUUAAAAAUGACGAACAGAGAGAAAGCAAAUAAUAUUUUAUGCCGUCGUAGAUUUCUAGACCUUCCAUGCAUGCCCUGUUUCUUGAAAUAUAAGAUAGACUUACAGGGACGUCGGGGAAAGUCUUUGUGGGCUAUGCUCACAGAUUUUAUUUUUCUAUGUGCGUUUGAUUCAUCGAAUGUUUACAGAUGAGAUCUACCGGCUUUACUGUUAAACCUUCUAUCCUUGUACCUAGUGUAUGUUUUUGAUAGCACAAUGCAAAGUAUAUUUUUAAAAUAUUUUUAAUUAAAAUAAUCUUUUUAUAUUUUUUUUAUUUUGUUCUUUACACGAAUAUUUUAAGAUUGGAAUGUUGGGUGCCAUAGCUGUGCCUGACUUCUCCUCCGUGUGCGUUGCUAACCGAAGGUCAGGCCUUGAAUUAUGACCCCAAUUACUUGGUCCAAACUACAAGGGCAAUAUCAUAUAAUUCAGUUUCUCUAAAGUACUAUGAUCACAACUCACAUGAAGCAUCGCAGCAUGGAACAAUUUACUCAACACUUUCACUGAUGAAGAGGAACUGCCCCUCCAAAGUGGAGGCGUGUCCGGUGUUGUUAAAGAUCAAGAAUAAAGUCCACAGGAUCAGUUUUUUCUUACAAAAUUAACUAGCUGUGUUUCAGUUCUAACAGCCUUGUAAUGUCCCAAAUGGAUCCAUGUCCAGAACAUUUCUUGCUAUCUAGCUAAUCCCACUUUGAUUGUCAAUCCAAGGAAAUUGACCCACCAUAAUUUGGCCAUGACCAUUGGCAGUAAAAAAAUAAAUCCAUAUCUGUGUCACUGCCACUAAUUUCUAAGCUUCUAGUCUUUUUAAAUCUGAAAAAAAUCGCAACAAAGACUAGACAGUAACAGCCAAACCCAGACCAAAGCUACAGUUACAGGCAACAAAAAAGAAAGUUAAGACAGUUUAGAGAGAGAUAAAAAUCUGUCUUAAAAAAGAAAGAAAGAAAGAUCAGAGAUCAAAGAAAGAAGAAAAAUGGUGUUUAACAGCUUGAUUGUGUUAUCAGUAGCCCAUAAAUCAGCAGACGUAUGGCAACAAAUAGCAUGCAUGGGGUUCCAAGAUCAAGUGACCAGUCACCAGCUUCUUGAUCUCGUUUGCUGCUUCCCUCUUCAACAACUGGGCCGUUUUUCUCUUUACAUCUGGACUUUCCUGUGCUUGCCACCACCUGAUUCCUUUUUGUCUUCUUACACUUACCAAUCCACAUCAUCAGAUGAUGAUGACCAUCCUCAUCAUUCAUAUGCUCAUCAUCAUCAUGAUCGUGCCUCUUCCUCUUCGUCCUCUGCAGAAGUUGAAUACUUAUACUAUGACUCUGACUGAUUUACUCCAAUUUUUAUCAUCAUUUGUGCACGGUAACUCUCUCUCCCUCUCUCGAUAUAUCUCCCUUACCUUGUAUUAUGUGUUUAAUUUGUUUCUUUUGUUUUGUGGGGUUUUUUUUUUUUUUUUUUAGAUGUCGGGUUUUUUAGGAUUAGUGUUUCAUGAUGAUUUAGUGGAGAUGAUUAUAUGUAGUGACUUUGCGGGGCUUUUUUCAAGAUUCUCUUUUGAUGCUUCAAUCUGGCUUUUCCCCUUUCUUUUUGAUGUUUAUGUGUGCAUGGUUGCAUCUUGAUGAGUGAUGACAUUGUUAAAAGGCUGAGGUCAUAGCCAUGGAGAAGAUUUGAAAAGAAAAGUUUGCUUGUUAUCCUCGGAAUUUGCUGGCUUGUAUGUGUUCAUAUGCCAUACAAAACAUUGAGGGCUAUGUCCGUUUUGGACUUGGAUCUAGUAGGAUUCCACUAAUUGGUGAUUGUUGCUUUUUGUCUUAAACUUUUUUGCUGUGAGGAUGCUGCGCAGAACCAAAGUUGAUUCUUGCCUAUCCAACAUCAUCUUACCUUGAAAGAUUGUUAUAUUCCAAUUCCAAGACGCAAACUUUUCUCUUGAUGUGAAUGAGAUCUUUAUGAGUAGCUGAUCUUCUUGAUGAUCAAUUAGUUGAUCACCUUAAACGUUUUAGUUUACCUAUUAGAGAUAGAAGAUACAUAAUCUAGAAAACUUCUCCACUUAUCUGUUGAUUGAUUUCAUUGGAAGUGCAAUUGUCAAUAAUCAUUGUACUUUCUCAAGUUUUCUGUCGAAGAAGUUUCAUAUUUUACAAAGAAACUUGUUGUAGACUGCUUAGUAUCUUUUCUAUGUAUGCAGAUGUAGAAUUUGUCUUGAUAGAGGACUGGACUAGAUGAUUGUACACACGUUUCAACUUCAUCUGCAACAUCAAAAAAAGAGAGUUUCCAGCUGAGUAAGACAACUAAAGGGAUCUUGUUCAUGUUCAUCUUGUUUGUAUACCAGUCGCUGUUGACAGCGCUAAAUCGUUGUAAGUAGUUUAUUUCUGGUUUUACGAAAUAUCAUAUCCCAUGGUUGUGGUAUAGCUAAGACUACAGGUCCUAUGCAAAAUAUAUGAUAGGCAACUACGUGUACAUAUUUAAGUUCUUGGGAAUCCUUGUUUCGUUCCUUUUGAAUAAUUCUCUACACGUGUGACCAUUACAAAAUUGCGAUCUUGGCCUUAUUUAAUUCAGGUUUUUUUGUGUAUCCUUAUUUAAUCUUGUUUCUAAUUAUACAGCUGUGUCAAAUCUCAGAACUCUUUGGUUAUUGAUAUAAACACUGAUAGAAAUUCUGGUAUGGUCAUAGAUGAUGGGAUAGGAUUUCUAUUCAAGCAAUUGAAAUAAAUCAUGAAAGACUGCAUGAUUGCUUAUAGACUGAGUUGCUUUCAACUAAAUUGUUCUUGGAGAUUAAAUUACUACCAGCCUCACAAAAGAAUUGUGUUGCAAACAGACUUUUUAUAUCAUAUCUCACUUUCAUGUACCUUGUGAACAAGGAAAAACAGAAAAAAUCCCUCGAUGCAUGAAUCUUUUUGCAGCUGUCUGCUCUAUCUUGUGUGUAGACACAAGCAUGACCUUUUAUAAUGUUUUUGUGUACAUCAUUGGGUUUUCAUCUUGUUCUUUUGGCACCUAAUAAGACUAUACUCCCCUUGUUAUCAUCCUGAAAUUUCUCAGUUGUGCAUUUGAUGGUGCAACGAUGUCAGCACCAACUUUUUAAGUGCUCUAUAAGUAUGUUAAACAGACUGCGAGAACUUACACAGGUGGCUAAUCUAUAAGUAAUUUAGCAAAGGUGUGUGUGGUGCAGGCACACGUGCACGUGUGCCUGCAUAGUAAUCAGUAUUGAAGGAUUUGUGAAUUUUCUUGGGGUGCAGAUUGUGUUGUGCUGGUGGAGAAACAAGAGUUUUGCAGAUUCCCCAUUAGAUGGAUGGCAGUGCACAACUAAGAGAAUUUUUCACUUUUUUCUAAUGGCUGGUGAAGUGCUUUGAUGGUAGAGUACUUUGAAAGCAUAUAUGCUAGAAUGCAUUAAUAUGAUUCUAUAUUUAUUAGCCAGUUUUCUACAAGCAGAUCGAUGUAGGAUUUCGAUAUGGUGGGUGAAACAUGAUUCUGACGAUGAUUUUGAGUAGAUGGCUAGAAGAUUUCAUUGGGAAAAUGGGAUUUUGAUGAGAAUUAUCAAGCAGACAUCUUGUUUAGAACUGUAAUUCUUGCCACUCUUGGAUUGUUCAGACCAAAGGAAUGCUGUUGUUUUAGGUUUUACAUGAAUCUGGUGUUGUGUAAGCUUCAUUUUAUUGUUCAUAACAGUUUAUGAUUAAACCAUGCUACAAACUGGAUUCUCUCCGUUAGAAUUCAUAAACAGUUUGCAGGUGCAGUUAAAGCAAGUUGCGUUGCUCCUUCGUGUGCUAUUCAAAUGGAAAACAUUCUCUCUCGAGAAGGGAAGGAACUUGUCUCUUGCCAUUGCAAUUGCUAUCUCUUCCAUAAUCCAUAUGGCUUAGAGAAACAGCAAGAUCAUUGCACUCCACAAAUUAAGAAUCACUGUUCAACACACCCACUCUUUCUGUAAUGAUUUCAUAUGAAUGUGGAAGAUCAUUAAUUACUAUAUGAACUACUAACAAAGAUUGAAGAACUACUCAACCUCAAGCCACUGUUUUAUAAUCAGGAUCGGUCAGUGUAUCUGAAUCAUUGAAGAAAAAAAAUAAAAAAACUAACCUGGUUGACCAGGUUAACCUCUUAACUCGGUUAAUCUAAAUCAAAAUCCAAUCAUUAAUUUAAUUUGUUGAUUUAAAAAUUAUUGGUUUAUUUUAAUAUAUAUAUAUAUAUUGAUCAACUUUUCUAUUCAUUUAAGCCUUGCAUUUAGUAGCGUAUACAGCCCAUUGGUUUUUUGGUAUAAAUUUUAUUUUUUUCCCUAUAGAAUCAUCCAUGAUACACUCUUGUCCUUAUGUUUAAAAUUUUUCAUUGUUACCUUCUAGUUCCCAAAAAUUUCAAGUUACCAGCAACCAUUAGAUAUUCUAUUUCUUUUUUUAUUAUUAUUAUUUUAUAGUUUUUCUUAGCUUCUUAGGUGUUUUUGUGAGUAUUGAACAUACAUUGCUAUUUCUAGACGAAAAUUGAGGGGAAAUAAGAAAUGCUUAGGGAAAUUGACAAAAGGAUUCAGUUGAGAAAUUCAGGAAAUGUUUAGGAUCCAAAUGAUAAGAUAUGCGAGGUUAGGACUCAAUUGUGUAAAUAUAUAGGUCAAGUACUAAAUUGAGAUCUCCCCAAAAUAAAAUGGAUUCGAUCUAAAAAAACCUUUUAUAAGUAAACGAAGCGUUUUCAACACUCUCAUCCAGCGAUAUCUCUCUGGCCUUUGCAUAGGCAGUCACCAAACUGAGCGGUGCCUCUUUCUGACUCUGCUCCUGCUCCUGCUCCGACCUCCGCCGUCCGGCCUUCUGCGUCGGCUGUCUCAUGUGGUGAGUAUUGUUACUACUCCUUUCUUUUUCCUUAACUCGUGUCUAAAGCUAGACUUUGACUUUUGAAGCACAAAAGUGUGUGUGUGUGUGUGGUGCAAAGCUUAUGAACUAACUCCAAUCUAAUCAGAGGUUUGAGAUUUUUAGAUUUUUCAUGUACAUAAGGAUUGUUUCAUCGAAAACACAAUCAGGGUUUUCUUUGUUUGGCUAAAAGCAAUUAAUUGUGUGGUUAAAGCUUAAAUCUUUAUCUUUAUAAAUUGGUUUUCGUCUAUACGUUCUUUUCUUUUUUUUGUAUUGAUAACAAAGCUUUUGAUCACUAAUUAGUAAGUGCAUGUUUGGUAAUGCGUUUGAAAGUGCCUGCUCCCGCUGAAAGCAUCAGAUUGAUGCCUUUUCAAUCCAAGAACACUAUUGCAAAAUAAUUUGUACUUUUGUUCCCAUAUAUACAAAAACAAAAGGCUUGAAUGAGGUUGGUUGAGAACAAACAAAUAUCCAAUGCAAAUGAAUAAUCCAGUGCUUGAGGAAACAAAAUGUUCACCAAUAAUUUUAAUCUGUCAGAAUAUGCUUUUGACAGGUGAUUACAUUGAGGAAGAGAGAUGAAGCUAGGCCUGAGCAGAGCAUGUUUUUAUAGCAGCUGUUCUGCAUCGAUUUUCUCUUCUUCAAUCCCAUCUUUAACGACAAUUAAACCAAAAAUUCCUCUCUUUUUGAGGCCGCCCACUUAUUCAGUAACUUCAUCAGACCUUCAAAAAUGGCAUGGAUGGGCAAAAAGCCUUGCCUCCUCCGUUGGGUCGUCUUUUGUGGAGUCUGAUAAUGGCCCUGACUCCACUCUUCUGUGCCGGGAGCUAAAUUGGCUCCUAGAGGACUCAAUUGAAAACCGCUCCUCCUCCCCAUGCUUUUCCUUUGCCGCUUUUAAAUAUGAUACUUUUGAUGGAAUUGAGAAUGUCAUGUUAAGAAUAAGUUUGGAUGAUCUUUACAAGUUAUGGAAGCAGAGGAUUGAAGAGAGGAGGCCUUUCCAGUAUAUAGUAGGGUGUGAGCACUGGAGGGACUUGGUGCUGAGCGUGCAAGAAGGGGUCUUGAUUCCAAGGCCAGAGACAGAAUUGAUUGUUGAUCUAGUAAGCGAUGCGGUUUCCAAUAAUGAAGAAUUGGGACAAGGGUUGUGGGCAGAUGUGGGUACUGGGAGCGGUGCUAUUGCUAUAGGAAUUAGCAAGAUUUUGAGGAGUUAUGGGAGAGUUAUUGCCACAGAUUUAAGCCCAGUUGCAGUUUCGGUGGCAAUGUUUAAUGUGCAAAGGUAUGGCCUUCAGCAUGUGACUGAAGUAAGGCAAGGAUCUUGGUUUGAGCCGUUAAAGGAUGUUGAAGGACAACUUGUAGGUAUUGUGAGUAAUCCACCAUACAUACCUAGUGACAAUAUCUCUGGAUUACAAGCUGAAGUUGGUAGACAUGAACCAAGACUUGCGUUAGAUGGUGGUGCGAGUGGCAUAGAUUAUCUUCUUCAUCUUUGCAAUGGGGCUGCUGCAAUGUUGAAACCUGGCGGAUUUUUUGCUUUUGAAACCAACGGGGAGAAGCAAUGCAAGUUUCUUGUAGAUUACAUGCAAAAUGACAUUGCAGGAAGCUUUUGUAAUUUGAACAUUGUGUCUGAUUUUGCUGGUAUCCAAAGAUUUGUGACUGGGUUCCGUCAAUGAGCAAGCAACAUAAAAUGUCCCUUUACCAGCCACCAAGGAAGUUGCGAGACAAGUUUUGUCUGCAGUGUAACUAGAUAUAGUAAUAUCUAUGAGAUCAUAAUAUCAUCCUUAUCAGUGCCCCUUUCUCAUAUCAUUGAUGACCGGAAUACAUUGAGAUUGAAAAAUUAAAACUUAUUUGGCUAGUUUGGCAUGAAUGUAUGGAUGUUAUGAGAUACUUUUGCAUGUAGAGUAACCAUACCUUCUCUCCAAAGGUGUGAUUGUUUUUACCUUCCUGCUCAUUUGUUUGUGAGUGUUUGAUCCAUUACAAAACAAAUAAAGGAAUACUGAGUCAAAGGUCUCGAUUGUUUUCGCUUUUACAAAAUCUGAAAAACUGCGUAAGAGUUGCGCUACUUUUAUGAGUUUUGAAUGUUUUAUUUCUCUCAUACUGUUGAUAGAGAUUUAGUUGUUUAAGUUUCAAAUUUAUGAUAGCGCUUUAUCGGCCACCAAAAGGAGCAUACAUGAUGUCUAUCAUAUCUUUGACCCUGACAUAAAAUUGGAACUUCAUGCUUUAAAAUCCUGUAUAAGCUGCUUCACUUUUGAUGCAUCACAUAUAAAGUUCAGUUUUGAUGUUCUUUCAGUAGGAAUGAGCAGUUUACAAGGACCUCCAUCCCUUGAGAGAAAAUGGCCAGAAUUGAAUUCUCCAGCUUGGUCUCUAAACCGAACCACAAAUGUAUCAUUUAUGAUGUGAUCUGAAGCAAACAUUUGAAUCUGAACCAGAGACAUGAAAAAAGAAGUCUGCCUUCUAGACAGUGUGGAAAAUAAAACUCCUCUGCAGGUCAAAAUUUUGAUUUAAAAGGUGGUGAACAUCCAGAACAAGGGGAGGUUACAUUUCAUGGCAACAGAGUAAGCCCUCGAAGGAAAUCAGUGUGACGGGCAUGGUAUGUUGAAAGGAGCCUUGAUACAGAGUUUAUUAAGUCACUAAAACUGUAUUGUACAAACCAAAUAAAAAGGCUGAAGGUUGCCACAGAGGAGGAAGUUGCAGAUUUGAUCAACAGUUGUCAAGACUCCGAUGUUGACGUGACAAAACAGCAUAUUGAAGAGAUUGUGAGGACUUUGGUUUUGGACUAUGCGAUCAUGGAAGUGGAGAGUGAUGGAAUGGCUGAGUUUGCUUCUAUUCCUAUUGGUAAAGUUCGCUGUAAAUGCAUUAGCAAGGAGGGUCUUGAAGGGAAACCAAAAGCAGAGACAGGGGCAUAAGCUUCCAUCCCGUGUGAAUUUUGUCCAUGGAUUAGUCAUUGUACACCUGAUGACAUUCUCUCCGAAGACUAGUGUCUACUACAUGUGGUUGGAUUUUUUAUUUCUCAGCAUAUGUUUCUUACAUUUCUCUCAUUGUUUUGCAGUUUAGAUGUCGAAAGUCUUGUUUUCUGGAUACCAUAUUACCAUUUAUAUAAUAUCUUUUGCAUUUUUUCUGUUGCUCUUUGAGGUCCCCUAAUGCUGUUGCCUGCUGGAAUGCCAUUAAACUUCUUCGUGAUAAAGUUCUUCAGGAAUAGCAGUUCAUGUUAUCCUAAUACAUAAAACUAAAUCCUGUUGCAAUUCCCUUGUCACUCUCAUGUAAUGUGAUGUCAUGAGGAUUUUGCUAAAUACAGAUACCUGUUGCACCUUCCUUCUCUGGCAUUGCUGGAACCAAAACGAUGCUCGUUUGUUACGUUUUACUUUUCUUGCUGUUUUAGCUUCUUUUUAUUUCUUUGAUUGUUAUCGCUAACCAUGCUCUAAAGCAGAUUCACCUUCAUUAUCAUUGCUUUUCUUUUCCGUACAUCCUCCAUUAUCUCUUGGAGAAAGUCAAGUUUGUGAUGCUUUGUGCGUGAUUGAAAUAUUUUAACAAUUAUAGCUGCAAAUUGUUAUCUUUUUCAUCCAUGUGGUAUUCUGAUAGCAGUAUUUUGACAAUUUGGAGUCAUGGGAGAACUGUAUGGAGACCGAGUUUAGGACACUACGCGCAGGCAUUUUGUUCUCGCCUGGCGUAAUUUCCACAGAUGAUCCAAAGCUAAUUAUGAUGGUUGUCCAAUUGCUUGUCUAUGUUCCUGCCCUUCCUGCUUAAAUUGCGUAAGCUGGAAAAAGCAUUACAGAAUGGACAAAAGUAGUUAGUCAAUCUUGGGAUGCUAAAUUAGAUAUUGCAUUGAAGAUGGUGCUGGUUGUUGACUUGGGAGGUUUAGAGGAAUCAUACGCACUCUAGCUUCCAUGGAUCAUCACUCAAAUCAGCCUUGACAGCAAACUCCACCCAAAAGCCCUUAUCAUUAGGUAUCAUCUCAUGAGUUUUGUGUCAAAAUUCCCAGUACAGGUAAAUGCAGAAGAUAAACAUCAGCAGAGCCGUAGACUGGAAAACAUGAACAAGCUAGGAUUAUCCUACAUGCCACGCAUGCAUUCCAUUUGGUUUAGAGAACGAAAAACUUAAUGGCAAAACAUAAAUUAUCUACAUGAACGUGUUCCGAGAAAUUGCAACGAGCACAUUGUAUACCCUCAACUAUAAAACAGCAAGGUUUUGGUAGCCAUUAUUGACAAAUGAUAGAUUAGGGCAAUGAUGUGUGGUAUGGAACAACUUUUUUUCUUUUUGCUGCUAGAAAUGAGAAGCAUGCAUUGCAAGCCCUUCUAAGCUUCCAACGUGACAUUCCAUUUGCGAACGCACGUUACCAAACCAAAAGCAUCAAAAUCAGGUAUGGUGCAAUUCACGUUACCAAACUAAAAGCAUAACAAAUAUGAACUGCAUCGCAGCCACACCCGCUUUCCCAAGCGUGUUCCUAAUCACAGUACUUAACGUUAUCACCAGCAAAAACCCUAAACCAAGAGAGACUAGGCAAUUUACCGAUUUACCGCUGGACCAACCCUAUGUUCAUGCGGUAGGGAGAAAGGUGAAACACCCGGUUAUAUUUUACCCAGAAAAUCAACAGUAUGGACCAAUUAUUCAAGCAAAUACUGGAGAACAACUAGGAGUGGCGACCCCAAACACCAAUCACGGCACAUGUGUCAGAUUAAUGUGGGGCCUUGAAUUUUAUUAUUCAAUAAGAGGGAACAUCAAUGCCCUCCGGGCAGGCUAAGAGCUGACUACUGAAGCACUGCUACUAUUUUUUUUUUUCUAAAGAGAAGAUAGCACAAUCAUGGACAGCAAAAGAAGAAAAAAAGGCCAAUGGCUCCACCUCAUUUCCGUGUUUCUACAUGUCAAUAUAUGCAUGAACCCAUCUUGAAAAAGGCAUCUUUGACGCCUCACCUUUUUUUUUUUUGAAGUUAUAUCCAUGGAGGGCUGCCUUUUCUCACUGAGCUAGCUUUCUAGCUUUUUGCUUCGUGUGGUGCUGGGUGCCAAAGCUUUGCUGACUUCUCUUCUGUGUGUUUCCUCUUAAAGAUUUAAGCCUUAAAUUAUGGCCCUAUCAAUGCCCAAAUUAUAAGCGCAGAUAUCAAAUAAUAUUCAAUGUAUCAGACAGAAUCAAGAGGGAAAAAUAAGAAAUUAAAGAGAGUCCAAACCCUUUGUAUUUAUCAUAAACCAUAAUGAUUCCUUGACCUUUAUAAGCAUUUGGAAUAUUUUUUAAGCAUAAUUUACAUUAUUAUUUGCACUCAAUAAUAUAAUAAAAAAAAACUACUUCUAAAUCACCAAAAAUAGAAAAAGUCCCCCUAUUUAAAGUAGCUGAAGAGCGGAAAUAUAAAUAAAACUUAAAUUAUCUUAUAAAAGAAUUCAUUGUUUCAACUUGGAGACAGUCAUAUUUUAAUGUGAAUUUCUACAAUAAAAUUAUUGUUUUGCCCGCGUGGAAACACGUGCCAGCCUCUUUAAUUAAUUUAUUGAUAUUUUAAAAAUAAAAUUUACUAAAUAGAACUCAAGAGCAUAUGAAAACACUAGAACGCUCUCCCAAGCAGCCUUAUUUUUGUAGUCAAAAGGUUGUAUAUGCAAUUCAACUGUUAAAAAUAAUGUGCAAGGACAAGAAAUCAUUUUUUUGCAAGGUCAAUGAUUUUUAGCUUUGAAGGGUAGAGUCGAUAAUUAACUAUGCAAUUUAAUUGGAAAAUACACAAAAACCCCUAAAUCAAAAGUCAAUAUUUUUUUUUUAGCUUUUAAAGUGGAAAAAUAUUUUAACUGUAAAAUUAAAAAAGUAAAUAAUUAAACUGCCCCAGUUAAUAUGCAAAUGACAUCCGGAUAGCCUGGCUGACUAUGAUAUAAUCCAUAUUGCUUUUGUAUGUAUUUUUGUGGUGUAGUUAUUACUAAUUCGAAAAAACGUAAUGGACCAAAGGGAAACAACAGCAACAUGUCCAAAUACUUAAUUGAUGGGAAAUUGAAAAGUUCGCCUUUUUCUUUCAUUAUUUCAAAUAAAAACAAACCUCGAAGAGUCAUGGAUGUGUGUGGGGUGUGAUAGCAACAUUGGCUAUUUAGAUGGACGGUGAUCUUGUAACUAAACCCAUAAUAGCGACAUUUCCUCUAAUUAUUUCAUUUUUUUCAUCCUCAAACUUAUUUCACGGUGAAUUUUUGUGUUUUUAAAAUAAAAAAUAGAUACAAACAUGUUUUUAUUAUUUUAAAACAACAAUCAAGUAUCAAAAAUAUUAUUGGCGAAUUAAGCUAUAAUAUUUGUUAAAGAGCACUAAUUUACACAGGGGAGAAGAGGGAUACAACAUAAAUGAACUUUAUAAAGGGGGACCAAUCACACACAUGUAAAUUGUAAUUGCGGAGGGAGUGGGGCCGGAAUCAUACACAAAUCAAAGAGAUGAUGAUGAUGCGUGCAGGGAUGGCCACGUGCCAUGUCAUGGAAAUGAACAAAUGAGUCAUGUAACUACUGACAGAGAUGCAAAACAGUCCCUGACACACACUCACAGGGGCCCACCCAUUCCAUGGAUCUGUGAUGCAAGCAGACAGAAACACACAGCAAUACACAUGUAUCGUGUAUCCGUGCAUGUGCUUCACUCGCCUGUGUACAAGACAAGGUUUGUUCAUCCUCCUCGUGUAAAUUUCAUCAUCGUCGACUGGAUAACAAAUAAUUCCUUAAAUUUUACAAGAAUUUUAAUAAAUAAAAAGGACUAGAGAUGUAAAUUUUACAAUCUUAUUAUCUUAAAUUUAAAUAAAUGGCGGUAAUAUCAUCAAGAAGUCUAUAAAAACCUUUAAAUAGGUUGUAAUAACUUACCUCGAUUAGAAAAUAAUAUAAAAUCUAAAAAUUUGACAAUCUUAUUAUCUUAAAUAGGUUCUCUUGAAUUUGAACAUUGACUAGUAGUUUAUAAGAGUAAUCAUUUAUAUAUAAUCUAAUCGUAGACUCAGUGAUCAAAACCUUCAUCUCCUGCCGUUCUCGCAACAUUAGCCGGUUUUAAUUAUGACAAUUAGUUGAUAAAGUCAUAAUUUAAUGUUUAAUAACAAUAUUGGUUGGUACGGUUGCUUGAUGAUGACCUGGCCACCGUUUUCCCAUUGGAUUCUCUUUUCUUUCGUCCUUUUUUACCUUCACUACUCAAUCCUCUUGUUCUAUUUUCUUCCAUUCCAUUUCUGCCCUGGUUUCCUCGUCACGUGUGCCGUUUACUCACGGGUGCCUGAUUUUUCAAUUUUCACCUCUUUGCACGAGUCUGUUACACGUGUACGGACCCUGAUGCCGCCACACGCUCUACGGCCUCCACACCAUUGCGUUUGAUUUCCCGGUACACGUCACUUCGUUUGUGUACUAUGAUGUGUAGUCGACCCGGUUACUUGCUCAUCCCAAACUCAACUCGGACCGAAUUUCUUUAAUAAAUUAAAAUUAAUACACUGCCAAACAUGCACUUUUAACCAUUACCUUUCAGUGAGGCAUAAUUUUUAUAGUUUGUGGAAGGAGAGUUUUUUUUAAAGUACAUUAUGUUUGAAAAUAUAUUAAAAUAAUAUGUUUUAAAUAAAUUUUUAAUAUUAAUAUAUUAAAAAUAUAUAAUUUUUUCAAAAAUAUGAAAUAAAAAAAUAAAGAGCUAUAUGAUAUAACGAGUGGCGAUUGUGUAGUUAAAAAUGAGGGGCGCGUGAGGGAAGUGAAGGCGUUAAAGAGGACAUAGCAGCUACUGCUCACUGCCUUGGUGGGGAGAAAACGAGGGGCUGCAGGCAGGGAGGACUCUUUCCUUGGGAAGAAGAAUCCCUGUUUGGUCUCUCUAAUUAGUAAUUACCAUAAAUUGCCACCUUCACUGUUAUCAUUUAAGAAUUACCGCCCAUUCAAAUAUUUAUCCGUUGGGUGCGAAAAUGGAGGUGGCAGCGCAAACGGACAAACAAGGUGCCUAUUUAUCUUUAUCUAUUAAUCUUUAAAAACAAAUAAAUCAAUUUAAUGUUUAUUUGUUGUUACAGUGUAUUUUAUUUUUUAAAAUAGUAUUUUUUAUUUUAAAAAUAUAUUAAAAUAAUAUAUAUUUCCAUAAUUCGAAAAAAAAUCAAAAACAUUUUUAAGAGAUAAAAGCUUAAUAAAAUUUCGGACUGGAAUAGUAAAAGGGUAAAAACACAACACGUCACAUCACCUCACCUCGCAAAGGGUGGGGUGCCACUGAUUCUAGCAUGGUCAAGUGCAAUCACUCCCUUGUCUUGGCCCUUUUAAGUUUACCUCAUACCUGGGAUUAAUUACCACUACUCCCCUAAAGUUGGAUUCUAUGUGUUAUUCCUUAAAUGAGAUUUUAUUGUCGGAAAAAAAAAAAAGAGCACAGGUAGAGACGAAUGUCGGGGGUGUCUGGAAGUAUUUUUUAUUUAAAUAUAUAUUAAAAUAAUAUAUAUAUUUUUAUAUUUUUAUAUUUGUAUAUCAAAAUUAUAAAAAAAUACUUAAAAUAAAUUAAUUUAAAAUAAAAAUAGUACUUUUUUUAAAAAAACCCAAUCAUACUGUAAUAACAAAUAGAUUUGAAGUGGAUGCUUGUUACCACGGUGCACCGGAAUAAAAACAUGAAAAUCAUGUUUUUAUUUUGUAUUUUUUAUGUGUGGUUUCAAAUGAAGAAAAACGCAAUCCGAUACGUGUAAAACGAUGAGAACAUGAUAUAUAUAUAUAUAUAUAUAUUAAAAAUAUAUCUUGUUUAAAAAUAUAUUAAAAAUAAUCAAAUAAUCAAAAAUUAAAAAUAAAUUAAAAACAUUUUAAAAAACAAAAGCAAAUAUACUCUUACCAUGCAGCCAGCCCAAUUUCAGCGCUCCAAUGCUGAAGCUAGCGAGACAAUUGACAAUGCCUUGUUUUGUGUUUUGAUGCUUUGGAAAAUGUAAAUUGAGGGGUCGAUAUUGCAUGCAGGAGUGCUGAAAUUUGAACUCAAAUUUGCUAGUGGGAUACUGGGUGUUUGUGUAGUUUGUACUUUGUAGAUGAAUGAUCAAAUAAAAGAUUUUCAUGGCAUACUGUAAAGAAAUAAUACUCUUUCAUGUGUGUGCUUUUAUAAAUAUGAUGUUUUAUUGUGUAAUAAAUCAGUGAAGGUUAUGAUAGAUAGACAUUUCUAGUAGAUUUUUAUAAAAAGAUAGCAAUUUACACUUGAAAUUUAAUUUAUCAUUUAUAUUAAUUCUCUUAUAAUUUUAUUCUUUUAAUUAAUAUUAACAUUUGUUAUUGCUGGGAUAAAAUUGAAUAAACAGCUAUUCAGUUAAAUUUAAAAUAUAAUUAUUUAAUUAAUAGUUAAUAAUGUCAAGCUUAUAUCAACUUAAUGUCCCAAGUAAAAAAAAAAAACAAAUAUGUUUUCUUUUCUUUGUUUUUUUUCUUGUUCUUUACUAUGUUUAAAUGAUUCGGAUAUAUCUUGGUUAUAUUGUUUAUGUACAAGAUAUAUAAAUAUUUUUAAAAAAGCAUUAAAUACUUUUUAUAUUAUUCAAUUAUCAAACAGUUUAUUUAAGAGUGGGGUUGUCUAAAAGCCACACUCUUGCAAUUUUUUGCAAUAAAAACAACAAUGACCAUGUUUUUACUUAGUUUUCCACUAGAACAACAACAUUUUUUUAUAAAUGGUGCCGAACCCCAACAUUUUUUUUAUAAUGUUGAAUCCCAACACCUUUUUUUUCUUGUGUUUAGUGGGUUGUUUCUAGAAUUUCAAGGCCACUAUGCCCUUAAAACUUGACAUGGACCGUGGGUUUAUUUUAUUUUUUACAAAGAAAUCAACAUUAUGAUAAGAAAAGAAGAAUCCUUGUCGAGGAUAUAUAUAUAUAUUAGCAUUAAAAACACGAUCGUGGACGGGACGGCAAGGUGUCUGUAAACGAUACGAUUCUCUGGGAUGUAUCGUUGUCCACAAUAAAAAUGCUUUGGAAUAUCUUUUCCCCCCUCUCCUUCCUUAUUGGAUUCCGUUAGACAAUGGUUAAAUAAAUACACGGAAUGUUAUGUGCGAGAACAAUGCCGCUUUUAAUUAGUAUUUCAAGAUAAAACGUACAGAGACAAAACAGAGUCAGAAAAAUAUAUAUCUAGGAGCAAGAGAACUCUCGUUUUCAAAGUAUCUUUUUAUUUUAAAAUAUAUAUUUUUAUUAUAUAAAAAAUUCAUUUUUAAUAUGAGCAUAUAAAAACUAUAUAAAAACACAAAAACUAAAUAAAUUUGUAACGAGAGUAAAAGGGGCAUGAGAUUACCAUGAUCAAGUGCUUACUUCCCCAAAACUCAAUCACGCCACCAAUAACCACGGUAACAUUUGUAAUGGAGUUGCUUUCUCCUGCCAUAAAGUCAUACCAUUGAAUAAACUAUAUAUUAUAACAUUGUUUUCCACAUGAAAAAUCAUUAGAUUGAUGAUUGUAAAAUCACAGCAAAACCACUGGGUUCCCCGCUGCCAUGGAGUGCAGAGGGGAAGGCAAGAUUGAGUCUAACCAUACGUUGCCCACUACAUUGACCGCUCAACGAACUAAUCAAUCCCCCCUCCCUUCAUUGGAUAGAGGCAUGUCUUCCGUCGCCAUAUCAUUACUCCCCUUGAAUUCUAUCCAUCUCCAGCAAGUUAUGAGUAGAGAUUACAUUUUAUUCUAAAUUGCAUUAAGAACCUGAAUUUCUAAGAGAUUACAACAUCAAAUACCCUGAAAAAACUGUUUUUUACUACGAUCAACCAACCGCGUGGCUCAGUGCAUCAACAAACGAAGAGAUACGUCUCUUACAAAUCCAAUGAUUAAACUUUCAGAAAGUGGCCUUUCAAAAAAGAAAAGGGAGAGAAUUAACGUUAUUCCUUCUUCACAUCAGCUAAGAAAUCGAUUCGAUAUAUCUGAAGAAAUUCGCGAGUGGGGGUAAUUUUGAACGAAAAGUGGGGCAGAAUGGGGAAUCAAAAAGGGGGUGUCCCGAAAAGCAGGCUUUUAAAAAAGACAAAGGAAGGUCAAUGUCCCCUUUUCUCCACCGCCACCCAAAAAACCCUGUAUAAUCCCUGUUUUGCCCCUCGCUCUUAAAUUAGAAAAUAAGCACAAGGAAUAAGUCAAGAAAACUAAAAAAAUACAUUAUUCCUCAAUAUAGACCAGUGGUGGAAAUUGGAAAGCCAGAGUGGGGGGUUGAAGCUAUAUUUGUUAAUGGGAUAGGGAAAAGGGACAGAGUUUAUUAAUGAAAAACAGGAGAGAGAGAGAGUGACAAGAAAGGCGAGAGUUUUUUAGGAGAGAGAAAAAGAAAGAAAGUUUUUUUUUUUUUUUUUUUGUUUUUAGAGAGAGAGGUGGGCUGAGUUUAAUUGGAUUUCUUUUUUGUUGGAAACAGAGCACAACAAGGAGAGACCCACUUCGAAGUUAAGUGGGUAGCUAGGGGGGGCGUAGGAUAAGCAGAAGCUGAAGAAGAUAACCUAGAGAGUUUGAGUCUUUCAAGCUCCCUUCACAUCCUCUAUCUCUUACUUGGUAGUGUAGUAGUGGUUGCUGCUAUGCUUAUGCUUUAACCUGCAUCAGAGGGGCGUAGGACAAGGGAGAUUUUGCUCUGGUUCUUUCUGGGUUUCUUUUGUUUUUAGUGAAGAUGGGUUCUUGCGGAUGUGGUGGUGGUGCUCAUUUCAGCAGAAGCAGAGUGUUGGUUUUGCUUUUUUGUUUAUUGGGUUUGAUUUCACUAUCUUGCGCUGCUAGAUUGAGUGUGUCAAGACAGAAACUUGAGGUUCAAAAACACCUGAACCGCUUAAACAAGCCAGCUGUUAAAAGCAUUGAGGUACCUUUUCCCCUCUCCUUGAAGCUCUGUUUGGUUACUGAGAAAGUGAGGGAAAAUGUGUUUCUAAAGCUGUGUUCUUUUCUCUCUGGUUGCUAAAUGGUGUAAGAAGUUAGCUCAAGUUAAGCCUAAUAGUGGAUUUAUGGGGUUAGCUUCUACACUUAUUUUCUGUCGGUUUCUUGCAUUUUCUCAAUGCUAAAAAAUGGGUAAAGAAAGUAGUGUUUUUUCAUUAAAUCUCCUUUUUUUGUUCUGUGAUGGCCAUCAAAGUUCUUGAUUUUUUUUUAAAAUUAUAUUGUUUUGAAACAGCAAUGAUGUUUUAUACAAUUUUCCUCCUCCCUUUCUUUCUUUCUCUCUCCGUAUAAUGAUGCCCUUUUUGGAGAGUUAUUGAAACAGUAAAGAAAGCAACAGAAGCAAGAAUUUACUCAAGACUGCAAAUUUUAAUUGCUUUUGGUACUUUACAUUUUUCUCAGCAACCAAGCAAAACAUAAAUGCAAGUGGGCACUGUGGUUUCUCUUGUUCAUGUACAUGUGGACUCAAGACCUCACUGAUACACUUAACUCCUAGCAUGACUUGGUAAUUUGUUGGGCUGGCAAACUCGGGGUAUUACUGCAAGAUUUCUCAUUAUCUCUCUUUUGAUGGCUAUACAGAGUCCAGACGGGGAUAUAAUUGACUGUGUUCACAUGUCUCAUCAGCCAGCUUUUGAUCACCCCUACCUCAAAGACCACAAGAUUCAGGUCGAUCUUCUUCAGUCACUACUUCAAAGUUUAUCCCCUUUUCAUGUUUUUGGUUUUUGCUGUUACUGAUUUUAUGUUUUGGGUUUCUUUUUGGUUAAUUAGAUGAGACCUAGUUACCAUCCAGAAGGGCGGGUCUUUGAUGAUAGCAAGGCUUCUACAGAAUCCAAAGAAAGAAAAAAUCCUGUCACUCAGCUGUGGCAUGUGAAUGAUAAAUGCCCCGAGGGUACUAUACCCAUUAGAAGAACAAAGGAGGAUGAUGUUUUAAGAGCUAGCUCUGUGAAAAGAUAUGGCAGGAAGAAGCACAGAGCCAUCCCCCAGCCGAGGUCCGCAGAUCCUGAUCUCAUCAAUGAAAGUGGCCACCAGGUAAAGUUUCUUGCUUUUAUUCCUUUUAUACUGUAUAUAUUUAUUGAAAGCUAUGUUCAAGUAUCUUUAGCGAUCCACUUUGUUGAUUAUGUCAUGCUCUAUUUGUUUCAAAUGCUCAUUUUCCUGUGGCAAUUUCUUUGGGGUGAUUAGCAUGCAAUAGCUUAUGUGGAAGGGGACAAGUACUAUGGUGCAAAAGCAACCAUCAACGUAUGGGAACCCAAAAUUCAACAACCUAAUGAAUUCAGCUUGUCUCAGCUGUGGAUAUUGGGAGGUUCCUUUGGUCAAGAUCUCAAUAGCAUUGAAGCUGGUUGGCAGGUAUUAUCCCAACUAGUUUAAUCCUACUUCAUCUAUACUGGCCAGAAAGAAUUGAACUUUAUAAUGGAGACCGUACAUCUUCCAUUAUUUUAAUGCUUGCAAUGUGAAUGAAAACAGGUUAGUCCAGAUCUGUAUGGUGAUAACAACACAAGGCUCUUCACCUACUGGACUGUGAGCUUCUAAUCCUGUCAUUCCUUCAAUCAAUCUUAUAAUUUUCAUGGAUUAUUAGCGAAUAGAUUUUACUCAGCUGUUUUUCUUACGCUAAUAUCACAGAGUGAUGCAUAUCAAGCCACGGGUUGCUACAAUCUCCUUUGCUCAGGCUUCAUUCAAAUCAACAGUGAGAUUGCAAUGGGUGCAAGCAUCUCUCCUGUUUCUGGCUUCCGCAAUUCCCAAUAUGAUAUUAGUAUACUUGUCUGGAAGGUAAAACCCAAGGCCCUCACAUUCACAUUCAGCCCAAAGUCGAAUAUCUAAAGACCAAGUCGUUAGUAAGAUUUUCAAUAAAUAGGAGCCAAAGAUAAUAUUAGAGUAACAGAUGCUCUGAAUGGUUCAAAUUUAUGUGAAGAUGCAUCUUUGGCCAUAUUAGAAUAUACUUUCAUGUAUAUAAUAGAGGCCAGAGUGUCAGAACAUCAUUGUGGUGCAGGUGCUGAGAAUCUUUUGGCCUUAUCCUUUGAUCAUUGAUUUUCCAACUCACUGAAUUGAUAAGAGGACAUUGAUACAGAAAUAAUAGAUGUCAUUUACCUUCCAAGGUAGUGCUUGAGGCAUGGCUUCUACUGUAGCUAUAUAUUCUUACUGCCUUGCCCAGUAGGCCUCUGCUGCACCUAUUCCCUAUCUACACUGUUGCUCGCUGAAGCACCCAUUUAACUUGGUUAUUUUGGAACUUCUGCAGGAUCCAAAGGAGGGGCACUGGUGGAUGCAAUUCGGCAACGACUAUGUGCUGGGUUAUUGGCCUUCUUUCCUGUUCUCAUACCUAGCAGACAGUGCUUCCAUGAUUGAGUGGGGAGGUGAGGUGGUGAACUCAGAGCCUGAUGGUCGGCACACCUCCACUCAAAUGGGCAGUGGUCGUUUCCCCGAGGAAGGGUUUGGUAAAGCAAGUUACUUCAGGAAUAUUCAAGUUGUCGACUCCUCGAACAAUCUCAAGGCCCCUAAAGGGAUUGGCACCUUCACUGAGAAAUCUAACUGCUAUGAUGUUCAAACUGGCAAUAAUGGGGAUUGGGGCCGUUACUUUUAUUAUGGGGGACCUGGUAGAAAUGAAAAUUGUCCAUGAAGUAAAACACCCUCCCAUUUUCACCCCCAACACAUUCUCUCUCCCUAUGUAUCAUUCAACCUAGUGCAAUGCCUCUCCCUCUCUUGUAUACCUUUUUUUUUUUUUUUUUAGUUUUUACUAUUAGGCUGGGUUACUAAACAUGUGACAUCUCUGAAGCGGGAAGUUUUGACUCUUGUUUUUUCACCAAGAUUCUCCUUGUAAGUGGCUUGGGGAAGCGGCCAAGUUUCUCAAAAAGCUAAAAGAAACAGGCCUUUGUUUGCGCUCUCUGUUUUUCAAUUUGUUUGUUAACACUCCUUGGAGUGGCUUGUUAAUGAAUGAAUCAACUUCUCUCCUAUCUUGCCCCCGCAAAAUAUUCAAGUUUGCCACAUGUUUCUCUUUGUUCCUCCACUUUAGAAUACAAAAGUAGAGAAAUGAAGGGUGGAAAGGACUAGGGAGCUGUGAGGGUUGGAGAAUAUUCUCAUUCGAGGAAUAAAAAAAAACAGGAAAAAGAAAAGAUUAUCUGGAUGGUAAGUGUUGCUUGUGAGUGGAUGAAUGGCAGUGCACGUUUCAUGGCGUCCCUUUACUUUUUGUAAAGAGAGCUCAACAACCCAGCCAUCUUCACCUAAAACUGACCAGUUAAGUAGUGAUAAAUUGCUUUGCCAAUCCUUCAUUCCUCGGAAUGCAUGACAGGUUCUUCCAUUUUCUUAAUGGCUUCCAGUUAAAGAUACCUUAAUGUAGAGCAUAUAAAAUAAGAUAGAUUUUUCAAGAUCGGAAUGAUUAAUUAAUGAAAUGCUAAAAUGUCAUUUUCUGCCAACAACCUAGAAUGUGCAGGAACACAUGGACUGCGAGCCUUUGAGAUGGGGUUUGCCAUGUGAAAAGAGUGGAGAAUGUCAGUGCUCAGAUUCAUCAUUCAAGGUCUUUUUUUAGGGUUGAUUAAGAUUUAAGAACUGCCAAGAAAUCAAAGUGAGAAUUAUCAUACAUGGACUUUUCAAACUAGAUCCAGCUGCUCCAAGACAAAUCCCAGGUAAAAUAUUUCAGCUGUGGCUAGAGAACAACCCAGGGUUUCCCACAGCACUGUUACCAGUCAAGAAAUCUUGUUCAAAACCACAAACAUGCAUUCCACAAGAUAUCCUUUUCUCUUUUUUGAACAAGAAGAGAUAACUCCAUGCUGACCAACUCCAUAGUUGAUAGACUGUCAACAAAGUAGCAGUAUCUACAAUGCAGAAGCAUGGGAUUACCAGAUCUAAGAUCUAUCAAGUAUGGAUGAAGAGAGUUGUAUGUGUGCGCACUAAAAUGUACUCAAAAACAGUCAACUGCAGAAUCUGGCUUCAUGAUAUCACAUAAGUUGCUCCUUUAAAAGGUAAUUAAGGUGAUCUCUUCAACUGAUUUUUCUUCUCUCUUUGGGCUCGCUCCAAGAAAAAACAAGUGGUUAAGCAUAUUCUUCAUGAAAAUUAAUUUUUUUUAUAUUUUUAAAUUGUUUUAAAAUAUUAAUAUCAAAAAUAAAUUUUAAAAAAUAAAAAAUAUUAUUUUAAUAUAUUUUUAAAUAAUUUUUUUUAUAAAAAAAAACAGCCGGCAACUGAUUCCCAACAUCCUAAACUAUCUUUUAAGUGCCUAAAAUGGAAAGUGACGAUGGGAAAUUUAUUUAUCUAGUGACUCGAAGUGUGAACAUUGGCAAAAAAAAAUGAAAGAACGUAAAAGACAAGAUGGGGCCUUGGACCCCUUUUGUAUCCCAAAAAAAAAAAAAAAAAUAUCAUCACAGAGCAACCGCAGGCUGCAAGAACAUGACGGGGACCGGCUGGACCAGAAAUCAGCUGCAGCAAAAAUUCCAGGCAAUAGGCCGGUGCUGAAGGCCUCACGCGAGGAGGAUUUCUCGCACCUAUAGAUCGGCAACCAGAGAGUUUUUCUUGCGGGAAUUGUACUGUAAGAAAAAGGAACAAUCGUACAAGUAAAAGGAGAAGGAAAAUCCAGAAAAAAGAAGCCUAUCAUGUGGCAGAGACAGAGCAUUGAAUCCAGCAACUCAACCUGAAAAAACUAGUUCUCUGAGUUGAGGAGUUCCGAGUUCUCUUCCUGAGUUUUAUCAUAAAACACUCCCAGCAACGAUACAUAAUGCAUAAAUGAUAAUGAUUGUCCACUGAGAAUUAACUUGGAAAAUAAUUAUAAUUUAAGAAGCUGAAUAAAAAAAAAACAGAAAGAAAUUAAAUGAACACACUCAUUAAUGUUUUAUAAAAAAACUACUGAUAAUCAAGUAAUAUCAUUAAAUCAAAAGUACAGAGUGAGAAACAGACACGAUUUUUUUUUGUUUAUUUAUUUAUCUGAAACAGCGCCUCUGAAUCAAACAGACCGUAGGCUGGGUCAUCAUCUGGCCGAAGACAUGGACACCACUAUAUUAUUUGCCUUUUAAAUUUCUCACCACUUGCAGAACCCAGACCUGCACGUCCCAUUUUCAGCUAGCUUGGUACUCGCAUCAGACUUGAUUUUCACGUGCCAAGGCCGGAACAGGGCCGGAACAGAGGACUUCACUGCACAGAUUGCGAUCGGGAUAGUUUUGAUGCCAUUUAUGUCACAACAAUAAAACUGGAAACUCAUCUUCAUUACUUUGGAUUGAAAAUAUAAUUUUAUUUAAAGAGAAUGAACACAUUUCGACUAAAAAAUUUAAAAUUUUGUUGAUUUAUUGGUAACAGUAUUCGACGAACCAAGAACAAUUAAGGUUAUUCUGAUCAGUUAAAGAAGGGAAGGUUCAGAGAAAUGCCAGAAAGUGGCCAUCGUUUUCUUUUCAAACUCUCUGUCUCUCCCCAUUCUGCAGUAGCUAGAGGCUUUAAGCUAUCAUUCAAUGUUGACCAUGCUGCUUGAAUCUACCAAUAUUCAUCGUCUUCUCUAACCUUACUCUUACCUAUUCAAUGUUGAAUAUGCAGGGCUGGUCUUUCAUGCAUGGGGGCAUUCUGCAUUGAAUACCAGGUCGAUAACCAGCUCCUAUCAUUAAAUCCUUAAUUCUCACCAUAGUUCAAGAUCCUCAACAACUCUCAUUUUGAACAUUAAAUCAUGUCAAGUUUUUAUCUUUCAACGAUUCUAAUCAUUCCGAGUAUCCUGCAUGCAUAUAUUUGCUGGAAAGUGCUCCAAGAUGGCGAUUCUGAAUGGUGUUCUGGUCGAGAUGUGCUUUAUUUUCUCUCCAUCGCUUUUGAUUCAUGAAAGUUUCUGUGUUUUGUUUUUAGUAUAUUAAUUAAUCAAAUACUUUUAAAAUUAUAAUAAAAACAAACACAAUUUCAACCGAUCAUGUGACCGUACAUUCAUCAAAGGUCUGUUAACUUAAAAUUGCAUCUUUUCCUAGCACUUGAAAAUUAGUAAAUAGAUUGACUGUUUACAUACAUCCCUUACUGCCUAUACGAGACAAGAAUAUUUAUACACACAUCAUCUUUGAAGAAUCUUUAUGGCACCCAUGUUUAAAAUCAAACUUGUUAUUACAUCUAUGAAUGUAGAUGUACACUUCUUGGAAAAGAAUUCAAUGACGAGAUUUGAAUUCAAUGCAUUUAGGCUAAAUGAAUAAUUUUCUUGCCAUUUAAACGAAUCCCUCCAUAACCGACUUAUGAUUUCUUCGAUAAAUUGGAAAUGAGUUACUUAUUUUCAACCUUUUUUUUCAAUGCAGUAGAUGGCGUUUAUUUAUUUUUUAUUUAUGUUUUAAAAAUAUAUUUUUUAAAAUUAUUAGUUUUAUGUAUUUAAAAUUAUUUUUUAAUGUGUUUUCAGAUCAUUUUGAUAUAUUGAUAUUAAAAAUAAUUUUUUUUAAAAAUAAAAAUAUUAUUUUAAUAUAUUCUAAAAAAAAAUAAUUUAAAAAUCACACUUCCAAAAAUAUAAUUAAAUAACAUAUAAGACAAACUAUCCUUAUCAACUUAUGUUUCAAGAUUCAUGUUAUAUAUAAAGAAAUUAGUUUGACAUUAAUUUUAAGCAAAGCAACAAAUUAAACUUAAUCCUAUUACAUCACCAUCCAACUCCAAAUUGGGAUUUGGAUUUGCAAGAGAAUUUUCACAGCCAGGUUUCAUCACAUGACUGCCUAGUCAUCUUGGUUCUUGAGUUGGUCACAAGUCUUUUUCUAUUUAGAAUUAAAAAAAAAAACCAUCCCAAGAUUCUUUACCUCAUUAAAUAAAUCAAGCUUUGAAAACACAAAUUCUCUGCCUACUAAAUUAAGAAAAUUACUUCCCAUGACAACAAAACGACCCUCAAAUAUUAAAAAUAAAUUUAAACAAAAUAAAUAAAUAAAAAGCACCUUUCUUUUUCCACAUUCAGGUUAAUUGUCUGCGAAAUCAAACAAGCAUGUGCUCCAUUGAGACUCUCGCACCCAUCCUCAAUCCAUAGCAAGUGAGACUCACUAACCCUCAUUUCAAGCCAUGACUGGCGAGUGCAAUGCACUUGCUUUUUCUGAGAUUGGGCAUGGUUCAUAUUCAGACAGAAACAUAGCUGUUAUUUUUUUAACCACUCUACUGCCUUUACUUGUGCUUUCCAGUCUUCUUGUCUUGUUUUUCUCUUUCUCUGUCUAUAGACUCAUACACUCUCUCUCUCUCCAGAGAGAGAAACAAAAAAAAAAAGGAAGAAAACACCCAUCUUUUUUUCUUCACAUUCCACACAUAGCAAUAGGGUUUUUUUUAACUUUACUCUCUCCCUCUCUCUCCCCUUCCCUGGAGCUGAGAGAUCCUCAAAGAAGAUAAAACCCAAUCAAUCAAACACCAGACAAAACUUACCAAAUCCUAAAGUGGCUGUAACAUUUCCCACCUUUUUCAUCUUCUUCACCUGUAUAGAAGCAACAAAACCCUAGCUAGAGCUCAAUUAUUUGAAGACCCUUUUGAAUUUAUGAUCCAUUAGUACUCCAAGAUGACAGUUUUUAGAUGAAUUAAGGAUAUGAUGCUGUUGCCCAUCAAGCUCAAUUCACUCUACUAGGUAAAAAUCCCAUUUUUCUGCACCCUACAUUGGUUUUCUUCAUGCGGGUUUCAAUUCUUUUCAGUAUGGUUAUGAUUUUUUUUUUUAUAAUUCUGGUACUUUAUUUAUGUUUCCAUGUACGUAGUUAAAACCCACUUAAUUCCCUCUUUCAUUAGUGUUCUCCAUUUUGGGCAAUACGUUUUAUUUAAUUUUUUUUCUUUUUGGCUCACUGUUCCUUUUUUUCUGUGCGUAUUGUGAAAAAUUGGUGUUGGUAUUUAUGCAUGUGGGUGUGCAUUAGGUUGGAGAGUGGAGCCAUGGAAGGCGACCAGCACGGGAUUGUACUGGCCUGUGCUAUUUCAGGGACCCUUUUUGCCAGUUUGGGUUUGGGUUCGUGUUGGAUUCUAUGGGCAGUGAAUUGGAGGCCAUGGAGGAUUUAUAGGUAAUUCUGGAUGGGCAACUUUGGAAACUUCUUAUUAUCUUAUUACCAGGCUUGCCAGAAUGAUUGAAGUACAUAAAUUUCAUGUGGGGCUUUAUAGCAAGUAAUAAUUUAUGGUUGAUUAUUAGGAUUUGAGGUUGCAUCAUAUAAUAUAAUAUGUUGGAUUGUAAUUCAGAUUGUGGUUUUAAUUGUAGCCUUAAUGUGGUUCGUUAAAUAUGUCAUUAAUUGAACAUCAAGGCUUCAUUUGGUGUGUGAUUGAAAAGUAGUUGGUUGUUUUUGAUUAUCAGGAGAUGUACUAUGGAACAGAAAGGCGAUUUAGCCGGUUAUUUAAGUAAAAAGUUUUCCUCUUAUUAAAAAUGAGAAUUUUUUUAUAGGUUUAGAGAAAAUGAAAAUAGAGAGCUCUCCACAGCUUUUUGCACUAUUUUUUUUCGUGGAUCUGCAAAUGGCUCCACUAAAACUUUCUGAUACAUCAAUCUUGUAUCUUUAAAGUGCCCUUCAGCCUCAAUCCUUAACUUGUUUCCUGUUUCCGUAGCAUUGUUGAUAUCUGGGAACCUAGAAUGACAUGUGAAUAGAGGUGGAAUUAUGAUCAGUAAACCAUUCAUGUUCCUCUGCUAUAGAGUUUCUUUUUCUUUGUGUCCAUGUUUAGCCUUCACUUGUGUACUCUUUUAGUUUCCCUAUUUUCAGCUUAUUUAUGAAGUCAAUGUGUUAUACUAUAAAAACAUGUGUACUCUGUUUAUUGGAUUCUGUCCUUUUUACAUCAUCUGAUCCUUGGUUGACAUUUCUUGUUUCAGUUGGAUCUUUGCCAGAAAAUGGCCAUAUAUCCUACAAGGCCCUCAGCUGGGCAUAUUAUGUCGUUUUCUCUCUCUUUUUGCAUGGAUAAUUGUUGUAUCUCCGGUUCUAAUGCUUAUCAUGUGGGGAAGCUGGUUAAUUGUAAUAUUGCAUCGCGAUAUAAUUGGUCUGGCUGUAAUCAUGGCUGGCACUGCUCUUCUGUUGGCAUUCUAUUCAAUCAUGCUCUGGUGGAGAACACAAUGGCAAAGUUCAAGUAUGUGUAUCUGUAUCCUCUUUAUCUUUUAAUUAUGUUUUCAUUUUUGAGCUGGAAAACGAACUUUUCUCUAUUUGUCCAUUGCGGAAUUUGUAUGGCGAGCCUGUCUUUGGUGGCAGAGAUUUGCAUUUUAAUUCUCUCUAAAAUUGAUUUUAUUUGGCAUUUAAUUUCAUGUUUAACAUGUUAUUCUGCAUGCAUUCCUGUGAUUGACAAGUUUCUGAGUGGUUAAGAACUUCCUCAAGUCAAGAGCAAAACCAUUCGCUCUUUUUAUUUAUAAUUAAAAGUAGAAAUAAUUGGAAGAUAGAUCAUUCUAUUGAGAAUGGGGCAUGUUUCACUCCUAAAUUCUGCUUCCAUGGAAAUAAUUUUCUCUGCUGGAAUUUCAAUUUUUGCUCAAGUGAACUCCAAUCAUAUGUUUUUUUUUGGUGAUCAUCUUGAAUGGUUAAGCUUUGAUUGUAUCAAUCUAUUUCUCUUCAAGUUGAAAUUACAAUACUCCAUAAGAGAUCCAAAAUUGAAUUUGGAUUUUAAAAGGAAGCUAAUGAAUGAACAUGGUGCUUGUGGAAGUUAAUCCCUCAUGUUGUGAUUGGGAAAAAGGCUUUUUUGUUGUUGGAUAUAUUUUUUAAUAACUACGAGAAAAAGAAGAAGUUAUGGGAGCAUUAGCACAUGAAAUCUCCGACGUUGUAUUGUAUUGAGAUAAAUUGGUUCAUGUCAGACAAUGCUGAUGCUUUGUUGGUGAGAUUGAGAUACGCGUGUGAUAGAAACGGUGUACUAAUAUUAAAUGGGUUGAUGACCACAAGUUUUAGAAAUGAGGGAUUGUCUGGUAACUCGGUUUUGUUAGACUAGGAGACUAUUAGGAAUGCAUUCACUAGAUAUUUUGGGAAUAAAAGAAAAAAUCAACUUUUCACUUUCUUGCUGGAAUUUGUGGAGAAAAAAACCUUAAACUGCCAUGAAUGAGCCAAAGAUUUGGGUUUCAAGCAACAUGGCAUCUAUGAAAGUUGAAACCACAACUAUUGAUUAUUUUGUCACAUUAAGAUAACUUUAUUCCGAACCUCUUGUAUGCUCCUCAGAUAAACAAAUUAAUAAUGAGAUAUAGAGGGAAUGUGAAAGUUAAUUUGGAAAGUAUCAAGGAGUUGGAACUUGGAACUAAAGGAAAUACGAGGAAGUGGCAGAGGAAGCAGCUUAACUGAAAUGGAGAUUUGGAAAGAUCUGAGAAGCUCAAUAACAAACAAGAGGAAAAUUGUUAUGACUAGCUAAGUUGCUUAUGGUUUUCACGUGAAAGGUCAUGUACAAAAAAGUGGAUGAUAAAAAUCUAUUGAGAACACUGAUUUGGGAAUAUAAUUAUAUAAGCAGAUGCUACAUUUCAGCUUGAGAAUGAUUAGUGAGAUAAUUAUAUGUAAGUAACAAUGAAAACAAACAGCUAGAGUUGUCAAUUUUAGAACUAAAAUAAGUAUCUUAGGAUAGCCAUAACUUUAACAUGGUUUGUACGUGGUAUGAUUAAACGGUUAAAACUCAAUAUAAGAUCAUUCAAAAUAGGGUGUCUUGGGAAUUUAAUAGCUCAUUACUGCUAUUAUUACCCAAUGAACUUCCAUUACCUUAAGCCACGUGUUAACAGAGAACUCUCGGAUUGUCAUGGAAAUAGAGCUGGUUUUGGUUUGCACUUGAGCUCCAUAUGUAUUUCUAUCUGUAGGCUGCCUAGUGGUCCAUAUGAAUCUAUUUGCGAUGAGCCCACACUAAAGGAGGACAUUAAGACAUGUAAGCCGCACAUCAAUAAUUUUUUUAUUUGUAUCAGUGUUAAGUACUACUAUCUUUAUCUGUAGGUGGGUUUUAUCUGUGCUAAUAAUUGAAGUUUGCUUUUAUCAUUGGAUAACUGAGCCCUUCAUAUUGUUCUUUGAAAAUUUUCUUUGAUUUCUCUUGCUUUUGAUUUUGACCUAACUUCUUUAUUUCGGCUCUACAGGGGCAGUCAUUGAUUUCUCCUGCUUUUGAUUUUGGCUUAACUUCUUUAUUUUGGCUCUACAGGGCCAGUCAUUGAUUUCUCCUGCUUUUGAUUUUGGCUUAACUUCUUUAUUUUGGCUCUACAGGGGCAGUUGCUAUUCUUCUUCUUCUGGCUGUUGCCCUUCUCUGUGCAUAUGAAUUAUGUGCUGUGUAUGUUACAGCUGGAAAAAAUGCUUCUCAGCGAUAUUCACCCUCCGGUUUCUUUUUUGGUGUAUCAGCUAUUGCCUUGGCAAUUAACAUGCUCUUUAUUUGCCGAAUGGUCUUUAAUGGUAAGUCGUGCUUUAUCUUUUCAUGCCAGACAUUAUUUUGCAUCCAUUUUGUUCUAGAGAUGUAAUUGCACUGUGAUGACAUGAUUUCAUGAUUUCCAGGACUUGAGUCUUGUUGAUGCAAUAAACUUUGGUUUCUGUUAUCUGUUAUGUUGUAAUAAUUUUUUUUUUUUUCCUUCUGUUUCCUCAAUGCCUGAAGGGAAUGGCUUAGAUGUGGAUGAGUAUGUGCGGAGGGCAUACAAAUUUGCUUAUAGUGAUUGUAUAGAAAUGGGUCCAAUUCCUUGCUCUCCAGAGCCACCUAACCCCAAUGAAUUAUACCCUCGGCAAUCCAGCAGGUAAGCCAUAUGAUCAAGCUUUGUAUCUUAGAUAUUUUGAAUAAUGUCUUAGUAGUUAGUGCUGGAUCUUCAUCUUGUGUAGGCAUAUCUAGAGUUGGGGCAACCUUUUCAGGUGGUCUUGUUGAUAACUGGAUUUUAUUUAUAACUUGCUUGAUGAUAAGUAGGGAGAGUGCAUGACUCUGGGUUGUGAGGGUUGGUUAAAAUGGUUCAACAUCCUUUUGAGGUCUUAAAUUAUUAACUAGACAUUUUUUGCCUAGCCGGUCUAAUAUGUUAAUUAAUUGUCUUCUUUUCAAUGUGUUUAUAGGGCUUCACAUCUUGGAUUUCUAUACUUUGGCUCGCUUGUGGUUCUUCUCGUCUAUUCCAUUUUAUAUGGUUUUACAGCAACAGAAGCACGCUGGCUUGGGUUCAUUACAUCAGCUGCUGUCAUUAUUCUUGGUAUCCUGUUUGUGACCAUGGUUAUUCAUGUUUUGCCUUCUUCAUUGCCUUCUAUGCAACUUUAGCUACCCCCCUGGUGCUAAUUUCUUGUGGUUAAUUGUUAUGCAGAUUGGAACAUGGGGGCAUGCUUGUAUUGUUUCCAGCUUCUUCAAAGCCGUGUGGUGGCACUUUUUGUUGCUGGCAUAUCUCGAGUUUUUCUUAUAUGCUUUGGGGUGCAUUACUGGUUUGUUCUAGACACUUUUGCUCAAACAUGAUGUGUAAAUUUGUCGGUUUCCGUUGCUAUCCCUUGUCAUAGUCACCAUCCUGUUUCUUUGCUUCAGGUAUUUGGGUCAUUGCAUUAGUUAUGCUGUUGUAGCAUCUGUGCUGUUAGGUGCUGCUGUUUCUCGUCAUUUGUCAGUCACAAAUCCUUUAGUUGCUAGAAGAGAUGCCUUACAGAGCACAGUGAUUCGCCUCAGAGAGGGUUUUCGCAGAAAGGAACAGAACACUUCAUCUAGCUCUUCUGAAGGUUGUGGCUCAAGUGUAAAACGUAGUAGCAGUGUUGAAGCAGGUCCACUUGGUAACAUCGUUGAUUCUGGUAACCAGUCCACAGUGCAGUGUACAACUGAUGCUAGUAACUGGAAUAAUGUUCUAUGUCGAAAUGCCAGUUCUCAUGAGGGGAUCAAUAGUGAUAAAAGCACAGAAAGUGGAAGGCCAAGUUUAGCAUUACGUAGCAGUUCUUGUCGUUCAGUUGUCCAAGAGCCUGAAGCGGGGAUGUCUGGGGAUAAGUUUUUUUAUCAGAAUAAUUCCCUAGUGGUUUGCUCUAGCAGUGGUCUUGAUAGUCAAUGCUGUGAAUCUAGUGCAUCAAAUUCUGCAAAUCAACAACUGUUAGAUUUGAACCUUGCUCUUGCCUUUCAGGAAAGGUUGAAUGAUCCCAGGAUUACAUCUAUGCUGAAAAAGAGGGCAAGGGAAGGUGAUAGAGAAUUGGCUACUUUACUGCAGGAUAAGGGACUGGAUCCUAAUUUUGCCAUGAUGUUGAAGGAGAAGAACUUGGAUCCCACUAUCCUGGCAUUACUCCAGAGGAGCAGUUUGGAUGCAGAUAGAGAUCAUCGUGACAAUAAUGAUAUCACAAUUGUUGACUCAAAUAGCGUUGACAAUGUUAUGCCCAAUCAAAUUUCUCUGUCAGAAGAACUAAGGCUUCAGGGGCUUGAAAAGUGGCUUCAGUUGUCUAGAUAUGUUCUGCAUCACAUAGCAGGCACUCCUGAGCGAGCAUGGGUGCUCUUUAGUUUCAUCUUCAUUGUGGAAACAGUUAUUGUGGCAAUUGUUCGUCCCAAGACAAUUAAAAUAAUAAAUACAGUACAUCAACAGGUGAGUGGAGUAUGUAAGAUUUUUUCUUAUUUAUUUAUUUUAUUAGACUUAUGCCUGAUUAAUGAUAGUAAACAAAAAGCAUGUUCAAAUUUGAUGAAAAAAUUUAUGUUGCAGUUUGAGCUUGGGAUUGCAGUAUUUCUAUUAUCUCUUGUUGUUUGCUCAAUCAUGACUUUUCUUCGGUCACUUCAAGUAGAAGAGAUGGCCAUGACAUCAAAACCUCGCAAGGUAGAUAUUAUUGAACAUCCCAAUUUCAUUCUUUCUAAAUGGUCAAUUCAAAUCCAAAGUCCAAAAUUUUUAAUGCUAGUCUGUGAUUUGGUUUUUUAACAGUCCAAGUACCACUAUCUUCAUUUCUUUUUUUCGCUACUGUGUUGUGUCCCGUUGCGUUGCACUAGAAGAUGGAUUUGUUUUGUUUAUUUGUGUAUGCGUAUAAAUCCAUAUAAAAUUUGCCUCUUUAUACUCUUACUGUUAGCCUGUCUUUAUACUGUUUAAAGUUUUUUCUGUGAUUAUAUGGGACUUGCAUCAGAAUUCUUGGUGUUCUUAUGUCUUCUUUAAACCUCUUUGUUUCUCAGUAUGGUAUUAUUGCAUGGCUGCUUAGCACUGGUGUUGGAUUGUUGCUUUCCUUCUUGAGGUAUGCUAAAUAUUCACAAUCCACUUAAUUCAAUUAUCAUUUUAGAAUUUUCCUAUCAUGGCACCUUGUUUUUACUGUAUAUAGCUUGCUUUGUGAAUGAUUCGAUGACAUGUUAUGUGUGGCAGUGCACCACUCACUUUGUAAUGCGUUAAAUCUUUUUCCUGUUCUGCAGCAAAUCAUCAAUGCUUCUAGGAUUAUCCUUGACUGUUCCACUCAUGGUGGCUUGUCUUUCUGUUGCAAUUCCUAUUUGGAUUCACAAUGGCUACCACUUUUGGCCUCAAGUGCAGUCUGCAGGUCAUGCUGGAAAUCAUCGUCCUCCUGGGACAAAGGAGGUUUGUUCAUUCUUGCUCUCCACCCUUCACCUUUGAUUUCACAUAAUUAUUCAAGAAUAAGAUCUAUCAUUUUGGAAGUAGAUGUUUCAAAAAAGUUGCCAUCCUUUCCUUUUUUAAUAUUUUUAUUAUUGUGCUCGUUCUUUAGGAACUUUGGUUUGCAAAAUUAAACCUUUAUUGAUUCUAGUUAAUUUUCUCAUCUUUGCUAGGGUAUUGUUCUUAUUGUUUGUACAAUAGUAUUUAUUGGAUCCGUGUUAGCUUUGGGUGCUAUUGUGUCUGCAAAGCCGCUAGAUGAAUUGGGAUACAGGGCAUUGACCACUGGUCAGAAAAGCUUCAGUUCUGCUUAUGCAUCACCAGCAUACCUUGGUUGGGUGAUGGCAUCUGCAAUUGCUUUAAUAGUCACUGGUGUGCUACCCAUUGUUUCAUGGUUUGCAACAUAUCGGUUUUCCCUGUCUUCUGCUGUAUGUGUUGGGAUAUUUGCAGGUAAUUUGUCUAUACUUGCUCGGUCUUUAAUGUUUGCAAUUUAGGUCUAUCAUAAGUUGGCUGGGUCAGCAUGUGGAUUUAUCUUACCCCCUGUUGCUGUUUUGGUAGUUGUUCUUGUGGCAUUUUGUGGUGUGUCCUAUUUGGAAGUUGUCCAAUCUAGGGAUGACCAGGUUCCAACAAAGGGUGAUUUUCUUGCUGCCCUACUUCCUCUUGUGUGCAUUCCAGCAUUGCUAUCACUUUGCUGUGGAUUGCUUAAAUGGUGAGAAUUAUUGUAUUCAACAUUAAUUCAUAACUGAAGUUUACUUCUCAAACCAUGACUGGAUAUUGUUGUACUGCUGCAAGUGAGCAUUUGUUUGGCUAUUUAAUGUGCUGUAGAAACUGUUUACAGGAAAGACGAUGAUUGGAAACUUUCUCGAGGUGUAUAUAUAUUUGUUAUUAUUGGUCUUCUUCUUCUGCUUGGUGCAAUAUCUGCUGUUGUAGUUGUGGUUAAGCCAUGGACUGUAAGUGGGGUUUUUUAUCCAUCAAUGAAUUUUACUAUCUUUGAGAUGCAGUAUACCUAUUUAACUUGCUUUAUGUUUUCCCUCAAUUGCAACAGAUAGGGGUAGCAUUCCUCUUAAUUCUUCUCCUGAUCGUACUAGCUAUUGGUGUUAUCCAUCAUUGGGCUUCAAACAAUUUCUAUUUGACCAGGACACAGACGCUCUUUGUUUGUUUCCUUGCUUUUCUUUUGGGCUUGGCAGCAUUUCUUGUUGGAUGGUUUGGAGGUGAAAACAAAUAUCAUGACUAACCGAUACUAUUUGCUUAGACCCUAGUCUUGGACAUAGCUUACUUGAACAAUGACAACCAUCCAGUGACUUCAAGUUUCUUACCUUUCUUUUCAGGAAAGCCUUUUGUAGGAGCAUCCGUUGGUUAUUUUGCAUUUUUGUUUCUUCUUGCUGGACGAGCAUUGACUGUAAGUUUCACCACAUUAACUUCAUUCAAGUUUUGACUGUAAUAUUUAAUCUUUAUUUUUUCAUUUUACAAAAUGGGUUUAAUUUUUCUCAUUUAUUCUUUUAUUUUCUCUCUUCUCGCACGUGUGUCCCUGCAGGUCCUGCUGUCACCACCCAUAGUAGUUUAUUCACCACGAGUACUGCCUGUUUAUGUUUAUGAUGCCCAUGCAGAUUGUGGAAAAAAUGUCAGGUUUGUCAUCUAUUCUCUGUUGUUCUUCUCUCAUUUGUUCAUGGAUUUCUUAUUCUUCUGUCAUUUAUUUUCUAUUAUAAUCUUUGAUAUCCAUAUGUUGGCUCUCUGCACUAAAUGUCCAUUCUUUAUUCAUAUCUAUUGAUUGUGCAUCACCUCUUAAACAGCGGUGCAUUUCUCAUGCUUUAUGGGAUCGCUUUGGCAACUGAAGGAUGGGGUGUUGUUGCCAGUUUGAAUAUUUAUCCACCAUUUGCUGGUGCUGCUGUAUCUGCAGUUACUCUUGUUGUAUCCUUCGGGUUUGCUGUCUCACGUCCAUGCCUGACUUUAAAGGUUUGCAUGCUGAUCAUAUCCAAUCUCCAAUGAGUUGAUUUUACUUGAUGUCAGUCUGCAAGUAUUUUUUCUUGUUCGUGUUUUAAUAUUUUAUGAAAGGAGUUACUUUGUAUCUUCAUCCCUAGCAAUGUUUAUUGGGUUCAGUUAAUAACAUUCUCUUAUAUCUCCAGAUGAUGGAUGAUGCAGUUCAUUUUCUCAGCAAGGAUACCAUUGUUCAAGCAAUUACACGAUCUGCUACUAAGGUGUGUUUGAUUUUGUAUUUGAAACUGAUCCACAGUCAGCAUCUGAUUUGCGUGGUUUAAGUAUAUUACUCAGAUUAACAAAAACUUGGGGUGGCGAAAUGAUUCAAUCCUCACACCUGCUACAGUUAAAUUGAGUCCAUGAGAUGUAUGUUUUCACUAGGUCAUGCCCAGGCUAUUAUGUAUAAAUAUUUGUGAAUGUCUAUGUGUUCAUGCAACUGCUUGAGAUGUGUUAUAAAACAUAAUAAUCCACCAUAGUUUUUAGCUUUCUUUAUCUUGUAUGGUGAAAGGUUUUUCAGGCUUCUGCUCACUUACUACUGAACUGUGAUGCAUUUACUAUGUUUGUCAUGCAGACAAGAAAUGCUUUGUCUGGAACAUAUUCUGCACCUCAGCAAUCUGCUAGUUCAACAGCUCUUUUGGUUGGGGACCCUACGGCUGCACGUGAUAAGGCAGGGAACCUUGUGCUUCCUAGGGAUGAUGUCAUGAAAUUGAGAGACCGUCUAAGAAAUGAGGAAUUGCUAGUGGGAUCUUUCUUCUGCCAGAUGAGAUACCGAACAUUUCGAUGUGAAUCAGCUAGUGGUUUAGAUCACAGAAGGGAAAUGUGUGCCCAUGCACGAAUUUUGGCUUUAGAAGAGGCAAUUGAUACUGAAUGGGUAUAUAUGUGGGACAGAUUUGGUGGUUACUUACUUCUUCUGCUUGGUUUGACUGCUCAGGCAGAAAGAGUACAGGUACAUCAGGGUUUUGUGAUAAUUACUAUAUUUAUUUUAUCGCUACUCAGAAUGCAUGAUUAUACUUCUGCUGUUGUAGGAUGAGGUACGCUUGAGGCUUUUUCUUGAUAGCAUAGGUUUCUCAGACCUAAGUGCCAAGAAAAUCAAGAAGUGGAUGCCGGAGGACCGUAGGCAAUUUGAAAUUAUUCAGGAUAGGUGACAACAUUCUCACAUUUUCUUUUUUCUUCCACUUGAGGAAUUACCCUUUCCAUGUUUCUAAAUCUUCAUUCUGGAUUUUGUAGCUAUCUGAGAGAAAAGGAGAUGGAAGAGGAAAUCUUAAUGCAAAGACGUGAAGAGGAGGGUAAGGGUAAAGAAAGAAGGAAGGCCCUUUUGGAGAAGGAAGAACGCAAAUGGAAGGAGAUUGAAGCUUCUCUCAUUUCCACAAUUCCUAAUGCUGGCAGCAGGGAGGCAGCAGCCAUGGCAGCUGCAGUGCGUGCUGUAGGAGGUGAUUCGGUUCUCAGUGAUUCCUUUGCACGGGAAAGGGUUUCAAGCAUUGCCCGUAGGAUACGCACAGCUCAAUUAGCUCGCCGAGCACUGCAGGUCAAUAGCCCUGUUCUUUAAACUGGUUCUCCAAUGUUUACCUUCUGCCCUUUGUUUUUGAUAUCAUCUGAUAUGAAUGCUGGCAUUUCUUCCAUAUUUGGAUGAUGUACCUUCCCGUAUUUGAUAUAGAUUAGCUGCACAUUGAAUCUGGGUUUUGAAACCAAGACUAAUAAUGGAUAGACUAAUAGUUUAACAAUUGAUGCAGCAGAGGCUGUUCUGAAAAUGUUAUGCAAUUAAAUGGGUUAGCUUUAAUAUACUGAUUAGUAGCUGACAAAUAAUCAGUGAAAUGAGACCUGAAUAUUUACCUCCCAAAAACUAGCUAACACUUGAGGAAUAACAGAAAAAUACAGGAAGUUGGUGCCCCAACUUCUGGAAGUUGAGGACUUUCCAGGUCUUGUUUCGCAGAGCAGGGGCUGUACCUGCAAGGAAAUAUCUCAAAUUGCCCUAAUUUUUUCUUGAGUCACCUGCUACUUCAUGAUCUAUAAAGCUAAUUUCUGAAAUUGUGUAAGGAUGUCACCAAUUCUGUUGUGAAAUAUGAAUCUACUAACUCUUAAUGUUGCUUGCAGACCGGAGUUACAGGUUCUGUAUGUGUUCUUGAUGAUGAACCAACCACAAGUGGCAGGCACUGUGGUGAGAUCGAUCCCAGUGUAUGCCAAAGUAGAAAGGUCAGUUUUUCCAUUGCUGUUAUGAUCCAACCUGAGUCUGGACCAGUUUGCCUUCUAGGCACUGAAUUUCAAAAGAAAGAAUGCUGGGAAAUUCUGGUGGCUGGUGCUGAGCAAGGUAUUGAGGCUGGACAGGUUGGGCUUAGAUUAAUCACUAAAGGUGAUAGGCAGACAACUGUUGCCAAGGAGUGGAGUAUCAGUGCAACAAGUAUUGCGGAUGGAAGGUUAGGAAGUUUUUUGUUUGCAAGUUACUUUGAAUCUUAGUGCUUGAGGUCUUACGCUUUUGCUUCCGUGUUACUACUUUCCAUGUAUUCUUGUACUUGCUUUUUUUUUUUAAUCUUUAAUUGAAGUUUGGAACUCCAAGAUGUGUUAUACUUCUAGGGUUUUAUUUUUUUUCCAGCAUUUUGUGAUUUCUAUUUAUCUACAGAUUCAAUGUUAUUUGGGUUUAAUAAUUCUUUGCAGGUGGCAUAUUGUGACAAUGACAAUUGAUGCUGAUUUGGGUGAAGCAACUUGCUAUAUGGAUGGUGGCUUUGAUGGCGACCAAACUGGGCUACCAUUGUCUGUGGGCAGUAGUAUCUGGGAACAGGGGACAGAAGUUUGGGUUGGUGUUAGGCCACCAAUAGAUAUGGAUGCAUUUGGAAGGUCAGAUAGUGAAGGAGCCGAGUCUAAGAUGCAUAUAAUGGAUGUUUUCUUAUGGGGAAGGUGCUUAACUGAAGAUGAGAUUGCCUCGCUUCACACUGCGAUAGGCUCAACGGAGUUUGGUAUGAUUGACUACCACGAAGAUAAUUGGCAGUGGGCAGAUUCACCCCCCAGAGUAUGUUUUGCAGUUAAUGUUUCUUAUUAUGGUGAACCACAUGAAAUUUCAAUAAUGGAAAGAAUAUUUUAUAUGCGAGGUUGAAGUCCUUUACUAAUCUUUGCUUUUCAUGUUCACUUAGGUUGAUGAGUGGGAUAGUGAUCCUGCAGAUGUAGAUCUUUAUGAUAGGGAUGAUGUGGAUUGGGAUGGGCAAUAUUCAAGUGGGAGGAAAAGAAGAUCAGAUCGUGAAGGAGUGGCGAUAGAUGUUGAUUCUUUUGCUAGGAGGUUUAGGAAACCUAGGAUAGAAACCCAGGAAGAAAUUAAUCAACGAAUGCUUUCGGUUGAAUUGGCUGUUAAAGAAGCCUUGUGUGCUAGAGGAGAAGCAAAUUUUACUGAUCAGGAGUUUCCUCCGAAUGAUCAAUCAUUAUACAUGGAUCCUGCAAAUCCCCCUUCAAAGUUGCAGGUUGGUUCUUUUGGCUCUGUAAUUACACAUUGUUUGGUGUAUUUUAUUGUUUUUUUCUAACUUUGUUUUGGAGUUCAAAACUAGGUUGUCUCUGAGUGGAUGAGGCCUGUGGAAAUAGUUAAGGAAAGUCGUCUAGACUCCCACCCAUGCUUGUUUUCUGGGGCUGCAAAUCCCUCUGAUGUUUGUCAGGUCUGGUCUCUACUCGUUGCUUGACAUGCAAUUUUUUUUUCACUGCACUGAUCAUCUCUGUAUUUCGAAUCACCUUAAUUGAAUGUCUCAAAAUUCUUAAGAAUUGUCAUGGUUAUGUAAUAGGGUCGUUUAGGUGAUUGUUGGUUUCUAAGCGCUGUGGCUGUUCUAACGGAGGUAUCACGAAUAUCAGAAGUGAUUAUUACCCCAGAGUAUAAUGAAGAAGGAAUUUACACGGUUCGCUUUUGUAUUCAGGUAGCAGCUUGUAGUUUCUUUUGGUAAUAAUACAUUUUUCAAUAAUGAUUUAAUGAAAAUAAUACAGUUACUUGGCUUUCUGUCCUUUGAUAUAUAUAUGAUGUUUGGAUUUAUGAUUCAGCUGUGCUUUAUAGGGGAAAAAUGUGAGACAUUGUGAUGUAUUAUAGAUUUUUUUUUUCAAUUUUCAAUGUUGUAUUGAAAUAACAAGAACCAGUUGAAAAUGCAUCCCAAAGUUGUUUAAAUUACUCUAUCUGCUGACUAGAACUUAAUCUUUGAUGGUUAGACUUGCCUUCAGUAUACUGGUGAUUUGUGUGUGAGAAAACCUGUAUCCAAAACUGUUCUUUUACAGACUUGGCUAGUUUCUCACUAGCCUGGAGAAGAUCCCAUUGUUUAGUGAUAAAGUAAUUCUAAUGUACCUUUUGGUAGACAAUUGUCAUGUUAGCUGUCUAGGAACUAGGAGAGAUGUCAACUAUCAUCUGUUUGGAUGCCAAUGCUGCCAGACUUUAAGUGGAGCACUCUCCCUCUGACGAGACUAUGUCAAUUAAGUGCCAUUCUAUUAGAUGCAGCUUCCCUGGGCUUCACUUAAGAACUGGCAAUGCUUUCCCUGGGACUUGGCCCUGGUGUUCAAGGGGUGAGGUGGUUUUGGGGUAGGUCUUAAGAAUCUUUAGAGCCAUAGACAGUGGUUUUGCAUGAUGUCAUUCCCGAGUCGUUCCAUUAUAACCUGGUCCCUACUGGGUUCUGCUUUUCAUUUCUGAAUACAAUGCACGACCCCUUUUUUCCUCUAAUGUUGCUUCAUUUCCUGUUAAAUUAGCUAACAGACAUAUUUAGUAAGAGUGCUUCCUGGUUGGUUAUUGUUGUAAUUGUUUUGGUUAUCAUGUUCUUAUCAACAUUCUGUUUUGCAAUCUCCUUGUAGGGUGACUGGGUCCCAGUUGUUGUUGAUGAUUGGAUUCCAUGUGAAUCACCAGGUAAACCUGCAUUUGCUACCAGCCAGAAGGGUAAUGAACUCUGGGUUUCUAUAUUGGAGAAAGCAUAUGCCAAAUUGCAUGGUUCUUAUGAGGCAUUGGAGGGUGGGCUUGUUCAGGAUGCCCUUGUGGACCUUACUGGAGGUGCUGGUGAAGAGAUUGACAUGCGGAGUGCUCAGGCCCAGAUCGAUCUUGCAAGUGGUAGACUGUGGUCUCAAUUGUUGCGCUUUAAACAAGAAGGCUUUCUACUGGGUGCAGGGAGUCCAUCUGGUUCUGAUGUUCACAUUUCUUCCAGUGGUAUUGUGCAGGGCCAUGCGUACUCUUUGCUGCAGGUAAUGCAAGCUUGCAUCUUUCUUUAUCAAUCCUGUACCAGCUGAAGAAGUCUUGGUGGAAGUUGACACUCUUAUUAAAUUAUUCAGGUAAGAGAGGUGGAUGGCCAUAAGCUUGUUCAAAUUCGAAAUCCAUGGGCUAAUGAAGUAGAGUGGAAUGGACCUUGGUCUGACUCAUCUCCUGAAUGGACUGAUAGGAUGAAGCACAAGUUAAAGCAUGUUCCACAGGUACUUAGUUUUGGCAUGUUUUCCUUUUCAUAUCUUGGAGAGUAAAAAAGUUAACAAGCACAGUCCUUGAGUACUAUUUGGUAAGGCAUGCAUGACUACAUGAUUGCAUUUCUUCUGAUCACCAUCAUGCAUGACUAAAUUAUUGUCAAAAACCUAAUCCUAUCUUGUUGAACAGUCCAAAGAUGGUAUAUUUUGGAUGUCCUGGCAAGACUUUCAAAUCCACUUCCGGUCAAUAUAUGUAUGUCGUGUCUAUCCCCCUGAGAUGCGGUAUUCUGUUCAUGGCCAAUGGCGAGGCUACAGUGCUGGUGGAUGCCAAGAUUAUGCUUCCUGGAAUCAAAAUCCACAAUUCCGAUUGAGGGCCACUGGUCCAGAUGCAUCAUUACCAAUUCACUUGUUCAUCACUUUAACUCAGGUGUGCUCAAGUGAAGGACUUUCAGGAGGAUUUUUUUUUUUAAUCUAUUGCACUUGAAUAUCUUUACUGAGUUCAUGAACUCAUCUAAUUUCCUGUGUUUAGGGUGUGAGUUUCUCUAGAACAGCAGCUGGUUUCAGAAAUUACCAAUCCAGUCAUGAUUCAAUGAUGUUCUACAUUGGAAUGAGGAUUCUGAAAACUCGUGGUCGCCGUGCUUCCUACAACAUUUACCUACAUGAAUCAGUUGGCGGGACAGAUUAUGUCAAUUCUCGAGAAAUAUCAUGUGAAAUGGUUUUGGAUCCUGAUCCAAAAGGUUACACAAUUGUACCCACAACUAUACAUCCUGGGGAAGAAGCACCAUUUGUUCUCUCCAUUUUCACCAAAGCAUCAGUAAUCCUGGAAGCUUUGUAAUAAUCAGUGAUGGCUGUUCAGUUGUUUUCUUUUCCUUUGGGCUGCGAGCUUACCUGCUAGAUUUUGAAGUGCUUGGGUUGUUCAUAGUUCAUGUACCACCCAUAGGCAGGUUCUGUUGAACCAAAAAUCAGUGUGCAGAGGGAAGGUAAAUUGUGUCUCGAGUUUCUUCUGUCCAUUUUGCAGUGCAUCUUCUAUGCAUCUACUUCCCUUCUGUUUUUGUUCUCGAGAAGUUUGGUAAAACACCAAACUUCCUACUUUUGUCAUGUUUCUCUCUGUAUCAAUGUUGAGUUACGAUGGACUGAUUUGAAGUUGUAUAUUUGGCAGUCUCUGCACAAUGUGGUUCUCAGCUGCCUGGAUGGCCUGUGAAGAAAGCAAGCAAGCCAUUUUUGGACUUGAUUACCAGCACCAAAUGGAUUUGAAUGCACUUAGGUAGAUGCGAGAGCUUAUUGCGUCGGAUCUGGAGGGUUGUCAAAACUGGUUUAAAUCAUUUUCUGCCACCUUCAGAGGGUUGUCUGGCACGGUUAAUUGUACAUGUGUAGGUAUGUAAUUUGUAAGAAAUAUAGGUCUGAUCAUGUAAAUGAAGCGGGGAAGAAAAAGGUUGAAAAGAAAUAGGAAAAUAAUCACUAACGCUAGCUCUAGGUGAAAACCAAAAAGCAUGGUAGCUGGAGAAGGUUUCAGCUGCAGUUUUGAUGUGCUUUGUAUUCUGAACAAGUUAUCACUUGUAAAAAGUCUUUAUUUUUGCAAUAUAAUCAUUUGUUAUUUGAUUUGGUAAUUGUCAGCUUCAAUUUUUAAUUUUCUUUUUCACAACCAUUGCAUCGACUAUGAUGGUAAUUCAAACUGUAACCUGUAAGCCCUUUCUUUCAUCUUGACUGGAACAAUCCUUUAAUUUCCUUUGAACUUAAAAUGAGGUAGAGAAGUUUAUGCAUAUAUCAUCAAACUGCUCAUGAGGCAUAAACCCUAAAUCUGGCCAGGGAGAAUAUGCUACUGUCAUGACCUUGUACUAACCCAUCUCUGCAUUACAUGAAAAGGAGAGAAAUACAACAUUCCAUGGCAGUAGUAAUCAGUUUCGUGAUCAAGUGCUACAACCCAUGUCCAUUAGCAUAUAUUCUUUUGAGUGGCCUUCGAUUUUCAAUGCAAAGCAAAUCGUAGCUGCAGGGAACCCGUGAAAUGAAAUAAAAGCAAACCAAAGAACCAUAAAAAGCAGGCAAAAGCAUCAAUAAAGGGACGGAAAAAGGUGACAAAAAUAAUAUUUUAUAUUCCAAAUAUCAAACUGACAAAGCAAAUUACAGGCUUACAGCUACAAAAACAACCAAGCGGGAAAGAGACACCUCUACCAUUCUCUUUCUAUUUUCCUUCCCUUUUCGCCUUCAACAAAAGAAGGGAACCUUCUGUUUCUAGUCGUCUCUCCUAACUACCAAUGGUCAAAAUCUCUCAUUCCGAGUCACUUUCCAUGCUUCCCAUUGCCUUCAAUCCUCUAGGUCUCUGCAUCAAAUAAAAAACCAAUCACGAAUUUGACCUCUCUGCUGGGAAAGAUUGAAGAUAUCAGGCAAAAGAUACAAAUCUUGAUUAUAGCUCAUUUUGAAUUCAAAAUUCAAACCUAUUUAACUUUUUCUGUAUUUUUCUGAGGAAGCAGACAAUCUGAUAUAAAGACCAGUAACUAACAAACAAGACAUGGAAGGAAAUAAAAGAACAAGUUAGUACCUUUUUGGAAGUCUUCUUCUCCCUUACUUCAUACCUCUCUUGACACAAAUCUGAUAACCAUGCACCUGGACUUGCCAUCUGAGAACACACAAGAGAAAUAAAAAAAAAAAAAAAAAAACAUCAACACAAGCUCCCAUCAAAAGAAAAGGAAAAGACUUCUCUAAUUUUUAACAGUCCCCAAAUUCCUUUCUUAGUGUAUGUAUUGAGGAGACUUACAAGUAAAGUUCGUUGAAUCAACUUGGCUCUUUUCUUAGGCCUCUGAGAAGGCUUGCACCCUUUCAUAGCCAUGAAAUCCUCUUCCUUCUCUUUGUUAGACAAUGUUAUAAACAGUCUGGGCCAAACAACCUUUUCUUCCUUAACAGCAUCCACUAAAAUCUUGCUAUUAUCAUCCAAUCCCAAUGAUCCCCUUGUUGUGUAGUACCGGUCUUCCUUAUCCGGUGACAACGCUGAUGACUUCCUAUUGUUCGUUAACAAAUCAGAAUCCCUAUAUCCAACCACAGCCCAAAAGUAAAAUAAGAACUUUUUUGACACAUUUAUUUGAGUGAUAAUAACAAACGGGACAUGAAAGUAAAGAAAACUUUGUGAUCUAAGAACAUCUAACAAUACUCUCACAAUUUCGAUUUUUCCUAGUUUCCCACAGUUUCUAAUCAACCAGGCCAGUUAUAGAUCAGAUAAAACUACUUUUGUAAUUCACAAAAAACCAAAGAUCAUAAAAAAAGAACGACUUAUCAAUCAGACCUAAGUAAAAGAAAUAUGCAAACAAGCAGAUUUGCUCACUUGAGCAUGUUAGAAACUGAACACUUUCUUCAGUGUAUUGACUAGUUACCGACUGGAUACAACCACCAAAAAAUAAAUGAAUUGAGCAAAAUUCAUUCAUGUAUUCUUACUUGAUGAGGAGAGGAGGAAUGGGAUUCUUACUUGAUGAGGCGAGAAGGAAAUUCUUUCUCGGUAGUGACAGCACGAGAAGUAAGUUUCUUCCUGGGCAAAGAAUCAUUUAGUUUAGAUUUAUUGGCCAAGUUUUGGGCUUUUUUCACUUUCACACAUCUAAGCCUCUUUGUACUUCCCCAUUGCAACACAAAAUCUGUAUCUCCAGCUCCUUGACUCUUCUUCUCCUUAUCCUUCUCCUUCUCCUUCUCCAUCAUCUCUCUUCCCCUCUCUAAACAGCAAAAAAUUAGCCCUAACAAAUUGUGAGGCGGGUAUCAUUCACUACUAUAGAGAGAAAAAUCUUCCAAUCAAAUAGACACCCUUACAAUCAGUAACAGUUUCAAGAGGAAAUUUUGUCACGAACAAACAUAACAUUGCACAAAGAGUAAACAAGAAACCCACGCGGAGUUCUAAAACAGAAAAUUAAAGAGGAAUCUAAAUAGAAAAUACAGUAAAUUGAGAGAAAACAAGCCCAUUUAAAGAGGAAUCAAAUAAGGCGACUGACCUCAAGAUCUCCAGAUAAUGCAAUAAAAAUUGCUCAGAAAUUUAUCCUAUUAGCCUGCAUUUCAAAACAGACACAAAAAGAAUACCACGUCAAUAAAAUCACAAGGCUAAAUCAACAAGAAACAUAAAUUUGUUCUCUGAUUGGUUGCUGAGAAACCAUAGAAAAGAAACAAUAGCAUAAGAACUUGGAAUCCCCCAUCAAGAAUUAUCGAAUCACUUUCUCAGCAACAAAACAGACAGAGAAAGAGAGAAAGAUUACAGUGAAGACGCUUCACUUCAUUGCUCAGUUCCAGCAGCAGCAAAAACUUGAAAAGUCUUUUUGUUUGGUCAACGAGAGAAGGGAAAAAAACACAGACUUUCCAGAGAAAAUUGAGAGAGUGAAAGAUUAGAGGCUUUAGAACUGUGGGUCUGAUUCAGAUUUUCAAUUUGAUGAAUAAUAAGUUGAAAGAUCGGAGCUUUCUCUGUUAUCUUCACCAAAAACUGAAUACUCCAGUCCGUGUUUCUGUUUCUCUGGCUCUUUAUGUUCCAACUUCUUUUUUACUGCUUUCUAUUGGUUUGAUCAUGACCGUCCGAUGUCAAAUGGACGGCCAGAUGACUUUCCCUCCAAUUGGGUUAAGGUCUUCAGUUACACGUGACAUGGGAUGCAAGCACAUGACCUUGUGCAUUGCCUCCUCUCCGCUCCGCUCCCAGUGAAAUCCAAAGAUGGACAUGGCCAAAGAAUUAUAGUUCCCUGUUGUUACUUGUGAAUACUCGAAAGUAGUUUUGUAUUAAUUCAUAUAUAUAUAGUUUGUUGUGUUAUUAAAUGCAUCUAUUUAUAGUUUUUUUUUAUAUAAAAAAAUGAAUAGCAAGAAGGACUAGGUAUCAUCUUUGGUGUUUUGAGAAUAUAUAAAUUAAUAUUUUUCUAGCUAUUUAGGUUUUGUUUUGUAGUAUCGGGGGUCAAUCCUGCUGACCCAUGAUCAAAGCUCGCACCAAAUAAAUUCUCAAAUCAAUUUUUAUAACUAUGGCUGCAACAAUUACUCCACAGCUUAAAGGAAAACUGCUGCAUUCUGUCUUGAAAUUUAGUCCAUGAAAUUGUAAAUGAGCAUCUCAUCAUCAUCAUGUCAUAUCAUUCAAAUUCCCACAAGGAUUACUUAACAGAUAGAAUAUUAACUUGCAUGUAUACUUAGUGUUGUGUUUGGCGAUGUAGUUGACUAUUAUUUUGAUAAAAUUUAAUUUUUAGUAUUUUUAAAUUAUUUAGAUGUGUUGAUAUCAAAAAUAAAUUUUAAAAAAUAAAAAUAUAUUAUUUUAAUAUAUUUUUAAAAAUAACCUCUAUUAUAUUAUAAAAUAUUAUCUUCUUAUUGGUUAUUGUUUGUGAGAAGUUUUUUCUUUUCUUCUGGGACAAGUUAAUGAAAAGGGGUUGGUAAUUAGUCUUGGAUUAAUUAUUAUUAUUAUUGUUUCCACAUUAGUCUAAUUUGGGUGAUCUAGCUAUAACAACCACCUUUAUAAUUUCAAGACAUACAUGACCCCCUCUCUUAGCAUCGCCAUUGGAGAAAAUCACGAAGUGCAUUGCUUUCUAAUCAUGCUUCUUCUUUUCUUCUUCUUUUUCCUUUUUUAACCGUUAAAGAUGUUCUUAAACUAAUUUAUGUGUUAAUAGAGAUUAAAUUUUUUAUCCUAAUGUUUUAAAAAUGUAUUAGCACGUUAUAAAUAAAUUUAGAGAUUUGUAUUUUCUUAACAUUAAAUAUAUGCUUGUUUGUGUAACCAAUCAUGCGGUUUAUCGUAUAAACAAAUAAACUCUAAGUUAUCUCUUUAAAUUUACUAUUAGUAAAUUGUUUGGGUAUGAAAGUAAAUAAAAAAUAAAAUCAAUUGGUUUAAAGACGUGAAAUAUUGUUUUAAAAGUGUUUAUUUAACCUACACAGAGAUAAUAUCUUCAUGACACAACUAAACCCUUUAAACCUCUUAGAUAAUAAAAAGAAAAAACAAGAGAAAAAUAUGCUUUUUUAUUUAUUUAUGAUUGUUAAAAAGACAAUUAUAUUUUGAAUUAAAAAAUUAACUGAUAAAAUCUACUAGAAAAACCCAUCCACCAUAAUUUUUAUUUAAUUUACUACAAAAUAAAAAUCAAGAAAAUAUUUAUUUUCAAUGUAGAUGGAUUUGAAACCACACCAGCAUUUGCUUCACUUUUAUUUAAAAGCAUCAAUAGGUCUCACCAAUGUAACGUUACACUUGCAGCAGUACAAGUAUAGAGGUUCCUGGAGUCAUUUAAAUUUCAAAAUUUUGAGGUUGGUUCGAAAAGCAAGACGCUCAAUUGGUUCGGAUCGAGAUCUAUUUAUUCUCUGUGACCCACUUCUAUGGUGACGAUGAUGAUGAAUCAUGACCAUGCUUUUUAAUCACCUACUACUGUACAUGUUCUUCAGCUAAGGAUCGAUGAUUCCAACACCUUAAAUCUUGUCAAUCCUUAUGGGAAAUGAAUGGUAGACGAGGCCCUGGUGAAAUCCUGAAGAGCCCUGGAUUCAAAACAAAUUAAUUGAAACAAAUGUACAUCUGGAACUACAGAGAAGAUCAAUUCUCUUGCAUUGCUGGCCCAGACAUGAUCUAACUGCCAACUUCAUCAACUUCAAUGUGUUUCCAACAUGUAAUGCCCCACGGUUGCAACAAGUUAUCCCAAGAGGAUUGGAUGGUACAUGUACUCUUCAAAUCUUUACAUCUUCAGUUUGAGUGUAAUGGAAACUUAUAUGGAUAGAUUUCUUAUCAAUGCAUAAGUGAAAAUAUAAAUUAUCGUAUCAAAUUCUAUAAAUAAAAUUAUAACUAUAAAACUUGAAAAAGAUAACAAGUUUAGCAAAUCAAUUUGAAUUGAUUUAAACUAGUCCAGAAUAAUAUUGUUUAAAGAUUUUGUUUUUUUAUUUUUAAAUAAUUAAAAUAAUAUUAUUUUUGACAAAUUUUUAAAUCAAAUUGAGUAUCAUUCAUUAAAGUUGAUGUGGAAGACUAAUCAAAUUUAAACGAAUCAAUUUUCAUAUAAUUCACAAAUAAAAACUGCUCAAAUCAAGUUUCAAGUUGAUAAAUCAAUAUAUUAACCAGUCUGAUUAUACCGAGUUCACGUAACACUUAAAAAGCCCUCAUUGAUAGAGGGGGGAAAAGAAUCACAAACAUAAUUUUAUAUACUGUUAAAACAAUAUUAAGCAAGAGCUGUCAAGCGUGUAAAAUAUAAUAGGUAUUGAUCUUGACAAAGCACCAACAAGUUAGGUUAAAAUGAGGUGCAUAUCUGAAACAUUCCUUAACGUUUAACGUCAUAAUAAUGUUCAUAUCGUGACAGUUAAGGUAUCCUUUUCUAUUUGGAAUCUAAGCAAAAAAAUUAUCUGUUUCAUCAAAUUAAGUCGACAUCGGCUCAUAAAAUUCCUCAUUUAUAUCAUUCAAGCAAGAACAACUUGUUAUCGUCAAUCGACAUCACACCAAAUAAUUCCGAUAACAAUAAAUAAAUUUGAUUAAUUAGUUGUACUGGAUUUGGAAUUAAUGCAUUCACUGUUUUUAUCAAGGGGAAAAAAAAAUUCUUGCUAUAUAAUUUAUAAUUAUAAAUCUUGAAUUAGUCUAGCCGAUUUUAAGUUUUGAUGAAUUUAAGUUAAAAAAAUAAAAAAUUUGAAUUGACAUGUUGAAAUCCAAUUAAAAUUUGUUGAUUUUUUUACAAAAUAAGAUUAUUUUAAUUUUUAUAUAUAUAUAAAAAAUUAAGUUAACUAGAAUUAACUUUCGUGAAUUACCUUGCUUUGAAAUGAUUCUUGAAUUGAGAUUUAUAAUUAUGAUAAAAUUAAUAUAAAAUAAAAAUAAAGGGAAGAAAAGGUUGAUAUCUAAUUAAUAUCCAAUUUGUUUACAUUGAAAAUAGAAUUUACAAGAUUUUAUUCUUCAUUUAAGAUCCUUAUAUAUAUAUAUAUAUAUAUAUAUAUAUAUUACAGAACCUUAAUAAUUUAUUAUCCUUUCAAGUCAUGCCAAUGAUUUAAGACCAUACAAUGACUCAUCAAACCAUGUUAGCAAGCAACCACAUGAAAGGUUUUUCCCAUCAACAAACUUGGGAAGGCCAACAAUUUCUUCUUCUUUUUUAAAGAGUAUAUUCCCACAACGUUGAAUGAAUCAUUCACAACCCAACAAAAAAAUAAUAAUCAAUUAUUAAUUCAACAGAGAGAGAGAUCGAACAAGACAGCAAAAUAUGGAGACCCACAAAGGAACAUUGGACAGCUGUUUGGCAACCCUUGUCCUUGCCACCCUGUUCUCACCUUUCUCUUCAAAAUCUCUCUCUUUACCCCUUUAUAUAUGCGCACCCACACCCACACAGAAACACCUACCAUCCACAUUCCUACAAGCUGUUGUCUCCAUUCUCUCUCUGCAUCUCUCUCUAAACAAAUCUCAUUUCAAAGAGGAAUUGUAGAGUCUUUCUUUCUUUGCUGAACAACAAGAAAAUGGAGGCAAUGAAAAUGAAGGUCUUUGCUGUCUUGAUGGUGGUCUUGAUGGCCUUUUCAACCAUGCAAAAGGCAACAGCUGCCGAAGCACCAGCACCAAGCCCAACAUCUGAUGCCACCAUCUUUGUUCCCACAUUCUUGGCAUCUUUUGUUGCUCUUGCCUUUGGGUUCUUCCUUUGAGCCACCCAACUUCAACUCAUUAGAUGCUUUACCAUGUUUUCUUCUCAUUUCUUUCCCUACCCAUCUUUCUUUCUCCCUCUCUGAUCUCAUUUCUUUACUCUUUUGUAAUCUUGGAUCUUUCACGCUACAACAUGGGAGAUACAAAGGAAAGAGGGAGAGGAAAUGGGUUGGGAUUUUUCUUCUUAUUUUGUAUUUAUUUAUGUAUUGUUGAUCUUUAAAGUCAUGUACUUGGGGUGUGAUUGAUAUAUUUUGAUGGCAUUCGUAUUGUAAUUUUCAUGACUUGUAUAAUUCUUGUGUCUGUUUUUUUUAUUUUUUUUGGGGAGGGGGGGGAUGUGGAGCUAGAGUAUUAGCUAGCCUUGAGCUUGGAUUUGUGUUGGUGGAUUUUGUCCAUCCAUUAUUCAUGUAUCCUACUUGCCCUUGAGCUUCUCUCACUUGUAUUUGUGAUUUAUUCUAGUAAUAAAUCUUCUUUUACUUCUACUUCAAUGAAUGCUUGGUGUUCUUUCUUUUUUAUGUGAGUAACUGGUGUUCUUCUCAACCAUUUGAUCACCUUCUAACAAAUUCCAUAAUUGAGGCUUAGAGGGGUCAUUAAGAAAAGAUUGCUGUUAAACAAGUGAAAGAAAGAGUUAAGAGCUUUUGUUGGAAAGAUGGUAAUGAGCUGGAGUUUGGCAGAUUCUACUGGAUUUGUGUGGUGAAGAUGAUGAUUGCAGACAGUGCUUGUUGGGGCCUUCAAUUUUGACUGUGUUAGGCACAAUGUCACUGAAUUUGAAGGCAUGGCCUACCAUGUGAAUUAGAGAAAUGGUUAAAAUUUCAUAACAUGGGAAGAAAUAUGGUCCAGAAUCAAAUGGCCUGGUAGUUUAUAGGAAAG